AGACGAGAGGUAAAAAUGGACAAGUGUCCGACAGUAGAAUUAGGGGUACAAGAUACCCACCUGAGAGAAAAGAAAAAUAUAGAGCAUCUCAUUCUCCUCAUCAAGUUUCAAAAAGCAAGGAAGGUAUGUAUCCCCUCAAAAGAGCAAAAGUAGAAUUAGACUUCCACCACCAUUGUUUUCACCAUUGUUAUCACCAUCAUCACCAUACACCAUUCAUUCGCCACACAUGCACAUCUUGAUUUGGCUUAUUGAUUUGUUUCUUUGGAUCCAUGGUUUGACUAUAAAUGUCUUGUAAGUAUGUAUACUUUAUCUCCCACCUAUGAGCUCCAGAUAUUAAAGCCUUAUUAGAGUAGGGUGAGAGAGAAGGCAAUGUCACUAUGCCUCAUACCACAAAUACUACAUAUCUUGAGAGAAGGCAUAUACCAUCAAUGCCUUGGUAAGGAUCCAAAAAUACCACAAAAGAGAGACCUGAGAGAAUCAUACAAGGAAUUUCUGAGUUUUAUUUGAAAAUCUGCAAAAACCCCAGAGCUAUAGCUGAUCAAGAAUAAGAGACAAGGCACUUGGCUAGACUGUUCUAUCUUUUAACCACUCAAGACAGAAGUGACAGUUACAAGUCCCAUGGUGAAGGUAAAGUAAGUAAGUUUUAAGUCUUGACAGUUUACUCUUACUCAGAGAUGAGAUCUUAUUUAAAAGCAUAUGUACCGUCAAAUUUUUUUUGUAAAAAAAAGAUAUUGCAACUACUUAUGAUCCAUAGCUGAGUCUAUCCUUGCUCAGGGACAAGCAAGAGGUAAGCUUGGGGGAGUUUGUUGACGGUCCUUAAGUAUCAAAUUUAAUUAUCAAAUAAAUAAAGAAAAGGAUCCAAAUGAAAUCAAGAUCUAGACUUAAGGUUUUAUCUGACAGAAUUCCACGAGUUUUGGUGUUUGUCUAUUUCUGCAGGGGGUUAUUAGGAAAUAUGGAAGAAAGGCCCACACGUCGGGAUUACGUAAAGAUAUUAACGUGCUGCGCAAUUAUCUUACAUCUAGAAGACUCCAGAAGCCACGAGACCGAAGCGGAGGCGAAACGGGGCCAGAGACAGGGCGCCCGCCCUGUCCUACUGGGCGCCCGCCCUGCCCCUGAGUCCAAUCAGGACUCUGCUUUGCGGGAGAUCUCCACCGACCUAAAGGAUGAAUCUAAACCAUACAAUCUAUGUCGGUUUGAUCCAAGGGCCCAUAUUCACUUGAAGGGACUAUAAAACCAGACCCCCUGGGCUCUGGAGGAGAGAGCCUCUCAACCCUAAUUCAUUGUUCCAUCAAGGGAGAAGAAGCCUCUGAUCAAGAUUAGAGCCACCACAUCAAUUAGACAUCUAGAUUAGCAUAGCUACAUAGGAUUAGAACUAGAAGGAGUCAAUCUUCGAUUGGUUUCCGGAUCUGUCAAGAGGAUUCUUGGUAAUUCUCUAAUUGUGCUUCUAAUUACUUUCUAAUUAUCUUUGUUCUACUUCAAUAUAUUGCUUAUGACUUUGCUCUACUUGUUUAUAUUCAAGAUUAUAUUGUUCUUAGUUUAUGAUGGUUAUGUACUUGGCUUAGUUAGAUACGAUCUAUAUACAUGCUUUGGAUCGUAUAGCGUUUAUCCAUCGGAUCCAUGGGUAAAUGAUAGAUAUUGUGUAGGCGUGGUGCUUAUACCGUAUUUAUCUGCGAUUGUACCCAAUAUGCCAGAUCGUGGGGUGGUUCGUGAUAGUGACAGCUUCAUUGAUUCUUAUAUAGUCCCCCUCUCGUGUAUUGGGCUGGCAGAGCAACAUUAUUACAGGGGAGUGAUUGCCAUGUUUCUCAUAUUCCUUGCUAAUAUCACUAUGCAUGGGCGUAGUCUUGUCUCGCAAUGAUUGCUAAGUAUGCUUGCACUAACUAUGAUAAUGCUAGACUAUAUAGUUAAGAAUAACUUAGGGAAUAUUCUUGUAGUUCGUUCUAAUACCAUGCUAAUGACUUUCUAGAGUAUCUAAUUGAGGUGCUUAUCAUAUUUAUUGUGUGGCUAGAUCAGAUUAGUUAUCCUUGUCACUAUUAUUAUUUCAUAUAUCCUUUAUGUGACACUUAUCCCUGUAUGAUGAGUUAGAUAUAAUGUUCUCAAUUAUACAUGCAAUGAUAGAUGCUCAAUCUCAUAUUCUAUUCUGUAAUCAAUAGUGAUGAUUUCUAAUCCCUUCCUAGUGGUAAAAAUAUAAAUAACGAUACCUGGAAUACUUCCCGGUUAAAAUGCUGCAUCGGUAUUAAUCUGUGCGCUUGCAGAUCCCAUUCAUUAUUUAUUUAGAAGAGCAAUUGCAUAUUUCAAUACCGCGUCUCUUAUAUCAUGCUGGGGAUGACAACUUGGCUUAAGUGGUGUGAGGGAUAGGUUUGGCAUUUUUGGCACCGUUGCUAGAUUUAGAACUUAGUCUACUUUUGGUAAUGAUGUUAAGAAUACCCAACAUGAGGAUCAAGGAAAACCAUGCGAUUAAGGUCGGUUUGAUCGGACGGCCCACAUUCAUUUGAGGGGGCUAUAUAAGCAGGGCCCCUAGCCCCUGGAGAAGACACCCCUUGAUCCCUAUUCAUUAUUCAUAGACAGAGCAAAAGCUAGGGUUUGCAGAUGAGAGCUCUCCUCUCAUCUCUAAACUAGAGUAGAUCUAGAUAGUAGCGAGAUGGAGAGCGAGGGAGGAUUGGAGGAGAGGCCGGCCUGUCGGUUCUUCCUCCGGUUGUACUUCGCUAUGAUUAAGCUCUAAUCAAGCUUGCUCAUGGGAUGACUCGGGUAAUCUACUUCUAUUUCAUUAUGCAAUUACUAUUCAUGUUUUUUGGUUCACAACUCCUUUGAGUACUUUUAAUCUAUAGGACCCUAUAGGUUAGAGUUGUACUGUAGGUGUAAGCGUGGUGCUUAGACCUAGAUUACUUGUGGAUAUCCCCUGUCUAGUCGGAUUGUGUGGUAGGCCGCGUAGGUGACAGUUACGUUGGUCCCCUGUAGUCCACCUCCCAUUAGCAGGACUGGUAGGGUUUAUCGGCCUAUGGAUAAGCAUCCUUUGUGGUGUAAUCUUAUCACGUGGUUCGUCCCAGACAUAGACAUACCCCUUCGAAGUAGAGAAACCAUAGUUAUCCUCUUUAUUCUCCUACCAUCGCCCAUAUACUUGAUUGCUCUACUCUCUAUUCCCAUAUUAUCACCCAUUGUUAUCUUACCUUUAAUAUUGUUCUUAUUCUAUUCUGCCAUCUUUCCUAUUUACACCUAUCUAUCUAUCUAGGUUAAGUUAGAGUGUAGAUCAGUUCUUCCGUUUCCCUGUGGAUACGAUAAAACCUUUAACCGGGUAAAAGCUACAACGGUAUCCGUGCGCUUGCGGAUUUAUCUGUGUGCGUAUAAAUACCAUAGUACACUCUAGUGCCAUGCUAGGGAUGACAACCUAGUAUUCAAAUGGUGUUAGCAAGUGUCAACAGUCAACACCCAUACUGAGUACUAGCACGUGGAAGGCCACUGCACCCACCUCCACAGGUAGUGUUCCUUUCGCAUGCUUCAACUGUGGUGACCCUUCAUCUUCAAAAAUAUUCUAUACCAUAAAUAUUCAUUUGAAACCACACAUGCACAUCUUGAUCUAAGGGUAUGGUCUCCCCUCCGAGGAUCCUAGUUUGACUAGACAAUAUAUGCAAGGUAGUUUGUUGUAUCCUUGAAUUACCUUUAGCUCCACAUAAGCCUUAGUUAUAAGGAGUGAAGAGAGAAGGUACAAUGAUUAGUACCUUAGAAAGAAAUCCACAAAUACCAUGAAUGAGAGACUUGAAAGGAUCAUACAAAAGAAUCUUUAAGAUUCAUUUGAAAAACUUUGGAAAACUCUAGAAAGAAGGUUGAUCAAAGAAUUUAGAGUAGUGCUUGACUAUAUUGUUCUGUCUUUCAAUUACUUAAGACCCACAUAACAGCAGUGAGCUCUAUAGUUGAAGGAAACAUGGGUAAAUUUGAAGAUUGAACAGUUUAUUCAUUGUUUGGUAGAAUAAUUCCUUUUUGAAUAUUUGUGUACCUUUAAAUUGUGAAAGCAUUGCAGCAACUCCUAUACAUCACAGUAAUUUGCUAAGGGAGUAGCAAAAGGCAUGCUUGGGGGAGCUUGUUGACAGUCCCUAACGUCAACAUUAAACUUUCAAUUUAUGCACAACAUAAUCGCAGAAGAGUUAUUAAUGCAUAGUUGUAGUGAUUAAUCUAACAAGUUCCAUGAGUUGUGUUUCUCUUACCUAUUUUGUAGGAUUAUUGACACUUCACCACAUAAAAGUGCUAUAAAUGAUGUUAUAGAGCAUACCAUUGUAAAGAGCUUGUCAACAUGAUAAAAACGGACAUAUCACUUGUUAUAUUUGGAGUCCAAAUAAAAGAGUCCCCGAUGGAUAUGACCAAGAAUUCUCUCGAAUACUCCGGAAGAAUUACCAAACAAGAGUUUCGUGGACUGACAUGACAAUUUCCAUAGCUUUGGUGAUUUGUGAAUUUUUAGGGAUUAAAACAAUAUAAUCCAAGGAAGAGUAGGAGCCAAGGAACCAAACCAAAUCAUGUUGGAAUUUUGCAAGAAUUGACAGGAAGGUUAUAGGGGACGCCAAAAGACACAAGAAUGAGACGAGAGCAUGGUGGUAGACAAGUGGGGCCGGCCGGCCACACCUGCCAGGCCGGUCGGCCUGGGCCCCUCUAGAAGCGACUUUUGCUUCGCGUGACGGCUUCUAACUGACUUCUACGAUGCAUCUCGACCCUUGUUCUAUGUCAGUUUGAUGUAACAGCUGCAGUUCAUCCCACAAGGCUAUAUAAGCAAGGGUAGACCCCACUAAGGCAUCAGAGGAUCAGAUAUCUCAUUAGUUGAUCUCUCAUUGAGAAGGCUAGAGAGAAAAGCUAUGGUUUCCAAAUAGAAGAUUAGAUCUCCACUUAAAGUUUAGGGUUAGAUCUAGUUAGAUACAGUAGAGUUGAGCGCUGUUCAAGAUUUUGGAUCAACAUCAGAAGAUUUGGUAAUAUUUAUCAUUAUAUCUUGUAAUUAUGACUUUAUGCUACUUGAAUAUCAUUAUGUUCUUGUUUAUUCUGUUCUUAGCUUAUUCUAAUUCUAUCUUUGAUAUAGUUGUGUUUGAUAAUAAGUUUAGACAUAUGUUUGUAGAGUCCUAGUUCAACUCUAGAUUAGAUUAGGUGGUAGAGGUAAUGUAGACGUGGUGUCUAGAUUAUAUUUACUUGCGAAUGUACUGUAUUUUCUAGGCCAUAUGGUAGAUUGCGAAGUUGACACCUGGUUACUUGGGGGAAGGAUUGCUAUGUUCUUGAAUUCUCUAAAGUAAUAUUCCUUAUGUUUAGAUGGCAGAUUGAUUUUUGCUAUAAAUGAUAAAGAGUAAAAUAGAAGACAUGAGACUUAGUGGAUAGGAUAAUCUUUAAUUGUGUCGCUUUAUUCUACCCUACUUGAUCCUACGAGUCAUCUCUAAUUAUUGAUUCCCUAUCAUUAUCUCAUUAUUAUUAUUAUUAUUAUUAUUAUUAUUAUUAUUAUUAUUAUUAUUAUUAUUAUUAUUAUUAUUAUUAUUAUUAUUAUUAUUAUUAUUAUUAUUCUACCCUACUUGAUCCUACGAGUCAUCUUUGUUUAGAGUAUAUAUUUGUAAUUCUUAUAGCCAUAUCAAUUUUAUCUUCUAGAUCCCUUCUAGGAGCUCCCAGUGGUAAAAUUAUAAAUAACGAUACCUAGAACUUUCCUGGGUGUAAUGGUACAAAGGGAAUAUUUUAUUUAUGUGCUUGCGGAUAACAUUUGUUUCAUAUUUUAUAAGUGCUAUGGUUAUAUGUAUAACCAUAUUUCUUAUGUCGUGUUAGGGAUGACAACCUAGCGAGUGCAGCGUAAGAGAUGACAACAACAGACCCAGAGGAGCCAACGACUCAGGAGUUCAACCCUGACUACACUGAGGACCUCGAGGACGACCUGCCAGGUGCCGCAUCCCUACCAACCUCAUAGAAUCUUAUUAGUCAUGCCAUGAAUCAAAAAGCUAGCGCUUUACUUUUAUGUAAUGAAACUGUGAUAGGUUGCAAGGUAGAAAUGCUUGUGAGCCAUUACCUUUUCGCAACCUAUUCCCCUAGUUACCCGCUGCUAGGAUAGAUGCUCGCAUCUUACUUCUGUUACUCUACUUUGCAUUAUACCUAUGAUGUGAUGCUUGGUGGAUGGUUGUUGGAACCAGAUAAGGCACGUGGUGCCAUUAAACCUGAUAACAGACAUGGAGAGAUCUUGGCAUGUGUUUUGGGUGCAUGGUUAGAGUUGAGUCGAUCGACUAGGAAUAAACGAUGAGUCUUGGGACAAGUCAUGUCACGGAAUGCUGCCUCGGCAUUUCCCGAGACAGGUACCUGUGGUGGGUACAAGUAUUAUGGAGAGAUCCCAGGGUGGACUGUCUUUGUGGGAUGAAGUCCCAGGAUGGAGGUGCUGUUUAGCAUGGGGCAUAGGAUGUUUCAUCGAUCGGAGCAUCUGUUGGCCCCACAAGAAGAUGUCUUGUUUGGUCCCCCUAAGGACUCAUGUGUUCUAGGAACCUGUUCAUAGGAAUCCUUGCACCCUCACUCUCUUUCAUGGGACGGGGACUGAAGUAUGACCAGCUAGGGCAGUGCCACUACUACUAGGUUGUUAGUGGAUAGUGUAGGGAGGUAUGGGCAUGGGUCCCAUACCCUCCUAAGAUAGCAUAGUGACAUUAGGGGCCUGGUACUACAUCUUACAAUCUUAUCAUGUCGGUGGUACUCCGACAUGGCCCCAGUUCUGAGUGGUAGGGUGGUAUCAUGUUUAGUUGGAAGGCAGCCCGAUAUCAGCCUAGAUGAGGUGGAACAUCAAUGAUGGUGAUCUUGUGACUUGUGAGUGGUGUAAAACUCUACAUAGUUUCUUGUUGAUCGAUCGAUACAUACGCCGUUCUUCGGCUAUGGACCUUUCUUAUGUUUCAGCUUCACUUGACUAAAGAGAGUAGUUUUUUCUACCUUUCCCUAGGUUUGUGUUAUUUUUGGAGUUGGGCACUGAGGCAAGGCACAAGCGGGAGUCGUCCUUGCCGCCUAGAGAGCGAGAGUGUGGUGAGAUGUGUGCUGGGAUGGGAGAAUGUUUGGAGAAGUUGGAUUAAAACUUGAUGAAAUAUUAAAAUUGUGACUUACUCGCAUAGGAUGCUACAACCAUAAAUUAGGCCCCUUUUGGCACAUAUCUUUGCAUCCCACCUACACAAAGGUUCACAAAAGCAUAGGGUGGGAGCCAGUGGCCAGUACAAAUCGUACCGAUACAUUGGAACAGGUUCUGAGCCCGAGUACAACUACGUGGGUGAUGACUAGGAGGAGUAGCCGUCUUAGCCUAUGCUCAAGUUUGGAGGAUCUAGAGUUUGCUCUGUCGCUUCUUACCUAGAUGUUGUUCCAAAUGCUGUGUGUGAGUCUGAUUCCACCAAGUGGCAUUGUAAUAAUCAGUAAACCUCACUUGAACUCUCCUUUGUGCGUGUAUGACUCGUAUAAUAUCUGAAAUCUGGGUAUUUCGAUUGAACACUUUCGCAUGUCAAUCGUUUUACAUCUCGAAUCCAUGGAUUCGUCAAUGCACCCACCGAAUACUACUACUGCUGGCCACUAGAUCCGUGGAUGCUUUCUGCUAUUUUGCUUCUUUGAAAGUCUAGCUUGUCUGGAAUACAGCUUGAAAUUGAUGCGUGAGGAAACUAAGUUGUUACAAACAAGGCUUUAGUUCCACCUUACUAAUAGAAGUAAGAGCAACUCCAAAAGACUCUCUAUAUCAUUUUCUAAAUGCUAGGAAUAUAAAUUUUGGUGCAAAACUACCCUCCAAUAACUUGUCUAAAUGGUUAUCUAAAUAUAGCAAUAUUUUAUUCGAAAUAUUUCAUUAGGCAAAAAUAGAAGACGAGAAUGACUCUCUAGAGUGCGCGAGAGAAUAGAAAAACUAUGGUAGAAACCAGUUACUUGGUGUGGGGGUAUAAACCCCUAUACCCUUACGGCUAGACUUGGGCCAGGAGGCUUGGCCCAUCACGAGAUAGUUUGAGGCUUGAUCCAACUGCUCGGAGUCUCACCAAGGAAACAAGACGCGGAGAUCAAGCCAGAUUCUAGUCGGUUAGAAUAGGAAUUGAUAUCAUGUUAUCUAUGGCAAUUGUAACCAACUAGGAUUAGUUUCCAGAUCUGUAACCCUGCCCUCUGGACUAUACAAAGAGAGGCAAGGGACCCCCCUAGAACAACAUCUCAACUCAACACAAUUCAAUCCACAGCAAUAUAAUCAGACGCAGGACGUAGGUAUUACGCCCAUACGGCGGUCGAACCUAGAUAAAAUCCUUAUCUGUGUCUUGCGUCACCAUCGAGUUCGUAGCUUGCGCACUUGUCUGCCGAUAAACUACUACCGUGGGCAUACCCCAAGGUAGACUGUCGACUAGCUUUCGUCGACAGUGGCACGCCAGGUAGGGGGUGUGCGUACAGCUUCCUAGACGAACAAGAUGGUCAUCGUCCUAGCUUCCACGACCGUGGCUGAAGGUCUCACAUUCACCGUCGGGCAGAUCACUUGGACAACUCGCGGCGAUGGCCUUACGACCACGACUCUAGAAGAAACCCAGAUCCAAUCUAGGACAGCAGAGGCGUCGACUCCGAUCACGCCAACUCCGAGGACUUGACCUCCGCUCCCUCGCUAUAGGGCAAAGCGAGUCGACAACUCGGAUCUUCUUCAAGCACUCGAUCGCACCGACCACAAACUUCUCGAAGCCUCCAGCCUAGUGGAUUCGAUUUCACGCAAGCCCGAUCACGCGACAACAUCAAAUUUUUCGACUCCCGUCGACCAACUCGUGUCGCCACGCACGAACGACUAGAGACAUCCCUGACGAUAACAUCAACCACCACGGGACGUACUGUCAAGCUCAAGAUAGCUUCCCCAGACCCAAACUUCCCUCAUGGUCUGAGCAACGCGGCCGAUCAAUUUUCGCGGCACACCCAAUCCCUAUUCGGGAACAUGGGCUCGUCACCGAGCCACAACAGGCGAGCAGCCCAUUGUUGAUAUUUAGUAAUGCCAUUAGGAAAUGAUCCGCAAGCGCACGGAUAUCGGUGAGCAUUUCACCCGAAAGGUUAUCCAGAGUAUCGUAUUUAUAUUUUUACCACUGGGAGAAAGCGUGCAUCUGACUAACCAAAUCCAUUGCUACUACCCUUUAGGCUACAAACAAUGUGAUUCGAUGUGAGCGAUGUAUAGAGAAGACUUCAACUGCACCCUCGUUCUAACCUUGGUAAGGAUGAUCUACUAUUCUGUUGGGGAGGCUCACAGAAUCUAGACACCACAGAGGAUGUUCGACCUACACCUAUAAACCCUAUCGAUCCUACUAAUGGGAUUAUGGGCUACCAAGGUAACUCGAAAAUGUCAUGUUCCUCGCUACUACCACGGUCCGGCUAGACAGGGGAUCUAUGAGUAUCCUAGCCCAAACACCACGUUUACACUAGAGAUGAUUACUCUAAACUCUACGCGAAGAGAUCAAAGUAAACUCAUAAACCAAAGAACAAUAAAACAAAGAACUUACUAGAAUUUAGAAGUCGAAAUACUGAAGAAUCCUAGGAGCAAGCCUCGGGUUAGGAGACUUGAUCCCGUAGGUACAACCUCGGAGUAGACACCGACAGGCCGGGAUUCCUCUGAUCUACACCUCCACUCUAUCUCUCUCAAUCUAGUAGAACUAAUUCUACUCUCACAUUGGAUGCUAAGCCCUAUGAGGUUGGAACCUUAAGGAACCUCUCUCUCUGAAUCCUCUCUGGAAAAUAUGCUAAUGAAUAAUGAGGAUUGCCUCCUCCAGGGGCCAGGGAGCCUACUUAUAUAGCCCCUCCAAAUGAAUAUGGGCCGUCGGAUCAAACCGACAUUAAUCGCACGGUUUUCCUUGAUCCUUUAGGUCGGUGGAGCAUAAUCCGCGAGGUGGAACUUAAUUGGUUGAGACACCUGGGCGGGCGCCCAAGGGGGAGGGCGGGCGCCCUACCCUCGGGCCCGCUCGGCCUCCCGUUCGUUCCCGUGGCUUCUGAAAACUUCUAGAUGAUAGAAAAUUGCUUGGCACGUUAAUAUCUAUAUGUAAACCUGACGUGUGGGCCUUUCCUCCACAUUUCCUGAUAACCCCCUGCAGAAAUAGACAAACACCAAAACUCGUGGAAUUCUGUCAGAUAAAACCAUAAGUCUGGGUGUUGGUUGCAUUUGGAUCCUUUUCUUUAUUUAUUUGGUGAUUAUAUUUGGUAUUUAAGGACCGUCAACAAACUCCCCCAAGCUUACCUCUUGCUCGUCCCUGAGCAAGGACGUACUCAAGAGUUUCUACAGUGGUUUCAUGCCUUAAAAGUACACAUGCGUUCAAGCAAGAUCUCAUCUCUGAGUUAGAGUAAACUAUUAAGGCUUAAAACUUACUAAUUUUGCCUUUCACCAUGGGGCUUGCAACCAUCACUUGUGUCUUGAGCAGUUAAAAGAUAGAACAGUCUAGUCAAGAGCCAUGUCUCUUGUUCUUUGAUUAACUAUAGCUCUAGAGUUUUUGUAGAUUUUCAAAUAAAACUCAGAGAUUCCUUGUAUGACUCUCUCAAAUCUCUCUUUUGUGGUAUUUCUGCAUACUUACCAACGCGGUAAUGGUAUAUGCCUUCUCUCCAAGUAUGUGGUAUUUUUGGUAUGAGUCAUAGUGAUAUUGCCUUCUCUCUCACCCUACUCUAAUAAGGUGUUGAUAUCUGGAGCUCAUAGGUGGGAGAUAAAGCAUACAUACUUACAAGACAUUUAUUGCAUAGUCAAGCCAUGGAUCCAGAGAAACAAGUCAACAAGUCAAAUCAAGAUGUGGAUGUGUGGCGAAUGAAUGGUGUAUGGUGAUGAUGGUGAUAACAAUGGUGAAAGUCUAAUUCUACUUUUGCUCUUUUUAGGGGAUACAUAACUUUCUUGCACUUUGAAGCUUUUUGAGGAGAAUGAGAUGCUCUAUAUUUUCUUUUUCUUUUAUCUCAGGUGGGUAUCUUGUACCCCUAAUUCUACUGUCGGACACUUGUCCAUUUUUACCUCUUGUCUCACUUUUUCUUUCCUUCGAGGUUCUGGGCACUUGCCCCUUUUUAUUUCCUCGUUUUCACUUUUUUUUAGAGCACUCACCCUCUUAGAAUAAUGUUGCAAGUGGUAGUAACCAAAAUAUCUCGAGCAUUUAUUUCACGGGGAAUAUCAUGGAUAGAUAAUGUUUUUGGCUAUUCUCUCCUGGAUAGGAGUAGAAUAAUUUUGGGUGAAUCUAGAGAUGGAAAUGAGUGGAUGUAUGUGGAUGCGUACUUCCGGAGUAGAAGCAGUAUGUAUGAGUGAACGUACAAGUGAAUCUUGAUUUUAACCGUAUAAUAAGCUCCUAAGGGUCUACACAGCUUGACCAUACUCAAUGCUCAUAAGCAGUAAAAAGUAAAUGUAUGGUUCUUAGUCUAAUAAGCAUGUAUGUAUGGCUGUGGUAGGAAUUUAAACUCUUAUCAUACAAGAACUCAUCAUGCAAUAUUUUAAAGAUUUUUAAAGAUAAUAUUCUCUAGAAAUCUAGUAUCUCUAGGAAUAGAUAAACAACAGCUCAACCUUCCCAUAUCGUAUCCGUUAACGACUUAGACUUUUGAUCAGGUACUCUUCUCACAAGUUUAGGUUUAGAGCAAAUCUUAAUUCAUAACAGUCAUGCCUAAACUUGAGAGAGAUUUUAAUUUUGAGAACUAUCAUGGCAGAGCAACUAUUCAUCAUUUCCAUAUGAGAGCUUAUCAUGAGGGUUCAUAGCAAACUUUAUUUAUUUAUUUAUUUAUUUAGCAAACUAAGCAAAGAUAUAUAUAAAAGCACAAAAUCUUUAUUUGGGUUUUUAUGAUUAUGCAUCUUUUUUAUUAUCUGAGUCAAGUAUAAACACGAGUAGAAACACUUAGCUGGAUAAAUGGGGGUGCUCUCCCCCAAGCUGGAUUUUGACGUAAUUUCUUGUGAUGUAGCUAGCAGGUGGCGGAGAUGUAUUUGAAUGUCGACAGCACCCUGACAGCGAUUACUAUGUCCUCCGCCGGCUAGUCUUCUUUGAUCCUUGAAUUCUGUGGAGCUCAAAUAGACAACAAAGCUUUGUGGAACUGGUUAAGUGUUAGCAUAAAAUCUCUUAGCCUUUAUCAUAUUGAGAUUCCUCCUAAUAAAUUUUAUUUAUUUAGCAGAAUCAUGCACUUAUUAUUUUUAUAUUUUUAUUGUAAGAUGAAAACAUAUUUAUUUUAUGCCACCACAGUCAAUAUACCUAUGGGUUUUAAACCACAAGUCUACUUACAUGGGGCUUUAGAUUUUAUGAUGCAGUGCAACGAACAAAUAUUUUUGUUUUCUUUUCUAAUGCUAAUGUAGAAAAGGAAAUAUGCUAAUGCAAGUGAUGAAAUAAAAAGGAAAAGGAAUGCAGAAAAGAUAAAUAUGAAUAAAUACUGAUUUUACCUUCUUGCAAGGAUCCAAUGUUUUAAGUCUUCUGCACAAGACUUCUCACCGUGUUCAUCCUUUAGGUGCAUCAUUUGAUUAGGUGUGGGCCUUGACAUCUGCACCUCUUGAUACGGUGUCACCCAUGUUCUUCGUUUGUCCAGCAGUUUGAGGUGCGGCAUUGGCAGCAUCCUGCUUAUUGUGUUUGUGCUUGUAGAUCCAAGUCCUUCACUUGGAGGAAUCUCGGAGUUGUAAAACUCCUUCACGUUUUGCGCGAAGUGUACCUGCUCAUAGAGACAAGGCAGAGAUCAAGUGCAUGGGCCCUGUUAGUGGAAAACACCAACAGAACCAAAAGUGUAUUUCUUCUUCUCUAACCUUAAGCAUAGUAAGCAAGACAAAGUUAUUGGACAAUAAGAUCAUGAGUGUAGCAUUUAAAACAUUUGUCAGAUCUGAUCGCUCAACCUAAUGGAAAGAUAAUCUAUCUAUAUUUAUGUUUUUUUAUAUAUCUUCCAAAGAUUGAGUGUGCAACAUUUUAGCUCAUAUGAUUAGGAGUGUGGGAUCACAAAGGUGGAGGGACUAAUCAUGUUGAAUCGAUUGGGUUGGUUAAUCUAGAGUUGUAAAUCAUACAUGUUUGUCUCUUUUAUUCAUGUGAACGCCAGAACCAAGGAGAAGCUUAUAAAAGUGAUAGUCAAUUACCUUAAUAUGUUACCUUACUUGAAGAGUGAUGGUACAGUAUCACCAUGUGGAAGCUUUCCUUUCUUAGCGGUUGUGCAUCGUGUUUGUGGCACCCUCCAUGGAUCAUCUCUUAUGAGCUAUGUCUUCCUUGUGCAAAUUGUUAACCUUCAGGUGUCUCUCAAUUUGUCUCCAAUGUGAGUUUACCUCAGGACUUCCCAGGUCGAUAUUGGAAGUUUUCCUGCAGGGGUUAGUCCAACAAAAUAUCCAAUAUCUACUAUAGCAUACUAUCGGCUCAAAAAUCAACCUAGACACCAUGUCUAAUUUGAUGUAGGAGGACAUUUUAACCUAAGCACCAUGCUUAAUUUAAAAUCCCUUGGAUGUAUGAUCAUCAUUCCUAAACUAUGCACCAUGCUUAUUUAAGAGAUAAAUGAAACUACUCCAAACCUAGACAUAUACUAAAGCAAAUAAAGGUAGCAUGAGAGCAUUUAUAGACAUCUACUCAAGUGGAGAUGAAAUAGUGUGAUUAGUAUUUAACAAAUUAAGCAUGUCUCAAAGGUAGGGACAACCAACAUAGCAACAUGGCAAAGGAUAUUUUUAUGUAAAGUACUCCCCUAUGCUUGAAUUUUGCACAACUCAAGUUUGAAUGAAUUUAAUUCAAUGUUGUAUGAUGAUUGGUUGGACAUACCUUGUGCUUGUAAUUCAUCCGAUCUUCUUGCUCCAAUCCUGGAAAGGUUAGUGACAAGAAUACCCGAAGGAAUAUUUUUACAAUUAUCCUUAUAUGCUCAAUACACAAGGAAAUAUUGCAAAUAAUUAAAAGCUCAUGUUACGAUCUGAUCAGUGCUUAUUUUAGGAUACUAAGCUUGUCUUUGGGAAACCAUCAAUUUAUGUCGGCAAAGUGGUUUCCCCUACAACGCUGACCUAUAUCAAGAUCAACUCAACGAGAUCUGCAAUAUUUAUUAUACACAUAUGCAUCGACAACCGCCCUUUUAUAAUUUUUAUAAAUAGAAAGGAAGAGGGGGUUCGAGAUCUCAAAUGUGGUGAUGUUGGAGAGACCAAUAGAUUGGGAAGAUGAUGCAUAUGAGCAUGGAGUAAACGAAGUGGCUAUGAAAUAAAUUCCAUGCCCAUUAUUGUUAUCUUUGUCUCCAAUCUGAAUGUUCGGAGUUUCUCCUAGAUUGGUCUCGCCUAUGUCCUCUUCUGUAGUUGGAUGAAUCUCAUCUUCAAAGGGAGUUAAGAACUCACCAUUUGAAAUUGAGCCAAAGUCGGAAUCCAUUAAGGCUUCUUCCUUGUCCAUCCAUUCAAUGGUGAUAGCACAUGGAUUUUUAAUGCCCUCUAGCCAUUGAUGUUGCUCUUCUCGAUCCUGCUUAUGGUCUUGGUGACUCUUAUGCAUGGGAUGUCUAGAGAGAUUCAUAGGAUCAUCGGGAGAUUCAAGAGAAAGAGCAUAGUAGAAAUUAUUAGGCUCAAGGAUGGGUUUUAAGAUAGGUUCGAACGAGUCAUCAAAAGUGGGCGUAGAAGGGGAGAUGAUGAGAUUGUCUUCUAAAUGGCUUCGCUCUCCUUCUAUUGCAUCACAUAAGAUGCCAUCCUUGAGUCUUUCUAGAUGUCCAUCAAAGGGAUUGGAUUUGAGAUGCUUUCUAAGAGAUCCCUUCUUAGGAAGGUUCACUAUAUGCACUCAAAGGUCUUUUAUGAAGCAGGAAGUUUAAGCUCAUCCCAAAAUGAAUUUCCAAAGGUAGAAUUUCUUCUUGCCUUAGAUGAUUUUGGAGCACUACUAGUUUGGGUUGGAUAGCCGAAUCAUGGGAUUGAAAUGUUUGGAAAUCGGCUAUUGAAACUUCUUUUCCUCGUCUGGGAGAUGAUUCCUUCUCUAUCUCUAGGAUUUUUUUAUGAAGACUAGUGCAAGAAGGAUGUCCAUGAAUGAAGACAUACCUUGCUUUACUAACAGAUAAAGAAAGAAAAACUCUACCAAAGGUUAUAUGAUUAAGACCAAUGUGAAAAUAUCGAGGAAAAACAUGGUCUUUUAGGGCUAGGUCUAAACCAAAAUUUAUAGAAAGAUUUAAAGAUUCCCUAGGUGUAGCUAAAAGUUCGUUAUCUUCGUGAUUAAAAGAUAGGACCUCGGCUAUAGAAAAGGGCUGGUUUUGACCUAUUGCAAUCAACUCCGGACACAGAUCAUAAUUAGGGCACAGAAAGGACUUGUUGACUCCCAUGGUCUAUGGCUGGUCUCCGAAGGUGCAAAAAAUUCAAUAAUUGGUGUGGAAUUUGAGUUAUCCAUAAAGAUGGGAAAAAUAAAAAGAUAAAAAGAAUAAAAGUAUAAAAGUAUAAUACAAGAUAAUAGCAAGACUUAAAGUUAUCUCAGCAAACUGUCUUUCUCUCCGGCAAUGACACCAGAAAUGCUUGUUGAUAUUUGGUAACGCCAUCAGGAAAUGAUCCGCAAGCGCAUGGAUAUCGGUGAGCAUUUCAUCCAGGAGGUUAUCCAGAGUAUCGUAUUUAUAUUUUUACCACUGGGAGAAAGCGUGCAUCUGACUAACCAAAUCUAUUGCUACUACCCAUUAGGCUACAAACAAUGUGAUUCAAUGUGAGCGAUGUAUAGAGGAGACUUCAACUGCACCCUCGUUCUAACCUUGGUAAGGAUGAUCUACUAUUCUGUUGGGGAGGCUCAUGGAAUCUAGACACCACAGAGGAUGUUCGACCCGCACCUAUAAAUCCUAUCGAUCCUGCUAACGGGAUUAUGGGCUACAAAGGUAACUCGGAAAUGUCACGUUCCUCGCUACUACCACGGUCCGGCUAGACAGGGGAUAUCUAUGAGUAUUCUAGCCCAAACACCACGUUUACGCUAGAGAUGAUUACUCUAAACUCUACAUGAAGAGAUCAAAGUAAACUCAUAAACCAAAGAACAAUAAAACAAAGAACUUACUAGAAUUUAGAAGUCAAAAUACUGAAGAAUCCUAGGUGCAAGCCUCGGGUUAGGAGACUUGAUCCCGCAGGUACAACCUCAGAGUAGACACCGACAGGUCGUGCUUCCUCCGAUCUACACCACCACUCUAUCUCUCUCAAUCUAGUAGAACUAAUUAUACUCUCACAUUGGAUGCUAAGCCCUAUGAGGUUGGAACCCUAAGGAACCUCUCUCUCUUAAUCCUCUUUGGAAAAUAUGCUAAUGAAUAUUGCCUCCUCGAGGGGCCAGGGUUCCUGCUUAUAUAGCCCCUCCAAAUGAAUAUGGGCUGUCGGAUCAAACCGACAUUAAUCGCACGGUUUUCCUUGAUCCUUUAGGUCGGUGGAGCAUAAUCCGUGAGGUGGAACGUGAUUGGUUGAGACACCUAGGCGGGCGCCCUUCCCCCGGGCCCGCUCGGCCUCCCGUUCAUUCCCGUGUGUUAUGGACUCUUCUAGAUGAUAGAAAAUUGUGUGGCACGUUAAAAUCUCUAUGUAAACCCGAUGUGUGGGCCUUUCCUCCAUAUUUCCUGAUAACCCCCUGCAGAAAUAGACAAACACCAAAACUCGUGGAAUUCUGUCAAAUAAAACCCUAAGUCUAGGUGUUGGUUGCAUUUGGAUCCUUUUCUUUAUUUAUUUGAUGAUUAUAUUUGGUACUUAAGGUCCGUCAACACCCGUCACUUCGACAAUAUGGUCUCCAUCCGCACUUUGCCAGAAGACAAGUGCAGCAGCACAAACUGCAGCAUAGGGUCGGUCCCUACCGAGGUUUUACACCCUGAGGACGAAGACUACGACUUAGAUCUGCCGCCAUACCCCCCGGGGUUUUCCCGCUUCCCAGUCUUUCCACCCGGACGAGGUGACCAGGUUCUCAACGUCAGCAAUGACAAACCAGUUGUCGAAGGCGAAACCGAGGAGCAAAGACAGUAGCGAGAGCAGUGCAAUGUCGACUGAGCCCAACGACAAGCAGACGAGGAGCGACAACUCGCCCCAAACAACCUUGGUGAUGCUUUCGACAUGGUCGGAAAUCAGUGGGUCUACAAGACACCAAGCGCUAAUGUGGUCGUCGCCAUGGCAAACUUAGAUCGCCUUCCCGACACUACGGAAUAUCAGGACGUUCGAACCAACAUAUGAGCGCAUCUGAUCGCGGCCAUGGGACAGACCGCUACUCUGCUCAAAAGGGUCCAAGCCGUCUCCUACACGGAGGUCACCUCUGACCAGACUCAUCGCAGCCGCACCUCACCACGAUCCGGUGGGCACCAUCGUAGCCGUUCACCUAUCAAUAAUCAAAGGAGGGACACCCAUCGCUACAAUCGUUGUCAAGACGCUGGCAGUUACCACGAACAAAAGCGCGGACGUGGUCAGGAGGUGAACCAAGACCGGGACCUAAGACACAACAUCCCUCCUAAGGAUGUCCGUGAACGCAUCAACAGGCGCAUUACAGAACGAGCAGUACAUGAAAAUGUGCGACGCAUCGAGUACGAUGCAGCACAUGGCCCCCCGGCCUAAGAAAUUACUCCUCACACCUUCGCCAAGUCAUAUGGCCUCGCAACUUCAAGCUUGAGAAGCUUAAAAAGUACGAUGGCAAGGAGAAUCUCGAGAACAGCAGGGGACGAGCACGUCAUGGCAAACUACUUCUUAGUCGUCCUCGACCAAGCCGGCCACCAAUGGCUCCUCGGUCUACCCGAGGACUCUUUCGAUUCUUGGGAAGAAUUGCGCCAGGCGUUUAUUGAUAAUUUCAUUGCUACCUGCGAGCAGCGUGGAAACAAAUACGACCUUGAAAGGAUAAGGGACAGGAAGAAUGAGCCCUUGCGCGAUUACAUCCGAUGCUUCUCGGAUAUGCACCUCAAGAUUCCAAAGAUUUCCCACGACGAGGCUAUGUCGGCCUUCAUCAAGGGCCUACGCUUCCACGAAGCAUUAAGAAGCAAGCUACUACGCAAAAGGCCGACCACGGUCGCUGAGCUCCUCGCCACGGCCAAAAACUACGCCAAUGCCGACAACGCAGAAAAGCUCAUCCGCGAAGAUGUAAGAGGAGCCGAGCAGCCUCCCCGAUGAGACGACAACCGCAGGCGUUUCAUCCAGAAGUCGUAGUCAAUAUGGGAAACAUGUGAUUAUCCUAUUUAUACCCCCAUAGCUAGUCCCCGAGCUCCAUGUAUUAUGAUGCAACACGCCGUCUUGAGCUUCUUCGACCAGCAAGACUUGACAUCUUUGACAACCAGGAAAGUCGCUUGAACAAUUGUAACGAUAUUUUGACCAAUCUUGAAAACCAGUUGACCAACAUCAACAUCGAAGAAGCUGGUUGUUCGAAGAAUGCAAGGUGCUCUUUGAGAAAAAAUAUUUCUUUCGCGAUGAAGUGUGCCCACUUUACUUUUCUACAUAGUAAAGUUUGCCAAAAACAAGCAAGUUCACCGCAAGGUGAAGUGUGCCCACUUAGUCCCCGAGCCGGGUAGUAGGUGACAUAGGCACGUGGUGCCAGGGGCAAAAAAGAAAAAGUCUCCAUAGAAAAUCUGAUGUUGAGAUGCAUCGCCAGAAGGCGUAGUAUGAGCCGACGUAGUCCUCGAGCUUGCCGGAAGGCGUAGUAUGAGCCUUGUAGCAAGGUCAAAAUAGUUAAAAUUAUCCAAUUAGACGUUAUGCAAUUAGAUUUUCCAAGCUGAGGGCGCGUCACACUUGUUUGCGACUGAAUGGAAACGGCCAACCGGUCGGGCGAACUGGUCGGCCAGUCCCCGACCAUAUCGUGCUCGGUGGUCGGUACAGUCCCCAGAUUGUUGAAUAGGCAAACUGGUCGGCCAGUCCCCGAGCAUAUCAUGCUCGGUGGUUGGUAUAGUCCCCAGAUUGUCGAUUGGGCGAACUGGUCGGCCAGUCCCCGAGCAUAUCAUGCUCGGUGGUCGGUGUUGACGGUCCUUAAGUACUAAAAUUAACAAUCAAAUAAACAUAGAAAAGGAUCAAUAUGCACCAAACAUCUAGAAUUAGGGUUUUAUCUGACAGAAUUCCACGAGCUUUGGUGUUUAUCUAUUUCUGUAGGGGGUUAUCAGGAAAUAUGGAGAGAAGGCCCACAUGUCAUGUUUACAACGAGAUAAUUACGUGCCGCGCAAUUUUCCUCAAUCUAGAAGAGUCCAGAAGCCACGGGAACGAACGAGAAGACGAUCGGGCUCGGGGGCAGGGCGGCCGCCCACCCCCCCUUGGGCGCCCGCCCAGGGUUAGAGUCCAAUCAGGACUCUCUUUCGGGACUACGCUCCACCGACCUAAAGGAUGAAUCUAAACCAUACAAUCAAUGUUGGUUUGAUCCAACAGCCCAAAUUCACUUGAAAGGACUAUAUAACCAAGGCCUCUCCACCCCUGGGGGAGAGAAGAGAAGAGGAAAAAUCAUUAUCAGAGGUAGCCAUCAAAGUUAGGGUUUAGAGCUUCUCUCCCACAGAGAAUUAGUAUUAGCUACUCCCUAAUCCUUCAAGUUUAGAGGUUUGAUUAGAUAGCAAUUAGAGAAGUAGAGCACUACGCUCUGGAUUCAGAUCUUCGGUAAUAAAGUUUGGUAUUAUUCAUAUCUUCCUCUAAUACUUUGUUCUAAUUGCAUUAUGUCUUUAUUUAUUAUGAUCUUAGUUUGUUCUAGUUCUAUAUUUGAUAUAGUUAUGAUUGAUAAUAAGUUUAUGUAUAAGUUUGCAAAGCGCUUAGCUCUCAAUGCGAGGGAGUUAAGUGGUAGAUCACAUGUGGGCGUGGUGCUUAGAUGUUAUUUACCUGCAAAUGUAUCCUACUGGCCGGGUUGUGUGGUAGUUCGUGAUAGUGACAGCUUUGUUGAUUCUUAUAUAGUCCACCCUCCGUUUAUAGGAUGGGCAAAACUUGUAUUGCGGAGUAAGUCUUGCAAUGUUCUGAUUUACUUUAGCAAUGUUCCUUAUACAUGAAUGAAGAGUCUUUUAUACUAUAUAUGAUCUUGUAGAUAACUAGAGUAGAUUAUGACUUAGUAGAUAGUAGAUAACUUAGAAUCCAUUCUCUAGCUAAUCUGACAUCACCUACAUAUAUGAGGAGUAGUCUAUUUUCUAAUCGCUGUGUUAUCUACCCUUGAACUUAUAAUUCAUUAUCAUUAUCUUUAUGGUUUACCCCCUGUUUAAGUAAGUGUCUGUGUGACGAGUUUUUCAUUAGUAAUCAUAUUCUUGCAAGUUUAUCUCUAGUCUAUGCCUUGAUAGAUUUUGCCCUUAUUUUAAUUCCAUCCCUUUUGUUCUCUUAAGCAAAAUUAUAAAUAACGAUACCUGGAAUACUUAUCCUGGUGAAAUGCUACAAUGAGGUAUUUUAUCUGUGCGCUCGCGGAUAGAAUAGAUUAUUUUCUAGAGAGCCUUUACAUUUAUAAAUACCUUUGUACACUCUGGCGCCAUGCUGGGGAUGACAACCUAGUAUCUAAGUGGUGUUAGCUAGUGUCAACAAGCAUUUAAUUUCUGGCGCCGUUGCCGGGGAACAAAACGGUAAUACAUAGGAACGGUAAGGAAAGUUAGGAAAUCAGUCAAGGUUAUUCACAUAAAAUAUUAGACUAGGCUAUAGAGAAAUAAUUGCUAAAACAGCUACUAAGUGAGAAAUCAUAACAAGACACCUCUGCUUUGGCAGGUUCACCCUGUUGUUUUUCUUUGUUUAUAUUUUUAUACAGGGUAUAUCAGGAUUGACUUUGGGUAUUUUCAACUCUUUAUCAUCAGAACCAAAGCAAUCAAGAAAGAAAGAAGAAGCUAGCUACCAAUUGCUGAAGCUAUGGCACAGAAGACCCUACAAGAAUUCUCUGCUCCAAGUCUUGAGAACAUUCCAACUGAACAUUCCAAAUGGUCCAAGAUUUGCAGAAGAAGAAGGAGUACCCGAGUUCGAGCUCAAGUCAAGCCUCAUCAAUUUGGUACAAGCUACACAAUUCAAUGGAAUGGCACAUGCAGAUGCUAGUGCACACUUGCAGAAUUUUUUAGAGAUUGGAAGCACAAUCCACAUCAACGGAGUUGACAAAGACGUCAUACUGCUUCACCUUUUUCCAUUCUCACUAGAAGGAAAAGCGAGGAAGUGGAUCUACACUCAUCAAGAUAACAUCAACAAUUGGACGAACUUGUGAGAUGCCUUUCUUUCAAAGUUUUUCCCUAUAGGCAAAACAACUGCCUUAAGAGGAAAUAUUGUCAGUUUCCCACAGCAGAAGACAGAAGCCAUUUUAGAAGCAUGGGAGCAUUUUCAAGGAUACAUAUCAGAUUGUCCUCACCAUGGAAUGGCCACAUGGUUACUUAUGCAGACCUUCUACCAUGGAUUAACCCAGAAGGCUCAUGAGUGCCUAGAUGCAUUUGCUAAAGGAUCAUUCUUGGAGCUUACAACUAGAAAAGCAGAGACACUUUUGGAUAAGAUAGCAGAAAACCAAAGCUGGUUCCAAGAUGAAGCUCAACAAUGUCAUCAAACUGAAGAAAUACCAGAAGAAGUAAAAGUAUUAUCAACCAAGAUGGAAAAUUUGCUCCAUUGGAUUGACCAGAGGGCCAAGUUCAAAGAAGAUCAAAGGGCCAUUGUGACAGCAUACAAAUAUCAACCAACCUCGAGUCAACCCAAUAGCAAAGGUAUGAAUUCAGGUAAUACUUUCAAGCAACUUUCAUUAAAAGAGAUAAUUGCUCAACAAACCAAAAUUAAUGAUGAAGUUAAACAAAGGCUAGAUACAAACGAAUCAUCUCUAAAAGAUAUACACAAUAAAAUGGAUUUUCUAUUAACUGCCUUUGAUGAGCAAAACACUCUUAAUAAAAGGGUGGAGCUUAAAUUAAUAAAGUUAGCUGCUGCACUGCCUGUUGCUACUAACAUUGAGCAUGUAAAGAAUAUAACUACUAGAGGAGGCAAAGCCACCAGAGAUCCCCCAUACCCAAAAGAGAAACAAAGAACAUUAGCACCAGUGCAACCAACAGUGAUAGAAGAAGAAAGCCCAGUUGAAGCAGAAGAUCUGCUACAACCACCAAGAACUGGAGAAAUGAGGAAAGAUUUUUACGACACCAACUAUUUGCCAUUUCCCAGAAGAAACAGAGGACUGCAGUCGGAUGAGCAGUUUGGUAAGUUUGUAGAGGUCAUUCAGAAAUUAUAUGUCAACAUACCUCUACUUGAUGCCAUACAGGUACCUACAUAUGCAAAGUACAUCAGAGAUAUUCUUAACAAGAAGGGACCACUGCCCACCACUGAGGUUAUCAAGCUGACAGAAGAAUAUAGUGCGGCCAUCCUCAAUAAACCACCAAAGAAGAAGGAAGAUCCCGGAUGUCCCACUAUUGACUACUCGAUCGGAAACCAACACUUCAACAGUGCACUUUGUGAUCUCAGAGCAAGUGUCAGUGUGAUGCCAGCAUUAGUCUACAAAAAGCUUGAGCAUGCGACCCUAGAACCAACAUCAAUGUGCCUACAACUAGCGGAUCAAUCGGUUCGACACCCUUGGGUAUCGCCGAGAACAUUCCAGCCAAGAUCAGAGAUUUCCUUGUGCCAGUAGACUUCGUGGUACUGGACAUGAGUCCUCACUCAAAAGUGUCCAUCAUCCUUGGAAGGCCAUUUUUGAGCACUGCCAAUGCCCACAUUGAUGUCGGGAAAGGAGAAAUCAAGUUCAACAUAAACGGAUAAGAAGAACACUUCACAUUCAAACCCAGACCAGAGAGAGACUCUACAGUGAAGGAAGUUCAUGAAGAAGAACCACUAGACACACCAUCUCCGGAGGAAGCAAAUUCAGAAGAUUAAAAGAUUUGGAGGUCCAGCUUGGGGGACCUAAAAAAAUCCCAAACCCUCACCGGGAGGUAAAUCGGUAUUUAUCCACUUUGUUUAAAUUCUUGCAUAAUUAAUUCUUGCAUUAGUCAUAUUUAUUCAUAGCAUUAUUAUAAUAAUAAAAAGCCCCAUAUAAAUAAUAUUUAUGGUGUGUAACAACCCAUAUUUUAUUAAUUAUUGUGGAGGCACAAAAAUAUUUUUUCCAUUAUCAUUUCAAUAAAUUUUCAUUUCUCAUAGAUUUUCCUACAUUAUAUUUAAUUAUAGCAACCUUCUAGAAGCAUGACCCACACUCCUUGGGUCCCACAUGUCAUACACCACACCUCACAUACAUCCCAUCACAUUAUUUCAUCCACCAACAUAUCUCCACUAACCAGCACUUUUCCACCGGCCAACCACCACCCAUGAUCCAUUAUUUUGCGUGAGAAUUAAGCAGAGAAAGGAGUGGAGAAAGGGCAGCCAGAAUGGGCACCAAAGGUGGGCGCCCGCCCACCUACCAAGGGCGCCUGCCCUGCCCCCUCUUCCUCCUAUAAAUAGCCACCUUCUACCUCCAUCCUCUCCACACAAGCACUACAGAAAACCACACAAGUUUCAGUUUCCAGAGAAGGAGCUCUUGUAGUGAAGUGAGAAGAGAGUAGAGAAGAAGAGAAGACUGGAAAAGAAGUUUGUAGUUUUUAAGUGAGAGAGUGAGUUUCAUCUAGUAAGUAGUGAUCCCGCUGUCCAAGCGGAAGUAAAAGUUGUUUAAUGGGGAGGUUCUGCCAAAAUAGAAACUUGUCUUGAAUGACUAACCCCUAGACUACUGACAUUCCGGACAGCUGACCACUAACAUUUUCUCUCACAUUUUCCACUAGUUGUGUUUUUGCCAACUUUUGUUUACAGGAUGUUCAAGAAGGUGAAGAACGUAGGGAAGACUCUCAAGAACAUUGGUACAAGGAGUUCAUCCCGACACUCCUCACACCCAUCAGAGACGAGUGUCGAUCCUACGCCCACACAAGCUCCAUCAUCUUCAUCUAAUCAGCAAGUCAAGGUCCUUCUCAAGAUAGGAGACCUUGGACUAAAGACCCGAAGGGAGAAGGAAGUCUAUCAGCAACUAAAGAACAAAGAUUUCAUUCACACCCCUACUCUUGAUCCAAUCUUACUACAAGAAACACGUAUGGACACUGAAUUCGACUUAAUUUUCUAGAUGAUAGGUUGGACAAAUUUUUGGAAUAUAACUGAGCUGGGUUCUUGUCUUCUCACCCUCGAAUUUCUUUUCACCUUACAAUAUUAUGAGGGGGGAAUUGUUUUUCGGAUGUUCAAACAGGAGAUUAUGUUGUCUUGGAGAGAGCGGAGCGACCAUCUUGGUUUCUCUACAAGAUACAUCCUGAACAUUGACUCCGACCUACCUAACUUUGAGAGACACCAGUUUUGGAGAGAAAUAUCUAGAGAUAAUUUUUAUAGUCAAGCCCGAACCAGUGACAUGGAACACCCCACUCUUAGGAUGUUCCACAAAUGGCUUGGGUACAAUCUUUUCUAUCGUGAUGAUAUUAGGAAAGUAAGAGUAGGAGAUUUACAAUUUUUAUAUGCUGCUAUUAAUAAAGUACCCACUUCACCUGUAACACUUUUAGUUUCUCAUUGGCUUAUUAUACCUAGUCUUCAGGGACCAGUAGGAUGUACUUCACUUAUCACUCGUCUAGCCUCUAAUCUUCACUUGCUAGAACACUUGUCAUUGGAAUUCAUAGAUGAGUUAAGAAUUUAUCAUGGCUAUGACACAUUUAGACAAGCUCAGAUGUUAAAGAAAGAGGGAAAUAUAAUGUAUAUGCUAUAUGAUGAUAAAGCCAAGAUUCGGUUACCUAACCCGAACCUUGGCCUCUACGUUGUUCAAAAUUUUUUGAUUGAGAUUGCAGCAACACCAGUGAACCAGAGAGCUCCACAGCGAGUGGCAUCUGAAAGGAUGACCACCCACCGAGAACGCACCAGGUAUGGAGCUGAUCCCGGGCCAGAAGAAGCAGCGCACCUACAUUAUAGCGACUACAACCCCAAAGUCCUUCGAGACCCAUGGGUUCGACAUGCGCAACCACAAGAACCAACACAGGAGACAUGGCCGGAGAGUCAAGAUCACCACUGGACAAAUCCGCCUUUUCAUACGGGCAGGUACUCCACUGAUCCAAAUGGAGCUUCAGGAUCCAGACCUCCGUCCCAAUUCGAUGUAGGACGAUACUCCGACGCCUCCUACGCUUUCACGAAUGACUACUACCAAGAGGCUGGCGCUUUCUUCACUCGUACCGACAACACCCUCCUCGACAUCCAGAACACGCAAGCAGAACAUGGACGACUCCUGGAAGAGCAACAAAAAUGGAACCAGGACCAUGCCACUACAGUACAAAAGCUGAGACAAGAUACAACAACAAUGAACGACAACAUCACAACCAUGAUGCGGUUCUGGAACAUCGGGUAAGACCGACAGCAACAUCCAGCUUGGAGGAAUUCCUCCCAAAUUUAUCAAGUAAGUUUUUAUUUCAUCUUCUUAUUUAUCCUUUUCUAUUUUAGUAUUUUAUCCUAAAAGAAAAAAAUUAGAAAACCCAAUAAAUAUUUCUUGCUUUAAUUUACUGCAUUUUUAUAAAUAUGAAAACAAAAUAAAAAGAGUGGGUAGAUAAGUGUGCUUUAUUUUUUCUGUUAAUUUUAAUCUCUAGAAAAAAUAAAAAGACCAAAAAUACAUGAUGGAAAUGAUGAAUAGUUGCUCUGUUUGCUUACUUUCAAGUACCUAGCUUUUAUAUUAGAGUUCUUCUAGGAAUUACAAAAACUAAAAUGGGAAACAUAAAACUAAAAGUCUAUGUAAGGGAAAGACAUAAUAUAAAGUUUGAGCUGCUGUUUAUCUUGUUCCUACUACAUUAAGUUCUGGAGAUUUAUUUUGGAAACUUACAAAUCACAUGAUGAGUUCCUAGCAUAACAAAAUUCCUACCACAGCCAUACUUGCUAUAACAUCUUUUACUAUACUCACAUUGAGUUUGAUCGAGCUAUGUGGAACCUUAGGAGCUUUUCAUGUGGUUAAAUUAAGAUAUUCACUUGCACACAUACACUACACCAUCCAUCACCAUUCAUUAAAAUUGCUAAAAAUAUUAUUACUCACUGUCCCAAGUGUUGUUAUUCUCUCUCUAAAAAGAUUCAAUGCAGAAGAGGCAUGGGUUAUGCAAAAAUAUGCGAGGAAAUAAAAAGGGGCAAGUGCCCGGAACCUCGGAAAAGAAAGAAAAAGAGUGAGACGAGAGGUAAAAAUGGACAAGUGUCCGAAGUAGAAUUAGGGGUACAAAGAUGCCCACUUGAGCGGAAAAAAUGGACAAGUGUCCGAGAGUAGAAUUAGGGGUAUCUACUACCCACCUGAAAAAGAAAAGAAAAAGAUAGCCCAUGUUCUCCCAAAGCAAAGAUCAAAGAAGAGGGGAGAUAGCAAUAUGAGGAGCAAUGAGAAGUAAGCUUUAUCAUUACCUAUAUUUUCACCAUUACUAUCAUUUACUCCACCACACAUGCACAUCUUGAUUUAAUUAUAUGCUGAGUUCCUUUGGAUCCAUGGCUCGAUUAGACAACAUAUGUAUGAGCUGUUUUCACUCCUAUGAGCUCCACUUAAAUAUUCCAUUAGCUAUAGGUAAGUGACAUUUUGGUAAGGAUCCACAAAUACCACAUAUAGAGGGACUUGAGAGAAUCAUUGCUGGGAACUCUGAGUUUUAUUUUGAAAACUUAUGAAAAAACCCGGAACAAAGGUGAAGUAUAGACAGGAGGAAUAGUGCUUGACUUAAUUAUUUUGUCUUUUGAUUACUUAAGACUUAAGUGCACGUACUAAGUUCCAUAACACUUCACUCUAAUCUGGAAGAAUUUUUAUGUAAAAGCACGUGUGCCUGUCAGGAAAGAAAACAUCGAAGCAACUCGUGAUCCAUCUGAGUUUAGCUGUUUGCUCAGGGACGAGCAAAGGGUAAGCUUGGGGGAGUUUGUUGACGGUCCUUAAGUACUAAAAUUAACAAUCAAGUAAACAUAGAAAAGGAUCAAUAUGCACCAAACAUCUAGAAUUAGGGUUUUAUCUGACAGAAUUCCACGAGCUUUAGUGUUUAUCUAUUUUCUGUAGGGGGGUUAUCAGGAAAUAUGGAGAGAAGGCCCACAUGUCAUGUUUACAACGAGAUAAUUACGUGCCGCGCAAUUUUCCUCAAUCUAGAAGAGUCCAGAAGCCACGGGAACGAACGAGAAGACUAUCGGGCUCGGGGGCAGGGCGGCCGCCCACCCCCCUUGGGCGCCCGCCUAGGGUUAGAGUCCAAUCAGGACUCUCUUUCGGGACUACGCUCCACCGACCUAAAGGAUGAAUCUAAACCAUACAAUCAAUGUUGGUUUGAUCCAACAACCCAAAUUCACUUGAAAGGACUAUAUAACCAAGGCCUCUCCACCCCUGGGGGAGAGAAGAGAAGAGGAAAAAUCAUUAUCAGAGGUAGCCAUCAAAGUUAGGGUUUAGAGCUUCUCUCCCACAGAGAAUUAGUAUUAGCUACUCCCUAAUCCUUCAAGUUUAGAGGUUUGAUUAGAUAGCAAUUAGAGAAGUAGCGCACUACGCUCUGGAUUCAGAUCUUCGGUAAUAAAUUUUGGUAUUAUUCAUAUCUUUCUCUAAUACUUUGUUCUAAUUGCAUUAUGUCUUUAUUUAUUAUGAUCUUAGUUUGCUCUAGUUCUAUAUUUGAUAUAGUUAUGAUUGAUAAUAAGUUUAGUUAUAAGUUUGCAAAGCGCUUAGCUCUCAACGCGAGGGAGUUAAGUGGUAGAUCACAUGUGGGCGUGGUGCUUAGAUGUUAUUUACCUGCAAAUGUAUCCUAUUGGCCGGGUUGUGUGGUAGUUCGCGAUAGUGACAGCUUUGUUGAUUCUUAUAUAGUCCACCCUCCGUUUAUAGGACGGGCAAAACUUGUAUUGCGGAGUAAGUCUUGCAAUGUUCUGAUUUACUUUAGCAAUGUUCCUUAUACAUGAAUGAAGAGUCUUUUCUACUAUAUAUGAUCUUGUAGAUAACUAGAGUAGAUUAUGACUUAGUAGAUAGUAGAUAACUUAGAAUCCAUUCUCUAGCUGAUCCGACAUCACCUACAUAUAUGAGGAGUAGUCUAUUUUCUAAUCGCUGUGUUAUUUACCCUUGAACUUAUAAUUCAUUAUCAUUAUCUUUAUGGUUUACCCCCUGUUUAAGUAAGUGACUGUGUGACGAGUUUCUCAUUAGUAAUCAUGUUCUUGCAAGUUUAUCUCUAGUCUAUGCCUUGAUAGAUUUUGCCCUUAUUUUAAUUUCAUCCCUUUUGUUCUCUUAAGCAAAAUUAUAAAUAACGAUACAUGGAAUACUUAUCCUGGUGAAAUACUACAAUGAGGUGUUUUAUCUGUGCGCUUGCGGACAUUUAUAAAUACCUUUGUACACUCUGGCACCAUGCUGGGGAUGACAACCUAGUAUCUAAGUGGUGUUAGCUAGUGCCAACAAUCGGUACAGUCCCCAAGCAUAUCAUGUUCGUCAGGCCGAAGAUCAUGCCUAUCUUUUGAAAAAAUGUAUCGCCAUAUUAAUGUGUGAUGUGACGGGGGGUCCUGCCAUAUUGUCAGUCUGUUGCAUAAAAAGGGGCGCCUGCUAACUGUGCGACCGAGAAAAGGAAACCAGCAAUCAUGCAAAAAGGCCACCAAAUUAACUGCGAUAAUUCUUGAAAACCGAAACGCCACAACUGCCGCAAGAUCCGCCCACUUCCCCAAAAUGCGGGAAGUGGGGAAGGUGGGUUUGCUGUUAUAAAGGGCUCGAUGUUGCGUCCAUAUUUUUUACCCAGCCGUUGCAUAGCAGCCUCCUGCCUUUGCCACUACUGCCUCCUGCCUUCACCAUCGUCAGCGCCCCUAAACGCUCAACACCCAGUUCAAAGCUUGCCCUACUGCUUCGAUGGCGAAGAGUGAUUUGAAGAAGAGGGCCAAGAUGAUGGCCAAAGAGUGGAAGAAGUCUCGGAGCACCACGAGGUCCCUCAACGACCUCGUCGGAAUGGGGCUUCUGCACAACCAGGAGCUCGGCGGCUGGAGGGCGCCGGAUAGAGAGAGUUUCCCCGACCCCUGCGCCGGUGAGAUCGUAGUCUUUGAGGAUUACUUCAAAAGGGGAUUUGGGGUUCCCGUUCAUCCUUUUAUUUAGGGUCUUCUCCUUUAUUAUGAGAUCGGAAUUUGCAAUCUGCACCCGAACUCUAUUCUCCUUAUCUCUACCUUCAUUCAUCUAUGCGAGGCCUAUGUUGGGAUAGAGCCGCAUUUCGAUCUCUUUCGCUAUCUGUUUAGUUUGAGGAAGAAGGGAGUAGUUGGAGGCUCUAAGAUUGCAGGUGGAGUAUACCUCAAUCUUCACGACGGGAUGAAGAACUGUUACCUCAGCUGCCCGUGGAACACCUCCCUCACCGAGUGGUACAAGACGUGGUUCUACAUCAGAGAGGAGCCAGACAGCGCCACGUUCUGCGACGUUGGCUACGUUCCUGAGAAGGGGGUUAGCUGGACAGAUCGUCCAGAGUAUACUAGUCAAUUGUCAGAGCUGAUGAGCCUGAUCGACUGGUCCCACCUGGACGGACCAGGGGUGGUCGGGAACUUCCUCGCUCGACGAGUGAUGCCUUGCCAGAGGAGAGUGCACUUGGCGUACGAGUACGCAUGAAGCCAAGACCCGACCAGGAUGCACCGGGACAAUUUGGGAAAAUCAGAGAUCCACCAGAGGAUGAACGAGUUAUUCAACCUGGCUGAUAAUAGCUUCGUUUGAAGUGAUGAUCGAAUGCAUGCCUUCAAGCUAGGUCGGUCAACUCCUAAGGUAAAUGAAAACCUUGGUUUAUUUGUAAUGCUAUUGAAUACUGUAGCCUUUGACUGAUGACUUGUUGCCCUUGUAUUGUAGAUAGGAGAUAUUGACCGGUGCACGGUGUAUGUGUCGCUGGCACCCGGUAUGGACCAUCCUGCUGGGGUAGAUCCGCCGGCAGUCAAUGCUGCUGGGUGUUUCCAAUACACCAGCAGUGACGAGGACCAGAGCCGUCCAGCACCGACCACAGAUGACAGAGUGGCCGGGAAGAGGCCAAUGACUGUGGAGCCAUCCUCCACGGAAGCAAUUAUAGCAGGGACGGCUGCAGACCCUUCGAAGGGCCAAGGCUCAACCAGCCAUGCCCCCAAGCGUCGUCGGCUUGUGAGGAUUGUCGAUGACGACAACGAGGAGGAUGAGACGGCCCCGUCCUUGGUCCAGAUACCACGCAGCCACCCUGACGUUGCGCCGAUCGACGCUGGUCGGGUAACUAGGGACACGCUUGCCGCACACGUUGAGCCGAUAUGUCCUGGAGGAACAAAAGCGGCAGCGGCGGUUGGGAGGACCAGGAGAAGGUUCUUCACAGCGGCGCACCGGAGCUCCGACAUGUAAGUCCGAAGAAACGUCUGUGCGCUCUCCCCUUUUUUUACUAGGUUUUGAUGUCGAUAUGGUAAUUUGCAUUAACUCUUAUUUGUAGUGCUGCCUCUAAUGUUGAUCCGAACAAUGUUGCUGGCCUAAGGACAACCGAGCCGGCAGUUGCCGAUGAGAAUGCCACCGAGCAGACCGUCCGCGAGCAGCCUGUGGAGCGGCCCGCGGUUGUGGCCUUGACAGAAACCGCCGAGGAGAACCCAGCUCAAGACAAGGCUGGGCUGAGUACCCCGACGAGGGGUGAUGAGACCGCGGGGACGCCUCCCUCGAACAGAGUUGCAGAGGAGGGAGACAAGGUCCCAACCCCCCUCCAGCUAAAGAAGAGAGGGCCCCAACUCCAGCCCCGGCGGAGGCUUCCAUGCCGGAGGGCUCCCCUAGCCAGGGUAAGGGUCCUAUGAUACUCGUUACCGUGGCUGGGGGUAGUGCGGAGUGCGAGGAGGCCCAGGCGGCUUCCGAUGACGAAGUGGAGGAAAUCUAGGGGCGUCCUCACGAUGGUCACCAACAUGUUUACGUGUGGCGCUAGCGUGGGGACCACUGGGCUGGCCACGAGGAGAUCGCCGAGACCGAGGAGGCGGCGAGGGUAGAGCGCGCUGCUAAGCGGCUCGUUGAUGAAGUUAAGGUGAGUGUCUUAUAUUCUAUUGGAGUAUGUAUAUACUGUUGCUUGUUCACUGUGCGAUAUGUAUAUUUCUCGCAGGGUGCAAUGAAAACGGCGAAGUACCAAAAAAGGUGCUUCGACCAAAUUGAAGGUGUGGUCGCCGAAAACAAGGCCUUAACUGCAGAGGUGGACCGCCUUCGGCUGUAGGCCGAAAGGGAGGCGACCGCGAAGGUGGCUCAGGAGGAGCGUCUGCUGGACCUAAAUCGACGACUAGCCGAUAAGGACCGUGAGAAGUGGGGUAAGUCGAGUGGUCCGAGCAUUUGCAGUUAACCGCGUGGUCGGUUUUGAUGACCAACAAUUGUUGCUUCAGGUCUGGAGGAGGAGAUCGAGCGUCUCCGAAAAGAGAGGGACCAGCUCGACCAGGAGCGUGCCAGUGCACUGGAGACUGAGCACAAGGUUGGCCAGGAGCUGAAGAAUAGGAAUCGGGAGUUGGCUGGUAAGAGCUAUUUCCUCCUUUUCGACCAUGCAGUUCUCUCUUUUUUAUACUACUGUAGCAUAUGGCUGAUUGUUUGCUUGGUUUUUCUUGAAAACUUGGUCAUAGUGCUUAAAGCCAACACUAAGAAGCACCUCGACGAGCUGGUCAAGGAACAGGACUCCUGGAAGACGAACUGCAUGAAGCUCUGGAAAGGAGUUGCCCCAGUACUUGACCUGCUCAGUCCUGAGCUCCCCGAGGAUCAGCUCCGCGCGCCGAAACUGACCCCGAUCGAGAAGGCAUAGCUAGCGUGGGGCUGGCUUCAGCAGUUCGUCAAGGAUGCCAGGGAGUUUGCCAAAGCACACGUCCUCAGCAUGGUACGUGCUCACUACCCCCUGGUCGAUCUGUCCCGGCUAGAGAGGGGAUAUCCGAAGGAGGUUGGACCGAAGGAGGUAGAUGACCUACGCGUCAGCCUGCUCGACCUAUCGUCGACGGUGAUCGACAAUAUAAACCUUUGCGGGACGUCAACCCCCCCCCCCGAUCAGCCGUGAUUAGACAGGUUGGCCAGGGAGUCGUCGGGGGCGUCGAUUGCAGGAGAUGGGCGGUCGACGCCUGCGGUCUCGACUAGCCAGGCGCCGGUGGCCCCGACCCCUUCGGCGGGACGAGAAAGGCGUGCGGGUGAUCAGCCUAAGCAGUAGGUUCGUAGAGUAGUCUGUAGGAGUAAACUUUGUAUUUAAAGUUUGUAAUAAAGUCCAAAUUUUGAGAACCAUGGUUUUGAGCGCUGUGAAUAAAUUCGCUUGAGUGACGUAUCAGUGAAUCAUGUUGAUUGCCCUUGAGGAGCUUGUCAAGGAGAGUUAUUGUAGCACUUGUCGAGUAUUCUGCAUAUGUAAAAUGUGACAGAACCGCCCAAUUUAUACAAGUUUAAGUACGACUGUCCCUGUUUAACACGUUGACAUGCGCAUACUCUCACUUAUAUAAACCCGGUAGUCUGCCUAGUGUCACGAAGGACCUCGGUAAAUCAACUUUACACCAAGAUCGCAUGAUUAAGCAAAUACACAUCACAUACACGGAGAUUUGCAGCGGAAAUAAUAUUACAAAAGAGUUCACAAAUAAUAGUACAUGUUUGGAUUUUUUUCCAAAUAGAUUAGAAAACAACAUAGCUUUUAAAUUAUUACAAUAACAUAAGUUCCAAAUACACUGCUAGCAUAAGUGACAUCCUCCGACAAAAGCAUGUAGAUGAGAACACUAUAUAGAAUCACCGAGCCCACCGGCGGUUAGCCACCAUCCUUAGCAGACUGAAAACUUCACCUGCAAUAGGGUGGGAUAAACCCUGAGUACUCGAAUGUACUUAGCUAGACUUACCCGACAGGAGAGAAAAUAAAAGACUCUCAAGGAUAUGCAAGGCUUUUUGGUGGAGUUGGUUGGAUAGCAUAACUUUGCCAAAAAAGCAUUACUAUCAUGAGUCCUUACUUUCAACCUUUUAGUCAAUAUUUUAGCAUCAAGUUCAAUUAAGCUACCAUAGCUAGAUUUUGCACCUAUUCUAUAGCAAUCACUUGAUUAAUGAGCAUCGCAUUAAUAACCAUAUCCGGUUUAUCAUGUAGCCAUCAUCAUCAUCAUAACCAUUAAGUUUCAUUUAGUUUAUCGACGUUGCCGCUGCCCGAGUCAAGUUCUCACUAUCCGGGAGAGACGGCGAUUCGAAUCGAUUCCUAUCCAGCUGGAGGGGUAUUCCUAGCACUCACCCAGGCAUACUUAGCUAGAGUAGCUUGGAUCACCUUUAGCACAACUCCGGACCAAUUCGCGGGUCCGUACGGCGCCGCACCCCAGGGACCGCCAAUCUGCCAGGGUCAGGACUCUAACCUGACUCCUCGGUCUUACGCCAUUGACUCCCCGCACAUCCUUGCUACCAACCGGGGUGCGCACUUUAACCGAACGGGGUAUCCGGCCGGAGAUGCACUCGUAGGCUUCGCGGUCGGAACGACUUAUCCGGUCAACUAAGUGUUAGGCAUGCAUUCAACAUGACACGAGGACGUUGUUGACGGUCCUUAAGUAUCAAAUUUAAUUAUCAAAUAAACAAAGAAAAGGAUCUAAAUGAAAUCAACAUCUAGACUUAGGGUUUUAUCUGACAGAAAUUUACGAGUUUUGGUGUUUGUCUAUUUCUGCAGGGGGUUAUCAGGAAAUACGGAGGAAAGGCCCACACAUCGGGAUUACAUAGAGAUAUUAAUGUGCCACGCAAUUAUCUUACGUCUAGAAGACUCCAGAAGCCACUGGAAGGAAGCGGAGGCCGAACGGGGCCAGAGACAGGGCGCCCGCCCUCCUACCCUGGGCGCCCGCCCUGACUAGGAGCCCAAUCAGGACUCUUUCUCUCGGGAGAUCUCCACCUACCUAAAGGAUCAAGAAUAACCGUUCAAUCAAUGUUGGUUUGAUCCGACGGCCCAGGUUCACUUGAGGGGACUAUAUAACCAGACCCCCUGGCCCCUGGAGGAGGCACCCCUUGAUCAUUAUUCAUUAUUCAUAGACAGAGCAAAAGCUAGGGUUUAGAGAUGGGAGCUCUCCUCUCUUCUCUAAACUAGAGUAGAUCUAGAUAGUAGCAAGAUGGAGAGCGAAGGAGGAUUAGAGGAGAGGCCGGCCUGUCGUUUCUUCCUCCGGUUGUACUUCGUCAUGAUCAAGCUCUAAUCAAGCUUGCUCAUGGGAUGACUCUGGUAAUCUACUUCUAAUUCAUUAUGCAAUUACUAAUUAUGUAUGUUCUGGUUCACAACUCUUUUGAGUACUUCUAAUCUAUAGGACGCUAUAGGUGAGAGUUGUAGUAUAGGUGUAAGCGUGGUGCUUAGACCUAGAUUACUUGUGGAUAUCCCCUGUCUAGCUGGAUCGUGUGGUAGGCCGCGUAGGUGACAGUUACGUUGGUCCUCUGUAGUCCAUCUCUCGUUAGCAGGAUGGGUAGGGUUUAUUGGCCUAAGGAUAAGCAUCCUUUGUGGUGUACUCUUAUCACGUGGUUUGUCCCAGACAUAGACAUACCCCUUUGAAGUAGAGAAACCAUAGUUAUCCUCUCUAUUCUGCUACCAUCGCCCAUAUACUAGAAUUGCUCUAUUCUCUAUUCCCAUAUUAUCACUCACUGUUAUCUCACCUUUAAUAUUGUUCUUAUUCAAUUCUACCAUCUUUCCUAUUUACACUUAUCUAUUUAUCUUGGUUAAGUUAGAGCGUAGUUGGUUCUCCCGUUUCCCUGUGGAUACGAUAAAACCUUUAACCGGGUAAAAGCUUCAACGGUAUCCGUGCGCUUGCGGAUUAUCUCUGUGCAUAUAAAUACCAUAGUACACUCUAGUGCCAUGCUGGGGAUGACAACCUAGUAUUCAAGUGGUGUUAGCAAGUGUCAACAAGCAUUUUUGGCGCCGUUGCCGGGGAAACGGUUGCUGAGUUGACUACGAACUAGGUUAAUCAUUUUCUAAAAAAAAUAAAAAAAAUAAUAUAUAUUUCCUUUUAUCCUUUGCCUCAUCUCUGCUAUUCUUUCUCCUUAUCUAAUCCUUGAUCUCUGGUCUAUCAUGAAUUCAAACAUGUCUAUCUAUGAAUUUCAUAGACCUACGGGCACACAUCUCGAACCACCAAAAUCUUCAAAGCCUAUCAUAGCAUCUAGUUUUGAGAUAGACCCCGAAUACAUAGAAUUUGUUCAAAAACAAUCUUUCUCAGGAGAAGGUGAGGAAAACCCAUACACACACCUAAGAGAGUUUUAUAGAGUCUGUGACCUCCUUCGCAUUGAAGGCAUGUCCGAUGAGACCCUUAAAUGGAAGCUCUUUCCGUUCUCUUUAACGGGAAAAGCUAGACAUUGGUAUAAACUCAAAGUAGGGAGUGUUCAUGGAGAUUGGAAGGAGUUACAUAAUAAUUUUCUUUUAAAAUAUUUUCCAAUCUCCAAAGUGGUGGAACGUCGGCGUGAGAUUAUUUCUUUUAGACAACUGGAAGAAGAAUCUCUUAGCAAAUCAUGGGACCGCUUUACUAACCUUACUCUCACUGGCCCAAAGCUUUCUAUUCCAGAAGAAGUUCUUCUAAUUCACUUUUUGAGGGCCUUAGUGGGGAAAAUAAGCAAAUCUUGAAUACAGCCUCUAUCACCUACCUCCUUGUGAAGCUUGGAAUUUGAUUGAUUUAUUAAGUGGAAAGUCUCCUAGCUUUUAUAUCCCUGAGAAAGAGACAAAACCAGUUCCUAGACAAGAAGAAGAAGUUUCGAUAGCCAGAUCACAACCACUUCAAUUCCAAACUUUAGCUAUCAAUCCUAAACUAUCAAUACCCCAAAAUUCUCCAAGGGAGGAAGGAAUUCCGACCUUAAAUCUUUCAGAUGCUGAUGGUUUAGACUUCUGGUUCCAUAAGAGACCUUCAAGCAGGGAUAAUUCAAAUCCUCGCAAUAAUGGUUCUCUUAGAGAAUGUCCUGGUUCCUGUUAUGAAGAAGUCGAGGAUGACACAUCAAGUAAAGGAGAGCUAAGCCAUAUUGAAAAUCUAACACCUCCCCUUUCCUGAUCACAAGUUCUAAAUGGCUAGAAUGUGUAGAAUGGAUGGAUAAGGAAGAAGCCUUAAUGAAUUCUAACUUUGGUUCAAUUUCAAAUGGUGAGUUCUUGACUCCCUUUGAAGAUGAGAUUCAUCCAACUAUAGAAGAGGACAUAGGUGAGACCAAUCCAGGAGAAACUCUGAACAUUCAGAUUGGAGACGAAGAUAACAUUAAUGAGCAUGGAAUUUAUUUCAUAGCCACUUUGUUUACUCCAUGCUCAUAUGCAACAUCUUCCCAAUCUAUUGCUCUCUCCAACAUCACCACAUUUGAGAUCUCCAACCCCCUCUUCCUUUCUAUUUAUAAAAACUUUAAAAGGGCGGUUGUCGAUGCAUAUGUCUAUAAUAAAUAUUGCAGAUCUCGUUGAGUUGAUCUUGAUUUAGGUUAGCGUUGGAAGGGAAACCACUUCGCCGACAUAAAUUGAUGGUUUCCCAAGGACAAGCUUAGUGUCCUAAAAUAAGCACUGAUCAGAUCGUAACAUGAGUUUUUAAUUAUUUGCAACAUUACCUUGUGUAUUGAGCAUAUAAGGAUAAUUGUAAAAAUAUUCCUUUGAGUAUUCUUGUCACUAACCUUUACAAGAUUGGAGCAAGAAGAUCAAAUGAAUGACAAGCACAAGGUAUGUCCAACCAAUCAUCAUACAACAUUGAAUUAAAUUCAUCCAAACUUGAAUUCUGCAAAAUUCAAGCUUGGGGGAGUACUUUACAUAAAAACAUCCUUUGCCAUGUUGCUAUGUUGGUUGUCCCUACCUUUAAGACAUCCUCAAUUUGUUAAAUACUAAUCACACUACUUCAUCUCCACUUGAGUAGAUCUCUAUAAAUGCUGCCAUGCUACCUUUGUCUAUUUACUAGUAAGUGUUAGUUUGGAAGUACUGCACAUACUUCUAUUGGCUUUUAAAUUAAGCAUGGUGCUUAGGUUAAACAGCCUUCCUUAAUCUGAUUAGACAUGGAGUCUAGUUCGGUUAUUGAACUAAAAACUGCUUGUGUAGACAUUGGUAUAUUUUUGUCGGACUAACCCCUGCAAAAAAACUUUCAAUAUCGAUUUGGGAAGUCCUGAGAUAAACUCACAUCAGAGAUGAAGAGAGUGACACAUGAAGUUUAACAAUUUGCACAAGAAGGACAUAGCUCAUUCAUCAUAGAGAGAUGAUCCAUGGAGGGUGCCACAAACACGAUGCACAACCGCUAAGAAAGGAAAGCUUCCACAAGGUGAUACUGUACCAUCACUCUUCAAGCAAGGUAACAUCUUAAGGUACUUGACUAUCACUUUUAUAAGCUUCUCCUUGGUUCUAGGAUUCAUAUAAAUAAAAGAGACAAACAUGUAUGAUUUACAACUCUAGAUUAACCAACCCAACUGAUUCAACAUGUUUAGUCCUUUAAUCCUUGUUCUUAGUACUACCUCCAUGAUCCCACACUCCUAAUCAUAUGAGCUAAAAUGUUACACAUUCAAUCUUUGAGAGAUAUAAAGAAAAAGACAUAUACAUAGAUAGAUUAUCUUUCCAUAAGGUUGAGCGAUCUGAUCUGACAAAUGUUAUAAGUGCUACACUCAUGAACUUUUCAUCCAACAACUUUGUCUUGCUCACUAUGCUUAGGGUUAGAGAAGAACAAAUACACUUUAGGUUCUGUUGGUGUUUUCCACCAACAGGACCCAUGCACUUGAUCUCUGCCUUGUCUCUAUGGGCAGGUACACUUGGAGCAAAACAUGGUGGAGUUUUACAACUCUCACACGCCACCAAGUGAAGGACCUGGAUCUACGAGCACAAACACACUGAGCAGGAUACUGCCAACACCACACUUCGAACUGCUGGGCAAACGAAGAACAUGGGUGACACCGUAUUAAGAGGUGCAGACGUCAAGGUCCACACCUGAAUCAAAUGACGCACCUGAAGAAUGAACACGGUGAGAAGUCUUAUUCCGAAGAUUUAAAACAUUGAACCCUCGCUGAAAGGUAAAAUCGGUAGUUAUCCAUAUUUAUCCUUUCUACAUUCUCUUUUUCCUUUAAUUACUUACUUUCCUUAAAAUAGCUUAUUAGUUAAUCAUGCUAUCUUGAAAAGAAAAUAAAAAUGUUAAAAAUACUAAGCCCCAUGUGAGUAUGCUCGUGGCAUAAAACCCAUAAGUACAUUCACUGUGGUGGCGUAAAAAUAAAAUAAAUAUAUUUCUGUCCUAUAGAAAUGAAAAUAUGAAAAUAAAUUUAUGAUCCUACCAAAGAGAGUAAUAUCUAUUAGAGGAAGCUCAAUACGAUAAAGGCUAGAUAUUUAUGCUAACACUUAAUUAGUUCCACAAGCUUUGUUGUCUAUUUGAGCUCCACAGAAUUUAAGAAUCAAGAAGACUAGCAGACGGAGGACAUUCUAAUCGCUGUCAGAAUGCUGCUGACUUUCAAAUACACCUCUGCCACCUGCUAGCUACAUCAAGAGAAAUUACGUCAAAAUUCAGCUUAGGGGAGAGCACCCCCAUUUAUCUCGCUAAGUAUUUCUACCUAUUUUUAUACUUAUAUUAUAUUAGAAUAUUAAAAUACAUAAACUAUGAAAAACCAAAUAAAUAUUUUGGUGCUUAUAUAUAUCUUUUGCUUAGUGUGUUUAAUAAAUAAAUAAAGUGGCUAUGCUAAUCUGAAUCUUAAUAAUAAAACUCUAGCAUGGAUAUGAUGAAUAGUUGCUCUGCCUAAUUUGCAAAUUUGAAGUUCUCUCUCAAGUUUAGACAUAACUGUUAUAAUUUAAAGCUUGCUCUAGAUCUAAACUUGUGGGAUGAAACCUUGAUCUGAAAUCUAAGUUGUUAACGGAUAUGAUAUGGGAAGGCUGAGAUGCUGUUUAUCUGUUCCUAGAGAUGCUAGAAUUCUGAAGAAUUUUAUCUUUGAAAAAUCUUUAAAAUAUUGCAUGAUGAGUUCCUGUAUGAUGAAAGUUUAAAUUCCUACCACAGCCAUAUAUACAUGCAUGCUAGACUUUGAGCCAUACAUUUACUUUUUACUGCUUACGAGCAUUGAGAGUGGUCAAGCUGUGUAGACCCUUAGGAGCUUGUCAUGUGGUUAAAUCAAGAUUCACUUGCACGUUCACUCAUAUAUGCUACUUCUACUCUGGAAGUACCAUCCACAUAUAUCCAUCCAUGUCCAUCUCCAGAACCACCCAAAAAUAUUCUACUCCUAAUCCGGGAGAGAAUAGCCAAAAAUAUUCCUGUUUUCCCUUGUGAAAUAAAUGCUCAAGUUAUCUUGCUACUACCACUUGCUAUAUUAUCUCAAGAGAUGAGUGCUCUGAAAAGAAAAAAAAAAGAGAGAAAAGAGAAGAAAAAAAAAUAAAAAAUACGAGGAAAUAAAAAGGGGCAAGUGCUCGGAACCUCGAAAGAAAGAAAAAGUAAGACGAGAGGUAAAAAUGGACAAGUGUCCGACAAUAGGAUUAGGGGUACAAGAUACACACCUGAGAGGAAAGAAAAAGAAGAGCAUCUCAUUCUCCUCAUAAAGUUUCAAAAAGCAAGGAAGGUAUGUAUCCCCUCAAAAGAGCAAAAGUAGAAUUAGACUUUCACCAUUGUUAUCACCAUCAUCACCAUACACCAUUCAUUCACCACACAUGCACAUCUUGAUUUGGCUUAUUGAUUUGUUUCUUUGGAUCCAUGGUUUUGUAACAUUGUUUUCUUCCCUUGAAAGUCUUUUGCACCGAAUCUCGGGACGAGAUUCUUUUAAGGGGGGAAGGCUGUAACACCCCAGGUGUUUAUCACUUGCUAAGUACUAGGUUUGAGCUCAAACAUGAAAAGUUCAGUAGUAAUAAAGAGGUCAAAGUCAAUCUAUGAAAGUAAGCCCUAACUUGGAUUUGGAUGAUGCACCUUUACUUAUAUAUAGGUCCUUUUUAAAAGGUAUGCUUGGAUGAUGCUAGUGGAACAUUUUUCAUGUGUCUCAUAUCCAUCCCAAUCUAUAUUGGUCUCUAGAAAAGUUUGGUGAAGUUUGGAAUCAAGAAGUCACAUGAAAUGAUAAGUUAUAUCCUUGUUGGAAUUGCUCUAUUAAGGAAAUAGAAUCAUGGGUCAUGAACCAACCCUUCCAAACUUGCUCAUAGGACUCUAGAUGAAUUAUACCACAAAAGUCAUGAAGGGUUCAUGUUGAGCUUAUGUCAAGAAAAUGCUUCAAUUGGCCUAAAACCCUAUUUGGAGCUUUAUCACGAUACUGCUUUGACCAAAGUGAAAGAUUGACUUAUAUUGUAGUUAUGAGGUUUGACCCUAAGUGAAAGUUGUAGUAUUGCUUCUGUAGAACAAACCUUGUUUAAGGAUCAAGAGCUAGUUUGGUUCCUAUCCUAAUCAAAUUGAGCUCUCAAGAAUCAAUUCAGUGCUGAUUUGCUACCUCCAUAUUUUUGGCUGUCCCUGAAAGUGACAGCAGUGCGUUAGAUACUUCGUGACAUUUUACUAUCGAAAUUCAUAUGGUAACUCAAUUAGAUUCCUUAAUAUGAGUUGGAGUACUCUUCUUGAUGAAAGCAAUGGAUUAAGUAUCAUCAAAUUUGGAGUUCAUUUGGAUAUCGGAAAAUAGCUCCUAAAACAGCAAAAGGUUAUUUUAUCGCUAAACGGAUGUAUACCCGUUGGCAUGCCGCGUUCUCGUGUUUUUGUUAAGCAACUCAAGUUGGUCCAAAAAUAAAAGUUGUGGAAAAUUAUUUGGAGAAGAGCAUGCAAAAAGUUGCAUCAAGUUUGACAUGGUUCGGAUCAUCAAUUCUUGGUUUUGCUAAUCACCGUCAAUACGUUGACACUUGUGACUUGGCAUCUAAUUAUCUCUUAAUCUGUUGGACUAAUGAUCUUGGUGUCUUAAUCAAAGUUGUAGUGCACGACGUGGUGAGCAAACUUCGUAUUUGGCCCAAGGUCCAAUUCAGCCCAGAAGUGGCCCAAACCGGCGUCCCACCUUGACUACUUUGUUGCCCGCCACGUGAUCGACGAAAUGGCGACAUGGUCACCAUGCAGCAGAACUUGUCCCACCAUGGCUGCCACCUCCAUCUCGCCCUUGCCUGUAUCAGUGUGGAUCAGGGCGAGCACCAGAGCGCCCUUGCCGUUCCCCCUCCACUCCCCACUCGCUUCCUCUCCUCUCCAUCGCUCUAGAGCCCAUGAGCGUGAAGCCGCCAUGGACGCGGGACCGAGCUCCGUGCUGCACCGUUCCUGCCGCUGCCAAUGCCCUUGCGCCAAGCUAACUCCUCCACCAUCUUCCUCUCCUCGCACCGCUCCGUCCUUUUCCCAGCUCCAUCCGUGGUCACAAGCUAUAGAACCGCCGCCGCCAUCUCUGGUGGCCACCAGCGUGCGUGGCCAGGGUGCCACGGGUCAUGUCCCGGCCUUCCGCGACCAUCAGCGGGUGCGUGCAGACCCCUUGGUCCUCCCCCGCCACUUCUUCGUCGCCGGCGUGCAACCAAACCGCCGGAAAACGCGAUUCCGAGCGCCUCCUCUGUUCUGAUUCGCGUCAGGGGCUUCAGACGACAAUUCGACAAAAUGGGAGGGGUUAUCCGCGAACCUAUGACUCAUGUGAAUAGUGCCUGCAGGGACGUAUCCGCUGGGUUUCAGUUCGAGCAAAGUUCAGGGGCCUCUGUGCAAAUCUGUUUUUUCUUUCAUAUGGCUGAAGUUUGGAAAAUUAUAAUAAAUUGUAGAGAAAUCGUAAAAUAGCAAAUGUGGACUUUUUGGAAUCGUCGUGAAAUUCUCUAUGCAGUAGAUCUAUAAUAUGGCAUGGUUUAGUUUGACGUUUUAGUCAUAAAAUAGAUUUAUGCAGUUAGGUUUUAAUUGCAUGUCAUAUUUGUCUUUUUCAUAAAUGCUGUAUUAUUGCUCGAAUAAAUGUAAAAAUAUUGUGACAUGCUUUUCAUAUGAUAUUUGAUGUUUGACUUUUGUUUCAUGAAUUUAGGAUUGAUAGAUUAAGAGUUAUGAAAAUAACAAAUGCCCUAUGUUGCUUUGCUCCUAUUCUGAGUGGAUCUGCAUAUUUGUAUUGUUUGGCUCAGUUAAGUUAUGAAUCUUUCCUAGAUGAAAAUGUAUAAGUUUUAGUACUUUUCAUAAGCUUUCCAGAAAGGUAUAUAGCACAAUUUUUGGUUAAGCACAUGUUUAGUUAUAGUGGUUUAAAAUACUGUUCCAGUUUCUGUCUAAACCCAGACAGGAUUGCAUUGUUUGUAAUGUAAGACCUUUUUAGUUGUAGAUUUAGUUGUACAUGUUUAUAAAAAAGUUGUUCACAAUUAAUUAAGGUUUCUAGAAAGUAUAUAACCAUAAUUUAUGGACAUGUGAAACUCAUGUUAUGGGUGUUUAAUAUAGCAUGACAGAUUCUGUCUGUGUUUUGGACAGAGAUAUCUUCAUAGGAUUAAUUGACCUUGUUAACUGUAGAUUCAUAUUUAGAUGAUAAUAAGAAAGUUGUAGGUAACUUUAUAAGCUUUCCUAAAAUUUAAGAAUUAUGUUUUCUGGAUGUCUACAACUCCAGUUAUGCUACUUUGAAUUGCCUAUCAGUUUUCUGUUUAAUUGUACCCCUACUGUUUGGCAGCAUGAGCAGUUUUAUUUAUGAAACUAAUUCCAUGAUAUAAAUGAUGUUUGAUGUACAACUUGUCUAUAUAAAAUAUGUAGAUAAUUUAUUAAUAUAUCUUGUGGUAAAGUUUCAUAUAAUUUGGCUAAGUGGUUUAUAAGUUACAGUAGUAUGAAGUUCAUCCUUUGAAAUGCUUGUUCUCUGGAAAGUCCUGGACCAGAUUCUAUGGUUAUGCAUGUUUGACUUGGCUAACUUGUUAAUCAUAGUGAGAUGAUUAAAGAUGAAUUGUAGAUAAUUUUAUAUUCUUUCCAUAAUGUCCUAUUGCAUAGUUUUUGGAGCUGUGUAGCUCUAGUUAUGAUUUAUUUACUGAGUUGCUGCAUGUAUAUCCAGAAUUGCUGAAAAUGUAUGAAUGCUUGAUUGCUUACUUUGUGUAUACUAAGUGUGACACAUGUCUUUAGUGGUGAUUAAAUAAUAUACUUGUGACCAUGUAAAACGUGUGCCAUGCUUGAUAUGUUGCUAUCCAUAGUUGGUUGUGUGAUGCUAGUUAAAUAACUUUAGAUGCAUGUGUCUUGAAUACUUUUAUGUGAUGCAUGUUGUGUUACUAUUCUUCAUAUUCAUGCACUUGCAUCUUGCAUCUCAUCUAGGUGCGCUAGAUGAAUCACGUGAAGGUCAUGGUGUGGAAACAAACCCGAAGAUGGUGUUGGGUGGAUCCCGAAGGUGGAAGGACUAAGCAAGCGUUGUGACCUUAGAUGUCACCAAGACGGAGCAACUAAUAACUGAACUGACUCAGUGAUGAUCCCAGGCAAGCCCCGGAGCAUUAUAAGUCUCCUACUACUUUUGAAUGCAAUUGAGAAUAUAUGUUAUAUAUGUAUUGUUGCAUUAAGUAUAGGAGUUGGGUGAAACCCUUGCUGCAUAUAUCACUCCUUGUCCAAUAAAUAUACCUAUGACCCUAUGCAGAUUCAGGAUCGAAUCUAAAUGCUUAGCUAUGCUUAGACCGGUAGAAGCCAGGUGAUGUCCUGUCACCUGAGCGAGAUAGGUGGAUGCCUGAAAAGGUUGGCUAUAUAUGCUAUCAUGGAAAUAACCAAGUGAUGAGGAUGAAUAAUUGGAGACCGGGCGGGACGAUGAUAGAGAAGUAACAAGACAUGGAGGUCUUGGGUGCCUAUCUAUCCCCACCUGUGUCGAUUAAGGACCGAUCGUUGACGGCCCUCUUGUCAUGUUGAACGCAUGCCCCACACUUAGCUGAAAGGAUAAGUCGUUCCGACCGCGAAGCCUGAACACUAUCCGGGCCGGGAAUCGGCCCGAUGUACGCGCUGUAUUGGUGAUGGUUGAGGAGAACGACGAGGGCGCGGUGCGCAACCUUGGUAUACCUUGGAUACCUCGGUCGCCGGAACGGUCCUCGGAUACGGGCGGUGCCUGUCGAACCCGUGAAUUGGUCCUGGAUAGUGUAAUACGGUGACCUGUAGCUCACUUGAUCAGUGAGUGUGGUUUGUGUGGGGAAUAAACUCGCCAGCUGGUUAGAAAUCGAUUCCAAUCGCCAUCACUCCUGGACAGUGAGCACUUGACUUGAGCUUCAUCAUCGUAGUAAUGUUUAUGGAACACUUGGAUGGUUAUGGAAUGAUGAUGUUGGAGAUGCCACAUCAAAUAUGGGUACUAUUGUUGUAUCUUAAUCAAGUGAUUGCUUGAGUACAGGUGCUAAUCUAGAUGAUAGGUUAAUGAUUAUUAACUUGAGCUAAAUACCUAAAAGGAAUACUUAGUUGCAACUCAAGCUUUUUAUGCAAAAAGUGUUGUCAAGCUAGCUCCACCAAUAAAGCCUUGCAUACUCCUUAGUGUCAUAUUAUUUCUGGUUUAUGACGGCUAAGUCUAGCUGAGUACCUUCUCGUACUCAGGGUUUAAUCCCACUUGUUGCAGGUUGUGAUGUAUCAUGGCUAUUGCAAGAGUUGGAUGACUCGUACCAUAUUAGAGGAGUAAGAUCUUGGGCAUGAUCCUUCUUAGUUACCUCAUCUAUGUUGCUUUUGUUGGAGUUGACCUGGAUACUGGCAUGUAUUUGAAAUAAGGGCAAUAUUAGUUUCAAAAUACUUUGCUUCCGCUACUUUUCAACUCAAGUUGUAAUAACUAUCUUGAACUCCUAUGUAUAUCAAACUACUUGUGAAAUGGAUGUAACAUGUGACUUGUUAUGUUGAAUCACUACGAUCUUGGCUUGUAUGAUGGUUGGUUUGAAAUCCCUCGUGAUUUCACGGACUACCGGGUUUAUGAGAGUUCGAUUAUGUUAAAGCAACUGCUUUGGCGGGAGUUUUUUAUAGUUGAUCUCUUGUAAAUUGGGCGGUUCUGUUACAGCUGGUAUCAAAGCAAGGUUCAACAUUAAACUUGUCAUAUGUGUAUUUAAAACAAAAGAUUUUGUUUUCUAAAAUUAGUUUCUGAUAGCUUAAAGCUAUUACAGAUAUAGGUGUGUUCAAAUCUUAAAUGGUUUUAUUUAAGUAUGCUAGUGGUCACUUCCUUUAUGCCCAAAUAAGGACCUUUAGGUGGCUUAUUUAAGUACUGACUUGGGGGUUUAUGAAUCAUAUUUCUAUUUCGUUGCUCAUACGGCGUGCAAUAGUAUGAGUGCCAUUCAUUUGAAUGGUAAUGUAUGGAUCAUUUUUCUUCUACGCCUCGGUAAGUGUGAGCUGUGAGAGCAUGAUCAGAAACACCGUUGAUCUAGGGAAGUGCUUUGGGUACUGGAUCAUGUGCACAUUUUACAUGUGCCUAUGAAAAGGUACCGCAUGAUGGGUGAUUCCGUCCUUAGAGGCGAUGCCGUCGCUAGGAUGAUGAUGUGGGUAGUAGCACUACACAUACGGGUAUGGGGAUACGCGUGUGUGGAGCGCAUAGCUUUUAAAUCUUGUACUGCAUGUUUCAUACUGUGGGUGGGCUGAAAUUAGUUUUCUACAGGUAUGCUAACCACGAUUACGUAAAUUGAAUAUAGCUUACGACUAGUUACAUGUCAAGAGUGUACGUGUUAUGCCACCGACAUAGAACGUGAUUGCCACCUUAGGCUGGCAAUUUUGUGAGGACGAAUAGAACGAAGCAUGCAUCAUCAUGAUUGUUGUGUUAUGUAUAACUAUGCUUCUCUCACCUUUGUUCUAACAAUAAGUAACUUAUGAAUCAAUGUGGUGUCACCUUGCUUGUGUGCAGUUGGAUAAAAUGCUUUGCUACAUGUUGCUUGAAUAGCUAUAAUUAAAGAUAGGGUAUAAUUUGCUUUGUUUUGCCUGUUGUGGUUUGUUUGUGCACCCUGUCAGUAUGAUGCACAUCUUUAAGAUGACUAGUCUUUUAAGUAUAAGUUAAAAAUUUGUUUUCACAACUAGAGAAGAAACAUACACCUUUCUAGUAAAAGAAAGUAAAAGAUAAAAGCACUUUACCAUCAUGUUUUGUAUGUUCAGGUGUACUAGUGUUGCUUUAGAUGACUACUUGUUAUCUGCAAAACUUUGUGCUUAGUAAUGAUUGUCGGAGAUAGUGUGAUUCAUGUUCUCACAUGUUUGUUUAAAACCAUGAUGCAUGAGUAGAUGUGUUGUUAACAAGGUAGUGUCAUAGUUGUUACCUUUUUGUCCUUAGUAAGCAUGCGAAUGUUGAAGAGCCUUAUCUUACAAUAACACUCAUGUCACAUUAAUCUCAUGGUUAUCUCCAAGUAGAUUCCAAUGAUAAAGAGCUUGAGUUUGUGCAUGGUGGUUAGCUCUUGAAUGUUGUGUAUCCAUUCCCUAAUCUAUGUAUUGAUUCAAUCUUUCAAAUCUCAAUCGUUUUAUCUCCAGCUCUAUUGAGUCUGUGGGUGUUUAUCCGUCUUAAUCUCAUGUGAUCUAUGUUCUCUAGUACUAUGUUUUAAAUCACCUCCUUGUGGACCUCUAAUCUCAUGACUCUUAGUUUGAUAUCCCUCUUUUGCAAAGUGCUCGCUGCUAUGCAACUCAAUUUUUGCCAUGAGAGAUUUCUUUUCGGUUGUAUGUUCGGUAAUGGUGUCUUGCUUAAUGAUUGAUGGUGCCGUGACGAAACCGAGAGCCCCUUGUGGCGGCCGACACAUCGUUGUGCUGCUCGGCACGCGCUGGUAUCGUUGUUGCUAGCCAUGAUCCAUUAUAGAACUACACCAAUGUGUCAUCUCAUCAUGAGUUUGUCCUUAAUUAUCUAUCCAGAUUUGAUCAGAAGAUCCUUACUUCAUGUGCGAGUAAGAGAACUUCCUAUGAAGUUACAAAGAGGAUUACCUUUGAAGAAUGGGUCACUGACAUAAACAUUGACAGACUGCAAGAGGUGGUACACAAGUGACACUAUUUAACUAUCCCUGCACUGAUGAUGGCCAUUUAAUGAGCAACAUUGGUUAUCCACACCGAACCAAAAAGGACGCACGACACUUAAUGUUGGACAAGUUAUUUGUUGAACAAGCAUCAGUCAUCACCAUUGUGCUUAUGAUCUAGUUUUCCUAAGUCUUGAUCUUUAUGUGCAUCGUGGUGAUACGACUAAAGUCAACCAUCUUUAUCAUGAAUCCUUAUCUCCUGGCUUUGAAGGUGACCAAUUGUUAAGCGUCAGCCACAAUUGUUGUAGUUAAGUGUGGAGCUUUGGAAAUUUUAGUGCUGAGAGCCAAUUGAUUGGUUGCUAGUAACAAAGCUAAUCUCAAGCAAGGAAACGAUGGAUUGAUAGCCAUGAAGGAUAUAUUUCAUCAACUAGUGAAUUAAACUGUGGAGUUGAGAGAUGUCUUGUCAGUCAGGAAUGCUGCCGUUUUAGCACUGAACAAGUUUAGUAUGUAUAUGUUCUGCCUACACAAAUGGUGCCCGUUUGAGCUGAAUUUUGGUCAAAGGUUGGAAGGUUCCUGGAUCUAUACUUCUACCAAAUUUCAUGAGGAUGUGAGGGAUAAUUGGUGAAAUAUGAACCAAAACCCAAAAGGGGUAAAAAUUUGCAAUCUCUCUUUUGAUAUCAAUCAUCCUUCAUAUAGAAAGUGGUGUUUGUUUUGGCGCCAUGGAUUACAGUAUGGGCAAUGUCUUGCUGCAUAGAUAAUGCUUAUAUGCUGAAAUAAGAUUCUUUGUACCCAUUUGCGCCAGUGUGUGUCAACAAUGAUUUGAAAGGUGUCAACCAAUAGUUUUCCUUUACCAGAGCUACCGACAGAUCUUAAAAAGGAAACCUCAAGAGCAAAAGUAGUUCCACUAGAUUGGUUUUGCUAUGGUACAAGCCAACCUAACUCUUAUGCGACUACACAAUGAAGAAAGGUAAUGCUUAACCUACUGGUGGUACGCUAUUUCUUUGGUUGGUUGAACACUUGCAACUGUUGGAGACAUAUAGGCCCCACUAUCAUCCUUCGUCAGUAGUGGUUAUCCAAUUCUUACAUGCCUUGGUUACCUUCUAUGUAUUACCCAAGAAGUUACAUCUGAUCCGACCCAGAUAACUGUUGUUGUUUGGAUACAAGAAUCCCAUUAAAGUAAAUGAUCAUGGAAGGCAUGAAACCAACAGAGUCAACUAUCACAUUCACUGUUCUCUUAACCAGGUGGUAAGUACAAUGUUGUCAUCAAAGAAAGAGAACUGCAUACGUGGAAAGUUGUAAUCCAACCAUGUUGGUAGAGGACUGCUUUUCAAAUCUUGUGAAUGAGCCUAGAACCUCUAUAAUGAGCAACCCUUAGAAGCUUGUGACCUGGUGUGAAGUUCAUAUGACUUGCAUUAGUUUCACUAAAGAAGCUAAUGGUACAAGUAGCCCCUUAUGUUCUAAACAACUAGGAACAAAGUACAUGGAACAGUGUUGUCUUGGAUUCCUCCCAAAGUAACAAUGCUUCACUAAAGUCAAACAAAAGAGGAGAUUCUCCAGAUAAAGGUUUACUAUGAAGGGCAAGUAUCAGAAAAUGUUUGGAUCAAGUUAGCUUCUCUGAUGUUCUAAGCUAAGUCGCCACUGCUAUCGCUAAUGUUGGAAAAUGUGUGACAUUGUUUUCUUCCCUUGAAAGUCUUUUGCAUCGAAUCUCGGGACGAGAUUCUUUUAAGGGGGGAAGGCUGUAACACCCCAGGUGUUUAUCACUUGCUAAGUACUAGGUUUGAGCUCAAACAUGAAAAGUUCAGUAGUAAUAAAGAGGUCAAAGUCAAUCUAUGAAAGUAAGCCCUAACUUUGAUUUGGAUGAUGCACCUUUACUUAUAUAUAGGCCCUUUUUAAAAGGUAUGCUUGGAUGAUGCUAGUGGAACAUUUUCCAUGUGUCUCAUAUCCAUCCCAAUCUAUAUUGGUCUCUAGAAAAGUUUGGUGAAGUUUGGAAUCAAGAAGUCAUAUGAAAUGAUAAGUUAUAUCCUUGUUGGAAUGGCUCUAUUAAGGAAAUAGAAUCAUGGGUCAAGAACCAAUCUUCCAAAUUUGCUCAUAGGACCCUAGAUUAAUUAUACCACAAAAGUCAUGAAGGGUUCAUGUUGAGCUUAUGUCAAGAAAAUGCUUCAAUUGGCCUAAAACCCUAUUUGGAGCUUUAUCACGAUACUGCUUUAACCAAAGUGAAAGAUUGACUUCUGUUGUAGUUAUGAGGUUUGACCCUAAGUGAAAGUUGUAGUAUUGCUUCGGUAGAACAAACUUUGUUUAAGGAUCAAGAGCUAGUUUGGUCCCUAUCCUAAUCAAAUUGAGCUCUCAAGAAUCAAUUCAGUGCUGAUUUGCUACCUCCAUAUUUUUGGCUAAGUCCCUGAAAGUGACAGCAGUCCGUUAGAUACUUCGUGACGUUUUACUAUCCAAAUUCAUAUGGUAACUCAAUUAGAUUCCUUAAUAUGAGUUGGAGUACGCUUCUUGAUGAAAGCAAUGGAUUAAGUAUCAUCAAAUUUGGAGUUCAUUUGGAUAUCUGAAAAUAGCUCCUAAAACAGCAAAAGGUUAUUUUAUCGCUAAACGGACGUAUACCCGUUGGCAUGCCGCAUUCUCAUGUUUUUGUUAAGCAACUCAAGUUGGUCCAAAAAUAAAAGUUGUGGAUAAUUGUUUGGAGAAGAGCAUGCAAAAAGUUGCAUCAAGUUUGACAUGGUUCCGAUCAUCAAUUCUUGGUUUUGCUAAUAACCGUCAAUACGUUGACACUUGUGACUUGGCAUCUAAUUAUCUCUUAAUCUGUUGGACCAAUGAUCUUGGUGUCUCAAUCAAAGUUGUAGUGCACGACGUGGUGAGCAAACUUCGUAUUUGGCCCAAGGUCCAAUUCAGCCCAGAAGUGGCCCAAACCGGCGUCCCACCUUGGCUACUUUGUUGCCCGCCACGUGUUCGACGAAAUGGCGACGUGGUCACCAUGCAGCACAACUUGUCCCACCAUGGCUGCCACCUCCACCUCUCCCUUGCCUGUAUCAGUGUGGAUCAGGGCGAGCACCAGAGCGCCCUCGCCGUUCCCCCUCCACUCCCCACUCGCUUCCUCUCCUCUCCAUCGCUCUAGAGCCCACGAGCGUGAAGCCGCCAUGGACGCGGGACCGAGCUCCGUGCUGCACCGUUCCUGCCGCUGCCGAUGCCUUUGCGCCAAGCUAACUCCUCCAGCAUCUUCCUCUCCUCGCACCGCUCCGUCCUUUUUCCGGCUCCAUCCGUGGUCACAAGCUACAGAACCGCCGCCGCCGUCUCUGGUGGCCGCCAGCGUGCGUGGCCAGGGUGCCAUGGGUCAUGUCCCGGCCUUCCGCGACCAUCAGCGGGCGCGUGCAGAGCCCCUGGUCCUCCCCCGCCACUUCUUCGUCGCCGGCGUGCAACCAAACCGCCGGAAAACGCGAUUCCGAGCGCCUCCUCUGUUCUGAUUCGCGUCAGGGGCUUCGCGCGACAAUUCGACAAAAUGGGAGGGGUUAUCCGCGAACCUAUGACUCAUGUGAAUAGUGCCUGCAAGGACGUAUCCACUGGGUUUCAGUUCGAGCAAAGUUCAGUGGCCUGUGUGCAAAUCUGUUUUUUCUUUCAUAUGGCUGAAGUUUGGAAAAUUAUAAUAAAUUGUAGAGAAAUCAUAAAAUAGCAAAUGUGGACUUUUUGGAAUCCUUGUGAAAUUCUCUAUGCAGUAGAUCUAUAAUAUGACAUGGUUUGGUUUGACGUUUUAGUCAUAAAAUAGAUUUAUGCAGUUAGGUUUUAAUUGGUUGUUAUAUUUGUCUUUUUCAUAAAUGCUGUAGUAUUGCUCGAAUGAAUGUGAAAAUAUUGUGACAUGCUUUUCAUAUGAUAUUUGAUGUUUGGAUUUUGUUUUGUGAAUUUAGGAUUGAUACAUUAAGAGUUAUGAAAAUAACAAAUGCCCUGUGUUGCUUUGCUCCUAUUCUGAGUGAAUAUGCAUAUUUGUAUUGUUUGGCUCAGUUAAGUUAUGAAUCUUGCCUAGAUGAAAAUGUAUAAGUUUUAGUACUUUUCAUAAGCUUUCCAGAAAGGUAAAUAGCACAAUUUUUGGUUAAGCACAUGUUUAGUUAUAGUGGUUUAAAGUACUGUUCCAGUUUCUGUCUAAACCCAGACGGGGUUGCAUUGUUUGUAAUGUAAGACCUUUUUAGUUGUAGAUUUAGUUGUACAUGUUUAUAACAAAGUUGUUCACAAUUAAUUAAGGUUUCUAGAAAGUAUAUAACCAUAAUUUAUGGACAUGUGAAACUCAAGUUAUGGGUGUUUAAUGUAGCAUGACAGAUUCUGUCUGUGUUUUGGACAGAGAUAUCUUCAUGGGAUUAAUUGACCUUGUUAACUGUAGAUUCAUAUUUAGAUGAUAAUAAGAAAGUUUUAGGUAACUUUAUAAGCUUUCCUAAAAUAUAAGAAUUAUGUUUGCUGGAGGUCUACAACUCUAGUUAUGCUACUUUGAAUUGCCUAUCAGUUUUCUGUGUAAUUGUACCCCUACUGUUUGGCAGCAUGAGCAGUUUUAUUUAUGCAACUAAUUCCAUGAUAUAAAUGAUGUUUGCUGUACAACUUGUCUAUAUAAAAGAUGUAGAUAAUUUAUUAAUAUAUCUUGUGGUAAAGUUUCAUAUAAUUUGGCUAAGUGGUUUAUAAGUUAAAGUAGUAUAAAGUUCAUCCUUUGAAAUGCUUGUUCUCUAGAAAGUCCUGGACCAGAUUCUAUGGUUAUGCGUGUUUGGCUUGGCUAACUCGUUAAUCAUACUGAGAUGAUUAAAGAUGAAUUGUAGAUAAUUUUAUAUUCUUUCCAUAAUGUCCUAUUGCAUAGUUUUUGGAGCUGUGUAGCUCAAGUUAUGAUUUAUUUACUGAGUUGCUGCAUGUAUAUCCAGAAUUGCUGAAAAUGUAUGAAUGCUUGAUUGCUUACUUUGUGUAUACUAAGUGUGACACAUGUCUUUAGUGGUCAUUAAAUAAUAUACUUGUGACCUUGUAAAACGUGUGCCAUGCUUGAUAUGUUGCUAUCCAUAGUUGGUUGUGUGAUGCUAGUUAAAUAACUUUAGAUGCAUGUGUCUUGAAUACUUUUAUGUGAUGCAUGUUGUGUUACUAUUCUUCAUAUUCAUGCACUUGCAUCUCAUCUAGGUGCGCUAGAUGAAUCACGUGAAGGUCAUGGUGUGGAAACAAACUCGAAGAUGGUGUUGUGUGGAUCCCGAAGGUGGAAGGACUAAGCAAGCGUUGUGACCUUAGAUGUCACCAAGACGGAGCAACUAAUAACUGAACUGUCUCAUUGAUGAUCCCAGGCAAGCCCCGGAGCAUUAUAAGUCUCCUACUACUUUUGAAUGCAAUUGAGAAUAUAUGUUAUAUAUGUAUUGUCUCCACUACUAUAUAAUCCACCACUUGUGAACUUAACUAAAUGCACCCCAUAACCUACUGCUACAGUCAUAAGCUACACUAAGUACACCCAGAAAGUUCUAUUUUUUUAAAUUAAGGGGCAAGAUCUAUUUUAACCUCUCAUUUCUCUUACUCACUCAAAUCCAACGGAUCAUAUUGCUUGGAUCAAACCUCAUCACUCAUCCAUCGUUCCCCUCUCACCGUCUCACGCACACCCGGCCACACGCGAGGCGCGACUCUCCCUCUCCCCAACGCCCACUCUCCCUCUCCCCGAGGCCACACUGCCUCUCCUCGACGCCCUCUCUCCGCACCAUUACGCCGGCAGGGACGCGCGCGUCACCAGGGAGUCACAUCGGGAGGGAGGGGUGCUGGCAGGGACGCGCGCCGCAAGGAGUCGCAUCGGGAGGGAGGGUUGCCGCCAGGGAGUCGUGUGUUGCGGCUGGUCAGCCGCCAUAGGGCCGGCCUGCUGCUGCUGCCCACCGUCGCGGCCGUCGCCGUCUUCUGCCCCUUGAUCUUCCCUUCCCGCUGUGUCAAACCAAGCACCCAAACCCUAACUUCCUUAAGCUCCGAUCUGAUUACACCUUGGUUUGCCCCCUUGGUCUCUCCCUAGUCCGUCGAUCCAUGGAUCGAUCCGUGUGCGGCCUUGGUCCUCCUCUGGGUUCUUAUCUGUCCUCGCCUCGCCGGAGGAGAUGAACAGCGCCGGGGCAGCCACCACAAGCAGCAGCAGAGGCUCCGACAGCAGCAUUAGACACUCUUGAUGCAGCAGCAACAGCAGUACCAGUCUGGUGCCACGGCGGCCAUGACCCAGGUCGUCCCCCUGGAUCCUUGCCUCUAAAUUUUUGUGAAAUUUUCUCCAACAGGAUGUUUGUUCAGUUAACAUGCUUAUCUUUGUUAGUAAUUUGUUGUCUUGUGGCCUCCAGUCCACCCAGUUCUUAAUAUAUUUGGGCAGAAAAUAAUUUAACAAGAUUUUCUUCUCCUGAACGAGAGUCACAAUGGCCUCGAGAGAUCACACUAGCUUGACCCAACAACUUCUGGAUUUUCAACAUGAUAUGAUAGUGAGGUAAGUGCAGAACACGAUCCAUUCAUGGAUUUGAAAGCAAGAUUCAUGGACUAUGUGUAAGUGGACUGUAAUGUAGGCAAGUAACUUACCUCACAAGUUAAUCUUGCUUGCAGGUUUAUGUCAUAUCUGUCUACUCCCUAGGUUUCACAUGGUUCAGAAGGCCAUCUUGAGACAGCAAGUGAAGAGUUAUUCACAUUUUGUCCUCAUGAUUUGUUUUCUUAUUUUAUUUAUAGUUAUUCGCAAAUAUCUAUGUUACCACUCAUCCAAUGGAAUUCAAUGGAAUUUUUAUUCCUGAUGCAAACAUUGUAAUCACACAUAAUCAGUUUCACAUCUGUAAAGCCUGGACAUACCUUACUGUGUGCCGUGAAUUAUAUGCUACACCAUUAAAAGGUGUUUUGAAGGCCUGUGUUGUUGACACCAGCUUAUGAUAAAACUUAUUUUUCAUUGGCAAUAAAUCUAACACGGUUUCAUAUUUCCAUCUGCAAUAAAUCUAACAUGGUUUCAUGAUUCUUUGAGUUGAUUUUUGUAGGUACGAUGUUUCAUGAUUCUUUGAGUCGAUUUUUUAUGUCAAAUUAGAAGUUUCAUAUAUAAUUUUGUACAUUAGUUGAGCUUAUUUCUGGGGCAUUUGCAAAAUUUUCUUAUAAAAUUUUCAAAAGUACUGAAUGGUUGCAUUGCCUCGGUCUAUAGGUUGAUGGUCCGCAGGCCAAUGUGAAGAAAAGUGGACUUUCAACAAAGAUUGAGCUGGGUAUUUCUUCCCCAUUACUAAGGUAUAAUCUGGUAAUAUUUCUGUGCACUUUUUGGGUUUUAAGUGUUUACUUUGUAUGCACAUUUUUUUCUCCCUAUUUUUCUUCAUCAAACACAGAUUAAUAGCAUAUUUUCUCCAAGCUAGAUUCACAUGAGUCAUAACAUUUUAAUUUCCCAAUUCUGACCUCCUCACAUGUCCAUGUAAUUAUCUAACUGAUGUUUUUUCUUCAGAAGGCCAACGUGUAUAGGUUGUUGCCAUUUUAUAGCUGCAGUACAGGUUGUUGGAUUGUACUUCUACAUGGCUCAUCGAAGUAUGGUUUGUUGCAUCCCAGAGCGAGCUCGACGCCGCCUUCAGCCGCGUGAUGCGUGACAUGGGAUAGUGCCUUCUAAUUUUCUUCAUGCCUUUUUCAGGGUAUUAUACUAUAAGUCAUGUGUAUCUACUAUCUAUAGAGCUUGAGACUUGGAGAGCUUGAGUUAAGUCCUGAGUUUAAUUUGAUGCAGUUGUUAGUGGAGGAUUUUGAGAAUAAGAUUCAAUUAAACUCUGCUGCUCCUGACUGCUGCCAUUGGCAUUUUUUUCUCCUUCUGCUGCUCCUGACAGUUCCACACAGCUGCUCUCAUUCCAUCUGUUAGAUCUACUUCUUACAGUCCAUAUACUUGUUGCUCUGUAAGAAAUUUGAAUGCCUGAUUUUUGUGUCUACUGUCUACUCUGAUAAGUGAUGAAUUCCUAUUUUUUCUAUAUCCAGGCUGCAAGUUCAUUGAGGAGGAAGGACCCUGUCAACUCCUCCCAAUCAAACAGAUGUGUAAUUUCUUCAUCUUGAUCUUCAAUUAUUUCUCUUUUUCCUGUUACAUUCAUUUUUGCUAUAGUUUACAAAACUUCUAGAAGAAAAGCAGAGGAUUGAUAUAGCGGGAGAGUACUACUCUUUCCGGUUCACUAAAUUGCUAUUCCUUUAAUAUUUUGCUCAAUUUUUUUUAUGUUUGCAGCAAUAAUUUUGGUGCAGAUUGGAGAUUGCAGGUUCACACCAUGAUGGAAAAUUUUCUGAAUUUUGUUAUAUGUUUGAAUUCUGGAUUUAUAAUUCAUAGGUGAUUUGCGAUUCCAGUGAUAUGGAAUCGUUGGUGUGACUUGCAUGCCUCUGCAGGCAUGGCGUGGGAACUAGAGUAGGUGCCAGCUCUGACUCUUUAUGGUCUUACCGGUGAUAUUUAGCUAUAGGUAGACAUCUCUUGAAUUUAGUUAUGUCAGACUUCUAGACAGCUCGAGUUGUUAGCUGGAAUCAAGUGAUUGGACACUGAGAAUGAGAGGGGACAGCAGCCAAUGAAAUUGAUGCCAAUACCACAACAAGGAAAUAUAUUAAACAAAUUUGGAUAGUGAUAAUUUGCGCACAUUAUUGUGAGUUAUCUGUAUGAUCUCUAUGAUCUCACGCAAAUAUUGGUUGUUUCAUUUAAGGUAUUAUGGAUUACAGAAGAUAUCCCUGUUUGCAGUAACAGAUGUUGAUGCUCAAAUUACCUUUUCAAUCAUUAGUUUUGUGAUGAUCAAGUCAUAUUGAUAUUUCUGCAGGUAUUUAAGAACAUGUAUUAAUGAGAAACCAGGCUGCUUUUUCAUUACAACCAAACAUGAUCCUACUAGGCAUAUGACAUUUAUAGUCAAGAAAUUUAUUGAAUUUUUGUAGCUUCUAUUUGUACAACAACAUAAUUUGCAAUCACUUACCUUAAUAGGAGCCAGAAAUAUAGCUGCUGCAGUAAUCUGCUCAUUACAAAGCAAGGUGCUUAAUAGUAAGAUGAAAGGACAGUGGAUGCAUUCUUUAUUGAUUUUCAAUGCCACACUAUCAUAAAAGGUCUCCUUACUGAAACAUGAGUGCUGGUUCACAAAACAUAUGCAUAUAUGUGCAGUGCUAAGUCCUAACUGUUGAUGUGUUAUUAGGCACUAUGUUUCCCGCGAUGUUGAAGAGCUCUCAAAUGGCAAAGGCAGAAAGGACUGGAUGCUUGGAUGUUUCUAUCUUCUGAGUGGGGUCAUAAUCUUCGCCUGCAACACUGUUCUAUAGGUAUAUCUGAGUUUUAGACAUUCAGUAAAUGGUGCAUGUUGUGUUCUUGUAACUUUAAGUACUGCAAACUUGAAAAAGAGAGAAUGCAAGGACUUUUUUGCAGGUAUAAUCAUGACUUCUGAAAUUCCUGUGUGUGUGUGGAACUUGGAAUGUUAGCUGUGACAACACUGUAUGAGUGACAGUUUGAUUUGGAGAUGUCACAGCUCGAAGGGGUCAUGAAUCUUCAUGCCCAGGGACGUAAGUGGCAAUCGUUGAUGCAUGUUUGGGCUAUUUGUUUCUUGAUGCAUUUGCCUAAAAAUGGUGUUUGUUUCUUCGAAGGAAUCCAUAUCUAAUUAAGGAAAUACAUAAAUAAUAAAAUAAUUAAUUGUUGUUGGUGUUUGUUGGGUUCAUGGUGGAUUAUUUAAAUAGUUGUCUAGAACUUAAAGAUUUUUGCUGCUAUAUUUCAGAUGGGUCCUCAUUCGGCAAGCAGCUCACUGUAUGGUGGGAUUAAAGAUGGGGAGGUUCUUUCUAUUGGCAUCACCUGAUUUUAUAAUAAAAUGGAAUACACAUGUUAUUGUACCUGCACUGGUGUACUGCCUUUUUCUUUUAGAUGAUGCUAAAUGGUACCCUUUUUGGUUUUAGCACUGACAAGAACCAGAAGAAUUAUUGCCCUUGAUGAUUGAGUUGGUAUAUUGGUCAUCUCAUGCUUGCUACAGAGAAGAUCGGCAGAAAGGCACACCUUGCUGACCUUGCCAGUAGCCAUGGCUUUGUUGUUACCAAGACCUAUAGCUAUGAUGAUUAAUUUGUAUUGUAAUUUGGAUAAGUUACUCUUUAAGCAUUGAUUUGUACAAUAAUAACUUUAUUGUCUCACGCAUAUUCUUCUCUCUUUGCUAUGCUUGGUCAAGAAAUGUCGAUUGAGAGUUUUGCUGAGUUGCCGUUCCAGCUCUUUGUCUGUGUCGUGUGAAUAUUUAUAUCUUUUUUUUGAUUGCUUGAUUUGUGCUGCUAAAUAUCAUCAAAUAUUAUCGUAGCGUUAGCACGGGCAAUAUACUAGUUGCAUUAAGUAUAGGAGUUGGGUGAAACCCUUGCUGCAUAUAUCACUCCUUGUCCAAUAAAUAUACCUAUGACCCUAUGCAGAUUCAGGAUCGAAUCUAAAUGCUUAGCUAUGCUUAGACCGGUAGAAGCCAGGUGAUGUCCUGUCACCUGAGUGAGAUAGGUGGAUACCUGAAAAGGUUGGCUAUAUAUGCUAUCAUGGAAAUAACCAAGUGAUGAGGAUGAAUAAUUGGAGACCGGGCGGGACGAUGAUAGAGAAGUAACAAGACAUGGAGGUCUUGGGUGCCUAUCUAUCCCCGCCUGUGUCGAUUAAGGACCGAUCGUUGACGGCCCUCUUGUCAUGUUGAACGCAUGCCCCACACUUAGCUGUAAGGAUAAGUCGUUCCGACCGCGAAGCCUGAACACUAUCCGGGCCGGGAAUCGGCCCGAUGUACGCGUUGUAUUGGUGAUGGUUGAGGAGAACGACGAGGGCGCGGCGCGCAACCUUGGUAUACCUUGGAUACCUCGGUCGCCGGAACGGUCCUCGGGUACGGGCGGUGCCUGUCGAACCCGCGAAUUGGUCCUGGAUAGUGUAAUACGGUGACCUGUAGCUCACUUGAUCAGUGAGUGUGGUUUGUCUGGGGAAUAAACUCGCCAGCUGGUUAGAAAUCGAUUCGAAUCGCUAUCGCUCCUGGACAGUGAGCACUUGACUUGAGCUUCGUCAUCGUAGUAAUGUUUAUGGAUCACUUGGAUGGUUAUGGUAUGAUGAUGUUGGAGAUGCCACAUCAAAUAUGGGUACUAUUGUUGUAUCUUAAUCAAGGGAUUGCUUGAGUACAGGUGCUAAUCUAGAUGAUAGGUUAAUGAUUAUUAACUUGAGCUAAAUACCUGAAAGGAUUACUUAGUUGCAACUCAAGCUUUUUAUGCAAAAAGUGUUGUCAAGCUAGCUCCACCAAUAAAGCCUUGCAUACUCCUUGGUGUCAUAUUAUUUCUGGUUUAUGACGCGUAAGUCUAGCUGAGUACCUUCUCGUACUCAGGGUUUAUUCCCACUUGUUGCAGGUUGUGAUGUAUCAUGGCUACUGCAAGAGUUGGAUGACUCCUACCAUAUUAGAGGAGUAAGAUCAUGGGCAUGAUCCUUCUUAGUUACCUCAUCUAUGUUGCUUUUGUUGGAGUUGACCUAGAUACUGGCAUGUAUUUGAAAUAAGGGCAAUAUUAGUUUCAAAUUACUUUGCUUCUGCUACUUUUCAACUCAAGUUGUAAUAACUAUCUUGAACUCCGAUGUAUAUCAAACUACGUGUGAAAUGGAUCUAACAUGUGACUUGUUAUGUUGAAUCACUACGAUCUUGGCUUGUAUGAUGGUUGGUUUGAAAUCCCUCGUGAUUUCACGGACUACCGGGUUUAUGAGAGUUCGAUUCUGUUAAAGCAACUGCUUUGGCGGGAGUUUUUCAUAGUUGAUCUCUUGUAAAUUGGGCGGUUCUGUUACAGGUUUGACUAUACAAUAAAUGUAUUGUAAGUAUGUAUACUUUAUCUCCCACCUAUGAGCUCUAGAUAUUAAAGCCUUAUUAGAGUAGGGUGAGAGAGAAGGCAAUGUCACUAUGCCUUAUACCACAAAUACCACAUAUCUUGAGAGAAGGCAUAUACCAUCACUGCCUUGGUAAGGAUCCAGAAAUACCACAAAAGAGAGAUUUAGAAAGUCAUACAAGGAACCUCUGAGUUUUAUUUGAAAAUCUGCAAAAAACUCCAGAACUAUAGCUGAUCAAGAAUAAGAGACAUGACACUUGGCUAGACUGUUCUAUCUUUUAACUACUCAAGACAGAAGUGACGGUUACAAGUCCCAUGGUGAAAGGUAAAGUAAGUAAGUUUUAGUUCUUGACAGUUUACUCUAACUCAGAGAUGAGAUCUUAUUUAAAAGCAUGUGUACCGUCAAAUUUUUAAAGAUAUUGCAACAACUUCUGAUCCAUCGCUGAGUCUAUCCUUGCUCAGGGACGAGCAAGAGGUAAGCUUGGGGGAGUUUGUUGACGGUCCUUAAGUAUCAAAUUUAAUUAUUAAAUAAACAAAGAAAAGGAUCCAAAUGAAAUCAACAUCUAGACUUAGGGUUUUAUCUGACAGAAUUCCAUGAGUUUUGGUGUUUGUCUAUUUCUACAGGGGGUUAUCAGGAAAUACAGAAGAAAGGCCCACACGUCAGGAUUACAUAGAGAUAUUAACGUGCCGCGCAAUUAUCUUACAUCUAGAAGACUCCAGAAGCCACGGGAAGGAAGCGGAGGCCGAACGGGGCCAGAGGCAGGGCGCCCGCCCUCCUGCCCUGGGCGCCCGCCCUGACUUGGAGCCCAAUCAGGACUCUUUCUCUCGAGAGAUCUCCACCGACCUAAAGGAUAAAGAAUAACCAUUCAAUCAAUGUCGGUUUGAUCCGACGGCCCAGGUUCACUUGAGGGGACUAUAUAACCGGACCACCUGGCCCCUGGAGGAGGCACCCCUUGAUCAUUAUUCAUUAUUCAUAGACAGAGCAAAAGCUAGGGUUUAGAGAUGAGAGCUCUCCUCUCUUCUCUAAACUAGAGUAGAUCUAGAUAGUAGCAAGAUGGAGAGCGAAGGAGGAUUAGAGGAGAGGCCGGCCAGUCGGUUCUUCCUCCGGUUGUACUUCGUCAUGAUCAAGCUCUAAUCAAGCUUGCUCAUGGGAUGACUCUGUAAUCUACUUCUAAUUCAUUAUGCAAUUACUAAUUAUGUAUGUUCNNNNNNNNNNNNNNNNNNNNNNNNNNNNNNNNNNNNNNNNNNNNNNNNNNNNNNNNNNNNNNNNNNNNNNNNNNNNNNNNNNNNNNNNNNNNNNNNNNNNUGCUUAGACCUAGAUACUUGUGGAUAUCCCCUGUCUAGCUGGAUCGUGUGGUAGGCCGCGUAGGUGACAGUUACGUUGGUCCUCUGUAGUCCACCUCUCGUUAGCAGGAUGGGUAGGGUUUAUUGGCCUAAGGAUAAGCAUCCUUUGUGGUGUACUCUUAUCACGUGGUUCGUCCCAGACAUAGACAUACCCCUUUGAAGUAGAGAAACCAUAGUUAUCCUCUCUAUUCUGCUACCAUCGCCCAUAUACUAGAAUUGCUCUAUUCUCUUUUCCCAUAUUAUCACUCACUGUUAUCUCACCUUUAAUAUUAUUCUUAUUCAAUUCUACCAUCUUUCCUAUUUACACUUAUCUAUUUAUCUUGGUUAAGUUAGAGCGUAGUUGGUUCUCCCGUUUCUCUGUGGAUACGAUAAAACCUUUAACCGGGUAAAAGCUUCAACGGUAUCCGUGCGCUUGCGGAUUAUCUGUGUGCAUAUAAAUACCAUAGUACACUCUAGUGCCAUGCUGGGGAUGACAACCUAGUAUCAAGUGGUGUUAGCAAGUGUCAACAGACGUACAGCGUAUCGGUCCUUAAACGACACAGACGGGGAUAGAUUCACACCCAAGACCUCCAUGCCUUGUUGCUUCACAUCGUCAUCCCGCCCGGUCUCAAAUUCAUUAUUAGCACAUGGUUAUUUCCACGAUAGCAAAUAUAGCCAACCGUGAUCAUAUAGUGGACAAGGUAGGAAUAUAUGCACCAACGGUUUCAUUCAACUCCUAUCACCUAAUGCAUCAUAUAAAGUUAACUCUUGUGCUGUUAUAAAAAGAGAGGGUAGGAGACUUAGAAUGCUCCGGGGCUUGCCUGGAAUUCGACACAAGUCAGUUAUGUCAGCUUGCAUCGUCUUGACGACAUCUAAGGUGCAACACUUGUUUAGUCCUUCCAUCAUGUCCUUCACGUGGUUCAUCUAGCGUACCUAAAUGAGAUGCAAGUGUAUGAACACGUAGAAGUGCAAUAGAUAAUGCAGCACAUGCAGCACAUAUAGUAAGCAAGAUAAGCAUCAUGUUACUCAACACAUACAUAUGUCGCUUAAAUAACAUAACCAACAUACUAAGAUAGAAAACAAUGCAAAACCAAUCAUAUCAAGCAUAGCACACAUGUUUCACAAGAUUUCAGGUGUCUUAACUUGGCCAUUAUCAAAGACAUGAGUCACACCUAGCAAUAUACCAAGCAAUGGCAAUAACAGGAAUCUGCCAUUUUCAGCACUAUUAACACCAGCUGAGAAAAUAAAUCAUAACUAGAGAUUCACAACUCCAAAAGACAUUCAAGAAGACAUUCUGGAAAGCUUACAAAAUUAUCUACAUUUGAUAUUUAGACAUAAAAGCAUGAUUCUCAACUUAAGCUGGUCGAAAUUAUAAAGUUCCAGAAUAUGUCCCUGACAAACAGAGAGCAGCCAUUUCUGGAAUCAAAUUUUGAACAGACAUAACUCACAAACUACAAGGCCAAAUACUACCGAAUUUUAACAUAAGCUAGAUAAAUAAAUUAUCUACAACUCUUCUAUAAACAAGAUUCCCAUAAAACAUCAGUUACCUAUUGUAAUCCAAACAGUUCCACAUACUGUCCAGAAACAACAAUUGCAAACAAUUAAUUAUUACCUUAUGUUUCAAACAUGCAUUUGAGCAAAACCAUUGUUACCAACAGUUUGCACAUAACUAAAGAACACCAGAAAACAUAGUGGUCAUUACCAAAUAAAUUUAUUUAAUGCCUUUCUUAAUUUAUUUGGAUAAUAUGGUGAAUUAAAGAACAUAUAACAAAAGUGUUCAAUAAAUUCCACCAAAAAUUACAGUAGCUUCUAAAUAAUAUCUAUAGUCUACUGUAUAAAUUUCACUGCAUUUGAAUAAAGAUAUCAACAUCUAUGAAAAAGACAAAUUGCUAUUGCAAUUAAUCAUGUGAGAGCAAGAUAAAUGCACAAAUCAUAUUUUCUUCAAACACAUGGCCAUAUCAUACAUAAACAUGAUACAACAAUAUCAUAGGAUUGUAUUGGAACAACAUUUUCCAUUUUUCCAUUUUUAUUUAUAAUUAUAAACCAUUUAUCAACAUGCAUAAAGACAUCUCUGUCCAAAACAUGGACAGAAUCUAUCAUGUCACAUUAAACAGCCAUAACUUGAGUUUCAUAUGCCCAUAAAUUAUGGUUAUGUGCUUUCUAGAAAGCAUACUAAAUUGUGAACAACUUUGUUAUAAACAUCUAGAGCUAGAUCUACCAAUAACAAGGUCUUACAUAACAAACAAUGCAUCCCUGUCUGGGUUUAUACAGAAACUGAAACAGUACUUUAAAUCACUAUAACUAAACAUAUGCUUGACCAAAAAUUAUGCUAUUUAGCAUGAUGGAAAAAUUAUGAAAAGUACUACAACUCAUAUAUUUUCAUCCAGGCAUGAUUCACAACCCAACUGAGCCAAACAAUAUAAACAUGUAGACCUACUCAGAAUAGGAGCAAAGCAACACAGAGCAUUUGUUAUUUUUAUAACUCUAAAUCUGUCAUGCCUAAAUUCAUGAAACUUUCACCAGCCUCAAAUAUUAUAUGUAAAGCAUGCCAUGAUAUUUUCACAUUUAUUUGAGCAAUAAUACAUUGGUUAUGAAAAAGACAAAUAUAACAAGUAAUUAAAACCGAACUGUACAGAUAUAUUUUUACCGUUAAAACUUCAAACAAAAACAUGGCAUAUUAUAGAUCUACUGCAUAAAGAAUUUCACAAGGAUUCCAAAAGGUCCACAUUUGCUAUUUUACGACUUUUCUAUGAAUUUCUAUACAUUUCCAAAAUUCACCCAUGAAAUCUGCAAAAACAAAAGAAAAGGAAAACAGAUCUUGCCCCGGGAACCUUGGAGUUUCCAGAAAUCACGCCAUAGCCCACAAAUACUAUUCAUAUUCAUAUGAGUCUUAACUUCGCAUCUGGAACCCUGAGUUGUUUCUUAUUCGAACCCGAAGUCCUUCUUCUUUCUCUGCUCGAACAGAGGACGGAGGAGAAUAGCUGGUUCCGGUCGGAGGGUGGCCACGUCGGUGGUGGAGAAGUGGUUGGGGAGGGCUAGGGGGCCCGUGCGCACCGUGUGGUGGCCAGGGCUCGCCUCGUGACGGUCUAAGGAGGCGAGGCCGCGUGAGCAGUUGUCGCCGGCGGCAAUGUCUCCUAGGGCAAGUCGCUCGUCGAGGGAGACGCCCGCAGAAGGAGUCGGCGAGGCAUGGGGCGACCAUGGAAAGGCAAUGGUGGUGCUGGCAUGGGUAGAGGAGGGCCAUAGGCAAGGAAGCAGCGAUGACGACAGCUGCUCUGCUCGUCAGCCAUGGCUGGUGACACACGGCAAGCAGAUUGUAGCGAGAGGGAGUGGGCGAGUACCGGGGCGACUGCGGAGUCCGCGAGAGGGCUCGGGCAUCCUCUCUGUAGGCGACAGGGGCGCAGGGCAGCUGUCCACGAAGGUGGAGUCGCGAGUGAUGCAUGGCGGCCACGUCCUGGCCACGCGUCGGCCAUUGAAGCAUUUCGACGAACAGGUGGCGGGCAACAGAGUGACCAGUGUGGGAGACAAAUUUGUGCCAUUUCCAUGCCGAAUUAGGAGAUGGGCCAAAUAUGAAGUUUGUUGUCCUCGUGCUGAUAUACAUUUUUCGUUUAAGUGUCAUGGUCAUUAGGAUUACAGAUUAAUAGAUAAUUUGAUGCCAACCUUUGAGUGUCAAUGAAUUGAUAAUGAUUAGCAAAACUCAAAAUUGAUGACCAAAACGAAGUCAAACUGGUGUCAUCUUUUGGAAUGCUCUUGUCCACAAUAUGUACUCCAUCUUAUAUUUUGGGACCCAAAUAAGUUGUUUAGUAAAAUUUGGAGAACGCGGAAUGCCAACGUGAUGAACUGCAAACCUAGACUUAGAAACUCUAAGUGCUGGAAAUUAUAGCAGAUUCAAUCUUGUGACUAUUAUUUGACAUGCUUAGAAGAUGAUUCAGACUUAGUAACUUUAACAAAGAUUGUAGUAUGCAAACUAUACAACAACUUUUUCAAAAGGACUUGUACUGGUUCGGUAUUAUUUGGAAGAUACAAGGCUCCCAACUAGGGUACCCGAAACUGAGCACCUCAGGACAGCCAAAAUUCUGGAGUUCAAAACAGCACUGCAUUGAAUCUUGUAAACUUAAUUUGACUAGGUUAGAGACAAAAAUAGCUCUUGAUCAUUAAACAAAGUUUGUUCUACAGAAUCUAAAAUACAACUUUCAUUUGAGGUUAAACCUCAGAACUACUACAAAAGUCAAACUUUCACUUUGGUCAAUGCAGCAACUUGAUAAAGCUCAAACUAAGGUUUUAGGCUAAUUGAAGCAUUUUUUGGGCACAAGCUCAACAUGAACCCUUCAUGACUUUUGUUGUAGAGUUCAUCUAGAGUCAUUUGGGCAAGGUUGCAAUGAAUGGUUGAUGACCUAUGGUUUUAUUCACUUAAUGAGGUCAUUCCAACAAGCAUGUAACUUAACAUUUCAUGUGACCUUUUGAUUCCAAACUCCAUGAAACUUUUUGAGUGCUCACUAUAGGCAGUGAUGGAUGUAAGAUACAUGAAAGAGGUUCCAUUAAUGUCACCCAAGCAUACACUUCGAAAAGGUACUAUAUGUAAGCAAGGGUGUGUUCCCAAGUUUAACUUGAGGCUCACUUCAUGGAUUGACUUUAACAUGAUCAUCACCACUUAUCAAGACAUGUUUAAGCUCAAAACCUAAGGUUUAACUCGUGGCAAACACCUGGGGUGUUACAACCCUCCCCCCUUAAAAGAAUCUCAUCCCGAGAUUCAGGACAAAGGAGUUCUAAGGGUGGAGAAGUAUGCUAUUCACUUCUAACAUUGGCGAUAGCAGUCAACUACUUAUCCCUGAGCAUCAGAGAGGCUAAUUUGGUCAGGACACUUUCUGGUACUGGUUCUUCAUAGUGAAUCUUUGUCUAAAGAAUUUCCUUUAUUGACUUCCAUGAAGUAUUGUUACUUUGCGGAGGAAUUUAAGACAACACUAUCACAUGUACUUCAUUCCCAAUGUAUGAUGGAUGGUUCGGAGCACAGUAAACUACUCACUACAAUGUUUCCAUCUAUGUUCACAAGGCUCAAAAAGUUGUGCUCUACCAGAAUGGCUUGAGUACAACCUUCCGUAGGAGAUGAGAUCAUGAACUAGAUAAACAUCCUCGUGGUUAUGAGAAACCAACUAACCACAAACAAUGUCUAUUCUAGUCAUAAGGUCUCGUCAUUUAGAUGCCAAUCAAUGGAAAGCUACCUAAGGUUCCAUGUGUCCAGUUCUCUUUUACUGAUAUCAACACUUUAUUUUCCAAGUCUAUCGAGUUAGUGUUGACCAUUCAAUGAAUUUUAAUGGCUCCAAGUGUUAACAGUUACCUAGGUCGUAUCAAAUACAACCUCUUGGGUAAAAGGACAUAGAAGAUACCCAAGGCGUGUUAGUACUAGAUAGGCAUUGUUAAAGAUGGGCGAUAGCAAGGUCUAGAGGACAACAACAGUUGCAAGUAUUCACCGAACUAGGGAAACAAGCUACUACCAAGCAGUCAACUAUGGAAUUUCCAUCACUAAGUAGUUGCUUACUAAGCUCGGUCGGUUUGCACAGUAGCAAAAUAGCUUGGUGAAACUACUUUUGACAUUAAGGAUUCCUUUUUAGGAUCAAACAAUAGCUCUAAGAUUAUAAAUCUAAGAUUUGUUGUUUAACACCUUUCCAAUUAUUUUUGACUUGUAGAACGCCUAGAUUGCUCAACUAUAGGUUGAGGUGAUAGGGUAACAACUAGGUACCAAAGGUUGAAAGGAGUCUUUUCUAGGUCAUCCUAAGGUUCAUCUUGGUUCAGUUCACACCGCGCAAACUAGCUUCAUUAUGCAUGAAUUGUUAGUGUGUAUAGAGAUCCAAGAGUCUUAUGAUCAUUAACCAAAAUUCAGCUCAAGCAAACACCAUAUGGCUAACCAAACAAAACAAAACCUUUGAUAGCACCACACAUAUAAUGAUGCUAACCGAGACUAGGGAUGUGCUUUUCUCUAGCUUGUGACUUAGAUAUAGCAUUUGGUACCAUCUAUGUGAUUGUCCAUGAUUGAAUUGACUUGACAACUCAAGGCCUAGAAAAGGAAAUAGUAUUUGCAUCGUUGAUCCACUUAUUGUUUUCUUUGCAUGACACUAUUUUAUGAGACGUAGCCUUUAGGGACAUCAUGGUGUCAUUUCCAAGGUAGUGAUUAAACUUCUAACUAAUAACUAAUCAGUUGUCUCUAAACACUAAAAAGUUCCAAAACUUUCUUCUUUGGUGGCAACAAUUGUAGUUGAUACAUUUGUAGGCAGUCAAGAUCAAAGUCAGCCAAAAAGAGAUCACAAUAGAGAUGGUUGAUUAGGACUGUGUGAUUUCCAUGAUCAAGAUUUGGAUCAAUUCUUGUCUAAUUGGUAACUUGUCCAACUUUAAGUGUUGUGUGCCCUUUGGAUUCAACAGUGGAUGACACAAGUUACUCACUAAACAACUGAUAUUGUUACAUGGGUAACAAAUAGAGUCUCUUGUCCACCACCCCUUGCAGUCUGUUAAGAUUUAUGUCGGUAACCUAUUCUUCAAAUGUUAUCUUCUUAGCAACUUCAGAAGGUGGUCCUAUUACAUAAGUCUAAUAUAGAUCCUUUGAUUGAAGAUAAGGAAAGAUAACCAAGGACAAGCUCAUGAGAAGAUAACACAGUGUAGUUUUAUAAUAGAUCAUAACUAGCAACCACGAUACCAGUGCGUGCCGAGCAGCACAGUCCUGUGUGUGCACCCACAAGAGGCUCUCGGUUUCGUCACAGCACCAUUAGUCACUAAUCACGAUGCUAUUACCGAUCUUACAACCAACGUGAAAUCUCACAUGACAUAGGUAAGUCUUGCAUGUACAAGGAUCAUGUGCAAGACAAAAAUUAAGCAUGCAAAGAUGAUAGCAAGAUUUGGAGGUAACAACUAGAAGGUUAAAGGAUGAGAACACGACACAAGAAAUAAAUGGGUAUGCCUUAUGCCCAUCAAGGUCAUUACCUAACAAUUAAUUUAUGAGAUGCGGUCAUGUUGGGUAGGAAUAUGAGAUCAAAGUUGAUAAGCAUCCAAGACUUGGGGAGGCUGGAGAUGACUAAAGCAAACUGCAAAGGUAGAACCACUUCACCGAUCAGAGAUUUAGAUGAUAGGGAGUUACAUGGUUUGUAAAGCAAAAGUUUCCAAGAUUAGGCAGCAAAAGAUUUAGAGACCAGGCAAUAAGAGAUUGCAUUACACAAGUUAAGCUUUGGGAGAUGCAAUCAGGAGGUCCAACAUGGAUUUGGUAUGGUCUCCGUAACUAGCAAAGAACAACUAUAGUCAAAAGCUUUCUGUAGCGAGAACUUAUUCUAGCUAGUUGGCUAGGCAAGGAUAUUUGCAAACUGGUGUAGGACAACUAUGGUAUAUGCAAGCCUUUGAUGGUCUGGACAUUGGUUUACGUAUCAAGCAUAGGCAUGGAUGCUCCAACAUUCAAAAACUAGUAGUCAAGUCUAUAAGCUCGGCUUCUAAGAAAGGAACCUAAUCUGAUACAACCAGCACACAAUCAACCUAACUUGAGUGCCAUUCUAAGAUAAAGCUAUUUAACACUUGUGCUUGUCGAGGACAAAACAAGAAACAACCAAGGCACGAUCUAGAUAACCAACAUCCACACAACAUAACAGUUUUAAGCAAGUACUUGAGAAAGCUCAAACAAUCACGCUUAAACAACCAUUACUAAGCACAAGGCUUACACAUAACAAGCAUCUAUCUACAGCAAUACAACACAUUUGUCGCACAUACAAGGAUUAUGGUACAAGGUUUGCUACAAAGCAAGUGGACACGGUUCAGUCUUUUAGGGAGAAUAUGACUUUGAGAUAGGUAGUAAAAAGGGCUCCAAAAGAUUUUUGGCAUGGCUGCACUAUCAUGCAAAUGGACAUACCACAAGCAAGAGUCUAGCAUUUAGGAAAACUCAGCGGGAAAAGGUUAUCAAACCUAUGGAGUUAAUUAAAAACUUAACAAGGUUGAAAAAGAAUAUCAGUUAGCUCUGUCUAAACUAGGGUAGAGAACUUGACAUAAACUUUAGAAAAUGGUAACUAAAGUUUCAUUGAUCCAACGAACAUGAUCCUUAAUGUUAUGGAAAACUUAUCAAGUCAUCUAUAAUUUUUUUUUAUCAUUUUAAGGUGCUUCUACAGCUAACAAGCACAAACAAUACAAAGAAGGCAUAUCUAUUCAGAUUUUUGACAGAUUCUGUCAUUCUACUUCACAAGCUCAUAACAUAAGAUUUAUACCACCAAAAGUAGUGAUCUAAGACAUUUUGGAAACCUUAACAAAAGUACUACACUCCUUCUAUUAACUCUACGUCAUGAUUCUGUACGCGCACUAGUCAAACAAACGAAACAUUCAGAUCUGUUCAGAACACAAUCAGGAUCUGACAACAAACUUCAAAAGUUCAUAACUCCUAAACCCUCAGGCCUAUGGUCAUGAAGUUUUAGGAUAGACUAGAUAUAGUGGUUGGCUACAACUUUGGUAUUCACCAUACUUACAGAAAACACAACUAUUGUCGUGAAAACACCACUAGAAUACAAACUGCUCUAGCAGCCAAAAUUCAACACACAUAUCAAGCAAUGUUUUCCCUUGUUCUAUUAACAAGAGAGCACACACAUGUAUAACUCCAGUAGCUACAAACAUUAUUAUCUAGACAAACAAUAAUUUAGUUUGGUGACAAGGAGGGAUUAACAUAAGAAUCAUAAUUGCUUAAGUGAGGUUAAAGCAUUUGCAAACACUUGCAUGAGCAACAUAUUCACCACUUGGCUAAACAAACGGACACCUACAAGUUCAAGCAUAUAGCCUCAACUAUUUCUAUUAUAGGUAGGCCAAAUUUUUACUUAGUUAAUAAAAAUUAGAGGCAUCACAUAAAAUAUCAACAUACAUGUUCACCGACAAGCUUUAGUUUUCAAAGGAUUGUAGUUUCUACUGCUACUAACUUAGCAUUCCUAUAGAAGCAACAUUCAAGGCUAGACACAUCACACACUACUUUCAAGCAAAACUAUUCAAGUAGCAUGGACUAAGACAAAUUUUUAUAUAGCUUCACACAAGGAAAGGAGUAACAUCAUAUCACUCACAAGUUACUUAUCGUUAGAACAAGAAUGAGAGAAGAAUAAUUAUGCAUAAGGCAACAAUCAUGAUGAUGCAUGCUUCGUCUUAUUCGUCCUCACAAAAUUGCCAGCCUAAGGUGGCAAUCACGUUCUAUGUCGGUGGCAUAACACGUACUGUCUCGACAUAUAGCUAGUCGUCAACUACGUUCAAUCUAUGCAUUCGUGGUUAUGUACCUGCAGAACAAUUUCAUUUCAGCCCAACCCAACAAUAAUAUAUGUGCAUAAAUGAAAGUCUGGUCUCUAGGUUGAAAGCUAAAUACUCCAAUAUAUAUUCCCGAAUAUAUAUUGCAGCAUACUACCCAUGUGAAGCACGCCCAUGUAUACACAGUCAUACCAACUAACCCACAAUUAAGUACCUUCAAAUAGACAUGUGUGUAACAUGUAAAUGUUCCAGUAACCACAUCUAACUCUCCCCUAGACCGACGGUUGGACGGUCAUGCUCUCACAACUCACAUUCUUACCUUGAGCGUCGAGACAUAUAGAUCCAUACAUUACCACUCAAGCAAGUGGCAUCCAUACAAUUUCACGCUGUAUGGACAACGAAAGGAAAAUUAUUGCUUACUGUGGCAUAGAGGUAUAUGAUCCAUUCAUUACCACUUAAGUAAGUGGCAUCCAUACUAUUGCACGCCGUAUGAACGACGAAAGUAAAAGUUACAAUAAAGUAAACCGCCGAUAGUUUGUAUCAGUUUACAUAAAGCCACCUAGUAGUCCUUAAUUGGGCAUAAUUGGAGGUCGUCGCUAGCAUAGUUUCUGUAAAUUAGUUUUGACAAGUUUUGCCUGUAGCUAAUGUUUUAGUCCAAAUAGGAUUUUUAAAACCAAAACUUUGUUUUUAAAACAGUGUAUCUGAUAGUAUUAUACUUAAUCUUGCUCCGAUACCAGCUGUGACAGAACCGCCCAAUUUAUACAAGUUUAAGUACGACUGUCCCCGUUUAACACGUUGACACGCGCAUACUCUCACUUAUAUAAACCUGGUAGUCUGCCGAGUGUCACGAAGGACCUCGGUAAAUCAACUUUACACCAAGAUCGCAUGAUUAAGCAAAUACACAUCACAUACACGGAGAUUUGCAGCGGAAAUAAUAUUACAAAAGAGUUCACAAAUAAUAGUACAUGUUUGGAUUUUUUUCCAAAUUGAUUAGAAAACAACAUAGCUUUUAAAUGAUUACAAUAACAUAAGUUCCAAAUGCACUGCUAGCAUAAGUGACAUCCUCCGACAAAAGCAUGUAGAUGAGAACACUAUAUAGAAUCACCAAGCCCACCGGCGGUUAGCCACCAUCCUUAGCAGACUGAAAACUUCACCCGCAACAGGGUGUGAUAAACCCUGAGUACUCGAACGUACUCAGCUAGACUUACCCGACAGGAGAGAAAAUAAAAGACUCUCAAGGAUAUGCAAGGCUUUUUGGUGGAGUUGGUUGGAUAGCAUAACUUUGCCAAAAAGAGCAUUACUAUCAUGAGUCCUUAAUUUCAACCUUUUAGUCAAUAUUUUAGCAUCAAGUUCAAUUAAGCUACCAUAGCUAGAUUUUGCACCUAUUCUAUAGCAAUCACUUGAUUAAUGAGCAUCGCAUUAAUAACCAUAUCCGGUUUAUCAUGUAGCCAUCAUCAUCAGCAUCAUAACCAUUAAGUUUCAUUUAGUUUAUCUACGUUGCCGCUGCCCGAGUCAAGUUCUCACUAUCCGGGAGAGACGGCGAUUCGAAUCGAUUCCUAUCCAGCAGGAGGGGUAUUCCUAGCACUCACCCAGGCAUACUUAGCUAGAGUAGCUUGGAUCACCUUUAGCACAACUCCGGACCAAUUCGUGGGUCCGUACGGCGCCGCACCCCCAUGGACCGCCAAUCUGCCAGGGUCAGGACUCUAACCUGACUCCUCGGUCUUACGCCAUUGACUCCCCGCACAUCCUUGCUACCAACCGGGGUGCGCACUUUAACCGAACGGGGUAUCCAGCCGGAGAUGCACUCGUAGGCUUCGCGGUCGGAGUGACUUAUCCGACCAACUAAGUGUUAGGCAUGCGUUCAACAUGACACGAGGACGUAUAGCGUAUCGGUCCUUAAACGACACAGACGGGGAUAGAUUCACACCCAAGACCUCCAUGCCUUGUUGCUUCACUAUCGUCAUCCUGCCCGGUCUCAAAUUCAUUAUUAGCACAUGGUUAUUUUCACGGUAGCAAAUAUAGCCAACCGUGAACAGGUAUCCACCUAUCUCUCGCAGGUGACAGGAAAUCACCUGGCUUCUACCGAGUUAAGCAUAGCAAAGCAUAGAACGUUUUCCUUAUACUAGUAAGGGUUCAGGUAGUUUCAUAUAGUGGACAAGGUAGGAAUAUAUGCACCAACAGUUUCAUUCAACUCCUAUCACCUAAUGCAUCAUAUAAAGUUAUACUCUUGUGCUUUUAUAAAAAGAGGGGGUAGGAGACUUAGAAUGCUCCGGGGCUUGCCUGGAAUUCGACACAAGACAGUUAUGUCAGCUUGCAUCGUCUUGACGACAUCUAAGGUGACAACACUUGUUUAGUCCUUCCAUCAUGUCUUUCACGUGGUUCAUCUAGCGUACCUAAAUGAGAUGCAAGAUGCAAGUGUAUGAACACGUAGAAGUGCAAUAGAUAAUGCAGCACAUGCAGCACAUAUAGUAAGCAAGAUAAGCAUCAUGUUACUCAACACAUACAUAUGUCGCUUAAAUAACAUAACCAACAUACUAAGAUAGAAAACAAUGAAAAACCAAGCAUAUCAAGAAUGGCACACAUGUUUCACAAGAUUUCAGGUGUCUUAACUUGGCCAUUAUCAAAGACAUGAGUCACACCUAGCAAUAUACCAAGCAAUGGCAAUAACAGGAAUCUGCCAUUUUUAGCACUGUUAACACCAGCUGAGAAAAUAAAUCAUAACUGGAGAUUCACAACUCCAAAAGACAUUCAAGAAGACAUUCUGGAAAGCUUACGAAAUUAUCUACAUUUGAUAUUUAGACCUAAAAGCAUGAUUCUCAACUUAAGCUGGUCGAAAUUAUAAUGUUCCAGAAUAUGUCCCUGAAAAAAAGAGAGCAGCCAUUUCUGGAAUCAAACUUUGAACAGACAUAACUCACAAACUACAAGGCCAAAUACUACCGAAUUUUAACAGCAGCUAGAUAAAUAAAUUAUCUAUAACUUUGCUAUAAACAAGAUUCCCAGAAAGCAUCAUUUACCUAUUGUAAUCCAAACAGUUUCACAAACUGUCCAGAAACAACAAUUGCAAACAAUUAAUUAUUAACUUAUGUUUCAAACAUGCAUUUGAGCAAAACCAUUGUUACCAAUAGUUUGCACAUAACUAAAGAACAACAGAAAACAUAGUGGUCAUUACUAAUUAAAUUUAUUUAAUGCCUUUCUUAAUUUAUUUGUAUAAUAAGGUGAAUUAAAGAACAUAUAACAAAAGUGCUCAAUAAAUUCCACCAAACAUUACAGUAGCUUCUAAAUACUAUCUAUAGUCCACUGUAUAAAUUUCACUGCAUUUGAAUAAAGAUAGCAACAUCUAUGAAAAAGACAAAUUGCUAUUACAAUUAAUCAUGUGAGAGCAAGAUAAAUGCACAAAUCAUAUUUUCUUCAAACACAUGGCCAUAUCAUACAUAAACAUGAUACAACAAUAUCAUAGGAUUGUAUUGGAACAACAUUUUCCAUUUUUCCAUUUUUAUUUGUAAUUAUAAACCAUUUAUCAAGAUCCAUAAAGACAUCUCUGUCCAAAACUUGGACAGAAUAUAUCAUGUCACAUUAAACAGCCAUAACUUGAGUUUCAUAUGCCCAUAAAUUAUGGUUAUGUGAUUUCUAGAAAGCAUACUAAAUUGUGAACAACUUUGUUAUUAACAUCUAGAGCUAAAUCUACCACUAACAAGGUCUUACAUUACAAACAAUGCAAUCCAGUCUGGGUUUAGACAGAAACUGAAACAGUACUUUAAACCACUAUAACUAAACAUAUGCUUGACCAAAAAUUAUGCUAUUUAGCUUGAUGGAAAACUUAUGAAAAGUACUACAACUCAUAUAUUUUCAUUCAGGCAUGAUUCACAACCCAACUGAGCCAAACAAUAUAAACAUGAAGACCUACUCAGAAUAGGAGCAAAGCAACACAGAGCAUUUGUUAUUUUUAUAACUCUAAAUCUGUCAUGCCUAAAUUCAUGAAACUUUCACCAGACCUCAAAUAUUAUAUGUAAAGCAUGCCAAAACAGUUUCACAUUUAUUGGAGCAAUAAUACAUUGGUUAUGAAAAAGACAAAUAUAACAAGCAAUUAAAACCGAACUGCACAGAUCUAUUUUUACCGUUAAAACUUAAAAACAAAACAUGGCAUAUUAUAGAUCUACUGCAUAGAGAAUUUGACAAGGAUUCCAAAAAGUCCACAUUUGCUAUUUUACGACUUUUAUACGAAUUUCUAUGCAUUUCCAAAAUUCACCCAUGAAAUCUGAAAAACAAAAGAAAAGGAAAACAGAUCUUGCACCGGGAACCCUGGACUUUCCAGAAAUCACGCCACAGCCCAUAAAUACUAUUCAUAUGAGUCUUGGCUUCGCAUCUGGAACCCUGAGUUAUUUCUUAUUCGAACCCGAGGUCCUUCUUCUUUCUCUGCUCGAACAGAUGGAGGAGAAUCGCCGGUUCCGAUCGGAGGGUGGCCACGGCGGUGGCGGAGAAGUGGUGGGGGAGGGCUAGGGGGCCGUGCCCACCCUGUGGUGGCCAGGGCUCGCCUCGUGACGGUCUAAGGAGGCAAGGCCGCGUGAGCAGUUGUCGCCGGCGGCAAUGUCUCCCACGGCAAGUCGCUCGUCGAGGGAGACGCCCGCAGAAGGAGUCGGCGAGGCACGGGGCGACCAUGGAAAGGCAAUGGUGGUGCUGUAUAACACUCUAAAAUUUUUUAAUUUUGGGUUGUUAUUAUAAAACACUAAAUAAAAUGAAUGAUUUUUAGUAUAUGGAGAAAAAUUGCCGAUAAUAGUUUAGAUUUUCAUAUAUUGUUAUUAAAUAAAUGGUGCUUUUCAAAUAUUUUGGAAUUAAUUAGACGGGCUUUAGUUGAUGUGAUGCUUGCUUGUUGCUUGAGUUGUGUGUUUUUGAGUGUGCUAGGUUUUAAAAACAUGUUUAGACACCGUCCGAUCUUUCCCGAGAAUUUUCUAGACUUUUUCGGGUUUUUUCCCAUUUUUUUCUAGAACAAAAUCUAUUUUUUAUAUGCUCUAAAAUUCUUUUUCAUGGACACCAAAAACUUUAUUUUGAUUGAUCAACUCUCAAUAUAUCUUUAAAAGUUUUCCUUUAAUUUUUAGAAUUUUGGAAGUAUUUUUUAGGAAUUUAAAAUGAUUUCACCUUUUUCUAGAAUUAUUUUGGAACUGAAAAUGAUUUAUUUAAAAUCCCGAAAUUAAGAAAUUCUGAAACUUUUUCAAACCCUAGACCUAUAUAUAUGCCGGCGUAGCCCUCGACGCGCUGAUUCCAAAACUACAAUCGCUUUUCCAAGCCGCCACUCGUAGCCCUGCAGAUCCAUCGCCGAAGUUUUGGAUCUCGUUCCCGGCGAACUUUUCCGGCGAACGUUCGGCGAGUGUUUCCGGCCGCCUCCAUCAUCCUCUGCGAAAACCGCCGCCACCGCGAGGUUCAUGUCGAUCUUCUCUACACCGGCACGCCAUUCUUUUCGCGAAUCCGCUGCCCAUUGACUGUUUUCCUUGUCUUCUCUUUUAACUCCGGCGAACUCCACCAUAGCAGGUUUCUUGUUCGUGAUUUCUGGACAUGGACGCGUCCUUCACCUCGGGCCAUAGGGCCAAACCUGCGACGCUGCCCUAGGCCCACGGCCCCGCUGCCAACACCAGCGCCCCAAGCCCCUGCGUCGCGUGCCUACACCACAGCCAUGGCCGCCGCCACCUCCCUGGCCGAAUGGGUCACGGUCGUGGCCACCGUGGAGCCCCGUGCCUGGCCCCACGAGCAGGCCCACGUCGCGUCGAGUGCCAUGCCCCGCCGCCCAAUGCCCAAAGCCGGCGCCCCUCUGCUACCCUGCGCAAGCACAGCCACGGUUCAUCCAGAUGGUGCGUACGUGAUCCAGAUGACCAAAGGUAGAAGAAGGUGUUAAUUACGAUUUCGCCACUGAAUAAAAAUAGCAAUAGUUUAUUCGUUUUAAUUUCGUUUUGUUCCGUUUCAGUUGCGUUAGUUUCGUAACGUCACGUUCUACACAGUAGUGUUAACUUGUAUUAUGUCACAUGUUUUUUUUCUAUAUUUAGUUGAAUAUUAGAUUAAUUAAUGUAUGUACCUAAAUUUAUAAUUAAAAGCACUAAUUUUAUAUUGAAAGCACUAAUUUUAUAAUUAAAAGCACUAUAGAGUUAAAAUCAUGUUUUCUAUUGUUUUGUGAUCGUGGCAACGUAAAUGACUUGUUAGCAAUACUGUUUUCCAUAUCCCAUGUUUAUAAAUAUAAUUAGUUUAAUUAAUAUUUAUUGAGUGCCAUUUUUAAUUAUUAAAAAAAUAAUUUAGGUUUACACUUCGUUAUUUUUAUAAUCUAAUAUUAAUUUGAUUAAUGUUAACUUAAAUAUUUAUUAAUUAUAAUUCUUUUAGUUAGACAUAAAGUAUAUAAUUAAUUUGUUUCAUAUUUAAUUAAUGUCUUUUUGAUUAAAAGUAACUUAUGUUUAUAAUUUAGAUCUUUUAUAAAUAAAUAAAUGCUAACAUUAUUAAUAUGAAUUUAAAUGAUUCUUUAUUAAUUAUAACUUGUUUACUAUAAAUGGAAGCAUGUCAUGAUUCGAUUAGUUGCUCUCACUUGCUUUAUGCUUCCUAAAUCAUAAAUGUUUAAAUGACUUAAAUGAUAUAUAUACCUUUUAUUUAUAAAUAGAAUAUAACUAUAACUAUACUUUGUCUUUUAUAAUUAUAGUUUGUUUAAUUCCACUUUAUGAUAUUUCUCAAAAAAAAGUCUAUCACCUCUUUUCAUCAAAUGAAAUAGAUCAAGCGAAUAGUGGAUCUUCUUUGUUGCACUUCGAUCCUCGAAAGUCGUGUCCGAUUAACUAUAGCUCCGUUCUCAAUCAUUCUUGCGUUGUCUCGAUCGUAGCAACAAGCCGUGUCGUUUAGUGCGCUCUUUCUAAGCUUUUCUUUUGAUUGUCGUUUGUUCUUAGUCGUGAUUGCUGUUUGUCUGUUUGUGUUGCUUGGUUGCUACGAGUAGAAGAAGCGUGGUUCGUCAAUAGUGAAGACCAAGAGCUAAAGACCGACAGCCGAAGCAGAAGUUCGAGAUUAGAAGAAAGAAGCCAAAGAAUUCUGAGCAGAUAUACACUAGGAAUAAAGGCGAGUGCAGACACCGUUUGAUCAUUUUGAACCUACUCAUUAAUGUCAUUUACUUUAUAUGCAUGUGUCCAAUGAAUGCAAACCCUAAGGACAUGACUAGCUUUACUUACCAUUCCUUGUUCACCUGGGGUUAUGUAUAUCGGUAGUCUAGGCUAUACUAGGUUUGCUUAGCUGCUCUACUCAUCUUAUACACAUGCCUAAACAAGUAAUACUCUCUACUUAACUUGAUGCUUAAACUGUGCUGAACCUUUGGUCACUGCGGUGAUGGCGAUGUUGGAUGCUUACGAGCAUGGUGAUGAUGGUGGUGAAAGGGGGAGCGGGUACUGUUGGUGGUCCGGUUUGCCGGGCGUACCCGUCUCUGCUCUCCGUAAGGACUUAGUCAGGGAGCAGCCCCCUGGGACUUACAGUGCAGCUCCAAGCUAUAUGGCUCUGGCUUGACUAAUUAGCAGGACCUCCACUAGUAGGGUGUUACUUUCCGGGUAGACGUGAGGAAGUAACUUGUGUAAUGAAUAUUAAGUUGUCGGUUGAUCGGUACGCCAUGGCUAUGGGUAUCGACUGCCGAGCGCCCCGGCAAAAAACUUGCGAGUGGCAUCCUAUUAGUUGGACCCUGUGAAAGGUCUCGUAGUGAGACCCUGCCUGCUCACCUUGGUAGUGUUUUGGGGAGUCAUGACCCCGGGCAUAUAGGAAUCACGACUUGGAGUGAACGUGCACACCUUUGCAGAGUGUAAAACUGAUAUAUCAGCCGUGCUCACGGUCACGAGCGGCCCAGACCCUCAGUUGAUGAGCAAAUUGGAUUCACUGGAUACUAGGAGAUGGAACCUGGCGAGGUUGCUACCUCGUGUUUUUGGCGGAAUGGCUAUUCCGUGUUGGCAGGAUUGCUAUCCUGUGUUAAUAAUUGGGGUUAAUCCCUGGACUACUAUAAUUAUUAGGAUAGUCUUUUAAAAGAUGCUAAUUACUACUUACACUAAUUAAGGGUUGGGUUUAUGCUACUCAUAAUUAGUAGUAGGUUGUUCUAAUAAUAGUCAUAAUUAAAAGUGAUCAACUAAAAUGCUACCGCCGUCAACCCAAGUCAGCUUUACCUUUUUUAAGCCUUGCAUGUCAUUACUUUCCGUAUGUGCUUGUUGAGUUCGACAUGAACUCACCCUUGCUAUUCCCCCACACCCCCAGUGUGUAGUAAAGUGCUGCUCAGAAGAUGAACAAAGAUGCUAUGGAGUUUUCUAGAAGCUUAUCAGAAGUGCUUGGCGUACGGAGCCCCCAGUCAACCGUCCCUGAGAAAAAUGGAGCCUAAGAAGUUCUAGCUACUGUUUCUGCGUACUCUGAUGUUUGUAAGUGUUAAUAUAAAUAUAUUUCCACUAUAUAUAACAUUGUUUCUGAUAUUUCUAUUCUUUGUUGUAUGUGUGGACUUUCUGGACACACAUAUGACGACUCUGGUCUAAUUUUAAAAGCCAGGGUGUGACAUGCUGGCAUGGGUAGAGGAGGGCCAUAGGCAAGGAAGCAGCGAUGACGACGGCUGCUCUGCUCGUCGGCCAUGGCUGGUGACCACACGGCAAGCAGAUUGCAGCGAGAGGGAGUGGGCGAGUACCGGGGCGACUGCGGAGUCCGCGAGAGGGCUCGGGCAUCCUCUCUGUGGGCGACAGGGGUGCAGGGCAGCUGUCCACAAAGGUGGAGUCGCGAGUGAUGCAUGGCGGCCACGUCCUGGCCACGCGUCGGCCAUUGAAGCAUUUCGACGAACAGGUGGCGGGCAAUAGAGUGACCAGUGUGGGAGACAAAUUUGGGCCAUUUCCAUGCCGAAUUAGGAGAUGGGCCAAAUAUGAAGUUUGUUGUCCUCGUGCUACUCUACAUUUUUUGUUUAAUUGUCAUGGUCAUUAGGAUUACAGAUUAAUAGAUAAUUUGAUGCCAACCUUUGAGUGUCAAUGAAUUGAUAAUGAUUAGCAAAACUCAAAAUUGAUGACCAAAACGAAGUCAAACUGGUGUCAUCUUUUGGCAUGCUCUUGUCCACAAUAUGUACUCCAUCUUAUAUUUUGGGACCCAAACAAGUUGUUUAGUAAAAUUUGGAGAACGCGGAAUGCCAACGUGAUGAACUGCAAACCUAGACUUAGAAACUCUAAGUGCUGGGAAUUAUAGCAGAUUCAAUCUUGUGACUAUUAUUUGUCAUGCUUAGAAGAUGAUUCAGACUUAGUAACGUUAACAAAGAUUGUAGUAUGGAAACUAUACUACAACUUUUACCGAAGGACCUUGUACUGGUUCAGUCUUACUUGGAAGAUACAAGGCUCCCAACUAGGGUACCCGAAACUGAGCACCUCAGGACUUAGCCAAAAUUCUGGAGUUCCAAAACAGCACUGCAUUGAAUAUUGUAAACUUAAUUUGACUAGGUUAGAGACAAAAAUAGCUCUUGAUCAUUAAACAAAGUUUGUUCUACAGAAUCUAAACUACAACUUUCAUUUGAGGUCAAACAUCAGAACUAGUAUAAAAGUCAAACUUUCACUUUGGUCAAUGCAGCAACUUGAUAAAGCUCAAACUAAGGUUUUAGGCUAAUUGAAGCAUUUUCUGGGCACAAGCUCAACAUGAACCCUUCAUGACUUUUGUUGUAGAGAUCAUCUAGAGUCAUUUGGGCAAGGUUGCAAAGAAUGGUUGAUGACCUAUGGUUUUAUUCACUUAAUGAGGUCAUUCCAACAAGCAUGUAACUUAACAUUUCAUGUGACCUUUUGAUUCCAAACUCCAUGAAACUUUUUGAGUGCUCACUAUAGGCAGUGAUGGAUGUAGGAUACAUGAAAGAGGUUCCAUUAAUGUCACCCAAGCAUACACUUCGAAAAGGUACUAUAUGUAAGCAAGGGUGUGUUCCCCAAGUUUAACUUGAGGCUCACUUCAUGGAUUGACUUUAACAUGAUCAUCACCACUUAUCAUGACAUGUUUAAGCUCAAAACCUAAGGUUUAACUUGUGGAAAACACCUGGGGUGUUACAUAAAUGUAUAUAGCAAAAAAGACAAACUUUAUUAUUAUUGAUCAAAAAAGAUUUACAAGUAAAAUGUACUGAAACUUAGGGAUAGAAGCGUCGUAGUUUGUCUAUGUGCUAGGAGUUGGGCAGGCGUGUUCCAUCUGGGUAAGCCAGUCUAUAAGAUAUAUGGCGGGUAACUUCGGUGACCACAAAGGGUCCCUCCUAGGGUGUAGAUAACUUGUGCAUUCCCUCCUGGCUUGUUUUCCAUUUGAGUACCAAAUCACCGACCACGAAGGAGCGGUCUUUGACGUUCUUAUUGUGGUAUCGUCUAAUGGCCUCAAGAUACUUUGUUGUUCAAAGGCAGGAAGUCAGGCGUCUCUCUUCUGUGCAGUAGAUUUCGAGUUCUUUGGCGAGGUCUGCUGAAGACUGGUCAAAAUGUUCGACUCUUGGAGAUCCAAAGGCUACAUCUGAGGGGAGCACUGCCUCGGCCCCAUAAACCAUAAAAUAGGGGGAUACACCCAUGUUCCGACUAGGCUAUGUUCGAAGGCCCCAGACCACGGCCGAUAACUCUUUCAUCUAUUGCCCUGGUGCCCCGUCGUUCUCCGUAUACAGCCUUUUCUUUAGAGCAUCAAUAAUCAUUCCAUUUGCUCGCUCGACUUGACCGUUGGCUCGCGGAUGGGCUACCGACACGUACUUUAUGACUAUGCCUCUGUCAUCACAGAAGUCCCACAAUGUAGUUCUGGUGAACUGAGUGCCCAGGUCGGUGAUUAUGCUAUUGGGAACCCCGAAUCUAUGUAUGAAUUGAUUGAGGAAUUCCACAGCCUUCUCGGAAAUCGCUUUGACCAGUGGCAUGUACUCGGUCCACUUCGAGAACUUGUCGAUUAGCACGAACACAAAUUUGAAAUUACCGGGAGCCGGUUUGAAUGGCCCGAUCAUGUCAAGACCCCAACAGGCAAAUGGCCAAGAUGACGGAAUCGUCUGGAUCUCAUGAGCAGGUACAUGGAUCCGCUUGGCGAAGAACUGACAUCCUUUGCAAUGCCGGACCAGUUUUUGGGCAUCGGCGACUGCGGUUGGCCAGUAAAAGCCUACUCGGAAGGCCUUUCCAACCAGUGUUCUAGAGGCGGCGUGGUUGCCGCAGGAUCCAGCAUGUAUGUCAUCUAGUAACUUGAUGCCAUCAUCUUGGGAUAUGCAUUUCAACAAGAUUUCUCAGUUUGCGUUCUUACGCAUAAGUCUACCAUCGACCAGUAUAUAAUUUUUGGAGCACCGGAUAAGGCACUCAUUCUCCGUUUUGUCUUGAAAUCCGGAACCGUCUGACAGAUACUUGAUGAAAGGGGUGCACCAGUCAUGGCCGCUGGCUGUCGGAGUGGCGUCCCCUACGACUAGUGUCUCAUUGGGUGGCUUGUCGACCAGGUCCGUUCCGACGCUUGGCGUGUGAAUGUCCUGAACAAAAACACCUUGCAGAAUCUGGGCCCGGGAUAAUCCUAUCUUUGACAGCGCAUCUGCUGCUUGAUUCCUGUCCCGGACCACGUGGAUGUACUCUAUGCCAUAAAAAUUUGAUUCCCACCUUCGGAUUUCUUUGCAAUAGAGGUCCAUCUUCUCGUGAGUCAUGUCCCACUCCUUAUUUAGCUGGUUGAUGACCAGGGAAGAGUCGCCGUAGACGUAAAGGCGUUUGACUCCCAGUUCGACAGCCAAUCGGAUGCCGUGCAGGCAUGCUUUGUAUUCGGCGACAUUGUUGGAUGCUGGGAAGAGGAUCCUAAGGACGUAGCGAAGUUUGUCCUUGUUUGGUGAAAUAAAAAGUAUUCCGGCACCGGCUCCAUUGAUGUUUAAGGACCCGUCGAAGAACAUUGACCAGUGAUCGAAGACAUCUAGAGAGGGUGGCGCGUUGAGAUCUGUCCAUUCCGCGAUGAAGUCGACCAGGGCUUGAGACUUGACUGUUGUGUGACUUAGGAAAUCCAAAGAAAAUGGGCAUAAUUCCAUGGCCCACUUUACAAUUCUGUCAUUGGCGUCCUUGUUGCGCAAAAUGUCCCCCAACGGAAAACUGGUAGUAACUAAAACCCGAUGGCCAUCGAAAUAGUGCUUCAGCUUUCUUGAGAUGAUUGAAAUGGCGUAGAUUAGCUUUUGUAUUUGAGAAUACCUGGUCUUGGAUUCCUUUAGGACUUCGCUUAUGAAGUAUAUUGGCCUCUGGACUUUGUAGACGUGGCCUGGUUCGUCCCGCUCGACCACAAGCAACGUGGAAAUGACCUGAUCAGUUGCUGCUAUAUAGAGGAGCAGGUCCUCGUUAGGUUGAGGUGCGGUGAGGACGGGUGGUGAGGUGAGGAAAGUUUUGAGCUGGGUGAACACCGCGUUGGACUGUUAUGUCCAGGAGAAUUUUUCCGAUGCUUUCAGAAGUCUGAAGAAAGGAAGCCCUUUUUCCCCCAGCCUGGAGAUAAACCAGCUGAGAGCGGCCAUGCACCCUGUGAGCUUUUGAACGUCUUUGACGUUCCUGGGUGGUCGCAUAUCGAGCACCGCCUUGACUUUUGAGGGGUUUGGCCGUAUGUCGUCGCGACUGACGACAUAACCGAGUAGUAUACCAGAGGGAACCUCGAAGAUGCAUUUUUUGGGGUUAAGCUUCCACUUGUAUUUAUUCAGUGCUUUAAAAGUGUGGUCUAGGUUGUUGAUCAGGGUGCUUGUGUCCCUGGUUUUGACGACAACGUCCUCGACGUAAGCCUCGACGAGGUCAUCACGUAUCUCGUCGUGGAGGCAUUGCUGAAUAUCGCGUUGAUAAGUGGCUCCAGCGUUUUUGAGUCCGAAGGACAUGGUGCUGUAGCAAUAUGCACCGAAAUGAGUGAUGAAGAAAGUUUUGAUUUGGUCGUCUUCCUUUAGCGAGAUCUGGUGGUAACCAGAGUAACAGUGGAGAAAAGAGAGUAGUUCGCAUCCGGCCAUUGAAUCGACCACCUCGUCGAUACGAGGGAGACCAAAAGGAUCUUUAGGACUGUGUUUAUUGAGAUCAGUGUAAUCAACGCACAUUCUCCAUUCAUUAUUCUUUUUUCUUACAAGGACUGGAUUGGCGAGCCAAUCGGGGUGAUACACUUCUUUAAUAAAUCUGGCUACUAAAAGCCAUGUGAUCUGUCCUAGUAGUCUCCUUUUUGUCAUGAGCGAACCGUCGUAGCUUCUGCAUGAUAGAUCUUGUGGUCUUCGAGACGUUUAAGGAGUGCUCGAUCAGGCUUCGUGGGACGCCAGGCAUGUCUGCGGGUUUCCAUGCGAAAACGCUUACGUUGUCCCUUAGAAGCCUGACGAGCGCGUCUUCCUAUUUAGCUUCCAGGUUGGCCCCGAUGAGAGCCGUCUUCUUUGGGCUGCCGUCGACCAGUUGUACUUCAUUGUGCUCUUUGGACUUCGAGCUUUUUCUUGGAGUCUCCUGCUUGGAUAGUUGGAGCUGGUUGGGUUGAACUUGCAUGGCUUGUGCUACAGUUUCUGCCAUAAGAAUCAAGCGAUCAAUUGCCUCGGUGAUCUUGAAGCUUUCCUCUUCGCAAGUGUACGCGGUGUAGACGUUGCCUCUGACGGUUAAGACACCCUUCUCCGUUGGCAUCUUGAGGACUAGGUAUGAGUAGUGCGGAACUGCCAUGAAUUUUGUAAGCGAAGGAUGGCCUAGAAUUGUGUGGUAAAUCUCGUCGAAGUCAGCGACCACAAAGUUGACGAACUCUGUGCGGAAGUGGUCUGACGUUCCAAAUUGGACGGGCAGCGUUAUCUAGCCAAGGGGUACUGAACUUUGACCUGGUAAGAUGCCCCAGAACUGAGCAUCAUACGGUUUCAGCUGCGCUGGAGUUAGCUUGAGAGCAGGCAAGCUGUUGAGGAAAAGGAUAUCCAUGGAGCUACCCCCAUCAACAAGCACGCGCUCGAAGCUGACGCUAUUGAUGCACGGGUCCAAGAUCAACGGGAAGCGCCCUGGUUCCGGGAUGGCGGCGCAUUGGUCCUGCCUGUUGAAGGAAAUCUCUCGGUGCGAACAGGAAUGAAUUUAGGAUCAGCGAUCAGGCCAUCCGUGUUGUCCACAUUAAGGCAGGCCCUCUUCAAGAGCUUUCUUUCUCAUUUUGAUUCGAUGGAGAAUUUACCUCCAAAGAUGGAGUGUACCACGUCGGUGGGACUGACAUAUUGGUGCCGUGGGUCUCUAUCCUAGUCGUCGUCCUCGUCUGCCUGACCACGUCUGUCCUGUUUCCCAUUUUUCUUGGCGGUAUCCCCCUGAGCGGCUCGCUGUGUGUAGACGCUUUUGAGGACACGACAUUCUUCUAUCGUGUGGUUGGACAUGGGAUGGAGUUGGCAUGGUCCUUUCAGCAUCUUUUUAUAGUCUUCCUGGUAGUCUCGCCGUCCAUUGGGACGCUUGACUGUGUUCACCUCGUGAUCGUUGUCGCGAGGUCCCUUGCCUCUGAAAUCGUCGCGAUUGUCACGACGCCUGUCCCACCCUUCUCGGUGGUCGCGGUUGUCGCCGCGGCGGGGAUUCUGGUUGUCGAAACGCCCGCGGGUGUCGUCUCGUCGGGGAGGCUGCUCGGCUCCCCUUACAUCUUCGUAGAUGAGCUUUUCUACGUCGUCGGCAUCGGCGUAGUUUUGGCCAUGGCGAGGAGCUCAGCGACCGUGGUCGGCCUUGUGCGUAGAAGCUUGCUUCUUAAUGCUUUGUGGAAGUGAAGGCCCUUGAUGAAGGCCGAUAUAGCCUCGACGUGAGAAAUCUUCAGAAUCUUGAGGCGCAUAUCCGAGAAGCGUCGGAUGUAAUCGCGCAAGGGCUCAUUCUUCCUGUCCCUUAUCCUUUCAAGGUCGUAUUUGUUUCCAAGUUGCUCGCAGGUAGCAAUGAAAUUAUCAAUAAACGCCUGGCGCAAUUCUUCCUAAGAAUCGAAAGAGUCCUCGGGUAGACUGAGGAGCCAUUGGUGGCCGGCUUGGUCGAGGACGACUGGGAAGUAGUUUGCCAUGACGUGCUUGUCCCCUGCAGCUAAUCGGACUGCGAUCUCGCAAAGAGUGAUCCAAUUCUCGGUAUUCUCUUUGCCAUCUUACUUUUUAAGCUUCUCAAGCUUGAAGUUGCGAGGCCAUACGACUUAGCGAAGAUGUGAGGAGAACUGUCUUAGGCCGGGGGCCAUGUGCUGCAUCGUACUCGAUGCGUCACACAUUUUCAUGUACUGCUCGUUCCAUAAUGCGCCUAUUGAUGCUUUCGCAGACAUCCUUAGGAGGGAUGUUGUGUCGCAGGUCCCGGUCUUGGUUCACCUCCUGACCACGUCCGGGCCUUUGUUCGUGGUAACUGCUAGCGUCUCGACCACGAUUGUCGCGAUGGGUGUCCCUCCUUCGAUUAUUGAUAGGUGAACGGCUACGAUGGUGCCCACCGGAUCGCGGUGAGGUGCGGCUGUGAUGAGUCUGGUCGGAGGUGACCUUCGUGUAGGAGACGGCUUGGACCCUUUUGAGCAAAGUAGCAGUCUGUCACAUGGCUGCGAACAGAUACGCUCGUAUGUUGGUUCGAACGUCCUGAUAUUUUGGAGUGUCGGGAAGGCUGUCUAAGUUUGCCAUGGCGACAGCCACAUUAGCGCUUGGUGUCUUGUAGACCCGCUGAUUUCCGACCAUGUCGAAAGCAUUGCCAAGGUUGUUUGGGGCGAGUUGUUGCUCCUCGUCUGCUCGUCCUUGGGCUCGGUCGGCGUUGCGCUGCUCUCGCUGCUGUCUUUGCUCGUCGGUUUCGCCUUCGACAACUGGUUCAUCAUUGGUGACUUUGAGAACCAGGUCACCUAGUUGGGGUGGAUAGACUGGGAAGCAGGAAAACCCCGGGUGGUGUGGCGGCAGAUCUAAGUCAUUGUGGGGGUAUAAACCCCUAUACCCUUACGGCUAGACUUCGGCCAGGAGGCUUGGCCCAUUACGAGACGAGUCCAAGGCUUGAUCCGACAACCUGGAGUUUUGUGCAAGGAAACAAGAUGUGGAGAUCAAGCAGGAUUCUAGUCGGUUAGAAUAGGAAUUGAUAUCGGAUUAUCCAUGGCAAUUGUAACCGACUAGGAUUAGUUUCCAGAUCUGUAACCCUGCCCUCCAGACUAUAUAAGGAGGGGCAAGGGACCCCCUAGGACAGAUCAUAUUCUCUCAACACAAAUCAAUACAACCAGACGCAGGACAUAGGUAUUACGCUAACUCGGCGGCCGAACCUGGAUAAAAAGCUUGUCCGUGUCUUGCGUCACCAUCGAGUUCGUAGUUUGCGCACCGUCUACCGAUAAACUACUACCGUGGGUAUACCCCAAGGUAGACUGCCGACUAGCUUUCGUCGACAGUGGCGCGCCAGGUAGGGGGUGUGCGUGCAACUUUUCCGGCGAACAAGAUGGUCACGAUCCCAGCUUCCGCGACCGUGCCCGAAGGCCUCACGUUCACCGUCGGCCAGAUCACGUGGACGGUGUGCAGCGGCGGCUUCACGACCACGGUUUCGGAAGAGAUCCAGAUCCAAUCUGAGAUCACGCCGUCUCCGACCACACGCAUGACGGCACCAAGCGCCCGACCACCGUUCCCACUCUACAAGGGAAAGGAGAUCGACUGCUCGGACCUUCUCCAAGCGCUUGAUCGCGCUGACUCCAAGCUACUCGAAGUUUCCCAACUAAUAGAUGGAGUUCUGCGUCGACCCGACCAAGCUGCUCCAGCGGAUUUUUUCAAAUCCCGCCGGCCAACUCGUGUCGCCACACACGAACGGCUGGGAACGUCUCUGACGAUAACCUCAACCCCCUCAGGACGAUCCGUCCAGCUCAAGAAGGAAGACUAUCCUUGCGGCCUGAACAACUCGGCCUCUGUUUACUCACGGCACACCCAAUCCGUUUUCAGCAAGGCGGGUUGGUCGCCGACAACGAACAAUCGUCACCACGUCAACAUGGUGACAAUCCGAGAACUACGGGACGGCCAGGCUUCCAGCACCAACUCAAGCACCGGCUCCGUCCCCACCGAGGUUAUAAACACCGAAGACGAGGACUAUGACCUGGAUUUCCCUUCACACCCUCCGGGUUUCGACCGAUUCCCGAUAUUCCCCCCCCCGGCGAGGGGAUAUUGUGUUCAAUGUCAGUGCCGACGAACCGGUCGUUGAUGGAGAAACAGAUGACCAGAGGCAACUCCGCGAACGGCGUAACGCCGAUCGCGCCCGACGACGUGCGGACGAGCAACAACAAAUGCCACCAAAUAAUCUCAACGAUGCCUUUGACAUGGUCGGGGACCAGCCAGUCUACAAAACGCCAAGCGCCAACGUGGCUGUCGCCAUGGCUAACCUGGAUCGGCUUCCCGACACCCCCGAAUGCCAGGGAGUCCGGACCAGCAUCCGAGCACACCUGAUCGCCGCAAUGGGACAGACAGCCACUCUGCUCAAGAGAGUCCAGGACGUCUCUUAUACGGAAGCCGUCUCCGACCAGACUAAUCAUAGCCGGGCCUCACCCAGCAGGCGUCACCGCAGCCGCUCCCCCGACAACCGUCGAGGGGACUCACGGCGCGACGAUGGCGGUCGGGACGCCGAUGGCCGUCGCAAGCAGAACCGCGUACGCGGCCAAGAGGAAGAUCAACACAGGGAUCUCCACCACAACAUCCCUUCCAAAGAUGCCCGGGACCACAUCAACAGGCGCGCCGCAGAGAGAGCAGCCCACGAAAACCUGCGCCGCAUCGAGUACGAUGCAACACACGGUCCCCCGGGCCUAAGACAGUUCUCCUCGCACCUCCGCCAGGUCGUGUGGCCCCGCAAUUUCAAGCUCGAAAAACUUAAAAAGUACGACGGCAAGGAAAAUCCAGAGAACUGGAUCACCCUCUAUGAGAUCGCCGUCCGAUCAGCGGCAGGGGACGAGCACGUCAUGGCUAACUACUUCCCCGUAGUCCUCGACCAGGCUGGUCAUCAGUGGCUUCUCGGCUUGCCCGAGGACUCCUUCGACUCUUGGGAAGAGCUACGCCAGGCUUUCAUCGACAACUUCAUCGCCACAUGCGAGCAGCCUGGAAACAAGUAUGACCUUGAAAGGAUAAGGGACAGGAAGAACGAACCUCUGCGCGAUUACAUCCGACGAUUCUCGGAUAUGCGCCUCAAAAUCCCGAAGAUUUCUCAUGAUGAGGCCAUCUCAGCCUUCAUCAAGGGCCUGCGUUUCCACGAAGCGCUAAGGAACAAGCUGUUGCGUAAGCGCCCAACAACGGUAGCAGAGCUCCUCGCCACGGCCAAAAAUUACGCCGAUGCCGAUGACGCAGAAAAACUAAUCCGAGACGAUGCGAGAGGUCCCGACCAGCCUCCCCGGCGAGAUGACGGUCGUGGUCGCUACGACAGCAGAAAUCACCGCCGCUCCGACAACCGCGAUCACCGAGAGGGUCGGGAUCGGCGGCGCGACAGCCGCGACGACUUCAGAGCAAAGCGCCCUCGCGACUACGACCACGAAGUAAAUACGGUCAAACGUCCCAAUGGACGACGGGACUACCAAGAAGACUACAACAAAACGUUGAGGGGACCAUGCCAACUGCACCCAAAGUCCAAUCAUACCAUGGAAGAGUGCCGCGUCCUCAAAAGUAUCUAUACACGGCGGGCCGCCCAAGACGACUCCGCCAAGAAAAAUAACAAGCGCGACGGGCACGACCACGAAGAUGAGGAUGAGGACCAGGAUAGGGACCCCCGACACCAAUACGUUAGCCCCACUGACGUGGUUCACUCCAUUUUCGGGGGCAAGGUCUCCACUGAGUCCAAGUGAGAAAGAAAGCUGUUAAAGAGAGCCUGCCUCAACAUAGACAGCACGGACGGGCUGACCGCAGACCCGAAAUUUCCCACGUGGUCCCACAGGGAGAUCUCGUUCAGCAGGAAGGACCAGUGGGCCGCUAUCCCAGAACCGGGUCGUUUCCCCCUGAUUCUUGACCCCUGCAUCAACAGCAUCAGAUUCGAGCGCGUGCUCGUGGACGGGGGAAGCUCCAUCGACAUCCUCUUCCGCAACAGCCUGCCCGCCCUCAAGAUAUCCCUGGCACAACUAAAACCUUACGACGCCCAAUUCUGGGGGGUUUUGCCAGGUCAAAGUUCCGUGCCUCUCGGACAGAUAACAUUGCCUGUCCAAUUCGGCACACCCGACCACUUCCGGAUGGAGUUCAUCAACUUCGUAGUCGCGGAUUUCGACGGGACCUAUCAUGCCAUACUGGGCCGCCCAUCGCUGACAAAGUUCAUGGCAGUCCCGCACUACUCAUACCUAGUCCUUAAGAUGCCCACGGAGAAGGGUGUCCUAACCGUCAGAGGCAACGUCUACACUGCGUACACCUGCGAAGAAGAAAGCUUCAAGAUCACCGAGGCAAUUGACCUCUCAAUCCGCAUGGCGGAAACAGCAAACCAAGCCGCACAGCUGCCUCCCGACGAGCUCCGAUUACCCGAACAGGCGACAGCCAGGAAGAACUCAAAAUCCAAGGAGUACAAAGAAGUGCAGCUAGUCGAAGGCAACCCCGAGAAGACAGCCCUCAUCGGGGCCAACCUGGAUUCAAAAUAGGAAGACGCGCUCGUCAGGUUUCUAAGGGACAACGUGAGCGUUUUCGCAUGGAAACCCGCAGACAUGCCCGGUGUCCCACGAAACCUGAUCGAGCACUCCUUAAACGUCUCGAAGACCGCAAGACCAAUCAAGCAAAAACUGCGACGGUUCGCUCGUGACAAAAAGGAGGCUAUCAGGACAGAAAUAACAUGGCUUCUAGCAGCCGGAUUCAUAAAAGAAGUGUAUCACCCCGAUUGCCUCGCCAAUCCGGUUCUUGUACGCAAAAAGAAUAAUGAAUGGAGAAUGUGCGUUGAUUACACUGAUCUCAACAAACACUGUCCUAAAGAUCCUUUUGGUCUCCCUCGCAUCGACGAGGUGGUCGACUCAACGGCCGGAUGCGAACUCCUCUCCUUUCUAGACUGCUACUCUGGUUAUCACCAGAUCUCGCUAAAGGAAGAAGAUCAGAUCAAAACAUCCUUUAUCACGCCCUUCGGCGCAUACUGCUACACGACCAUGUCUUUCGGACUCAAAAACGCCGGAGCCACCUAUCAAAGGGCCAUCCAGCAAUGCCUCCACGACGAGAUUCGUGAUGACCUCGUCGAGGCCUAUGUGGACGACGUGGUCGUAAAAACAAGGGACGCGAGCACCCUAAUCGACAACUUAGACCGAACUUUUAAAGCGCUCAAUAGGUACAAGUGGAAGCUCAACCCCAAGAAGUGCAUUUUCGGCGUUCCUUCCGGUCUCCUGCUCGGCAACGUCGUCAGUCGCGACGGCAUACGACCAAACCCUUCAAAAGUCAAAGCCGUACUCGACAUGCGACCACCGAAGAACGUAAAGGAUAUCCAAAAGCUAACCGGAUGUAUGGCCGCCCUCAGUCGCUUCAUCUCAAGGCUAGGAGAAAAAGGCCUCCCUUUCUUCAAACUAUUAAAAGCGUCGGAAAAAUUUUCUUGGACAGAAGAAGCCGACACCGCAUUCAACCAGCUUAAGACCUUCCUCACUUCACCACCUGUCCUCACAGCGCCUCAGCCCAAUGAAGACCUACUCCUUUACAUUGCUGCAACCGACAGGGUUGUUUCCACGGCAAUAGUGGUCGAGCGAGGUGAACCAGGUCACGCCUACAAGGUCCAGAGGCCAGUUUACUUCACAAGUGAAGUCUUAAACGAGUCCAAGGCCAGGUAUCCACAAAUACAGAAGCUCAUAUACGCCAUUCUAAUAACGUCAAGAAAGCUGAAGCACUACUUCGACGGCCAUCGAGUCCUGGUGACAACCAGUUUCCCUCUCGGGGACAUCCUGCGCAAUAAAGACGCCAACGGCAGAAUCGUGAAAUGGGCAAUGGAAUUAUGUCCAUUUUCCCUGGAGUUCCAGAGUCGCACCACUGUCAAGUCUCAGGCCCUGGUCGAUUUCAUUGCUGAAUGGACGGAUCUCAACGAGCCUUCCGUUCCCGAUGUCUCAGACCACUGGUCAAUGUUCUUUGAUGGAUCCUUGAAUAUCAACGGUGCCGGCGCUGGGAUACUAUUCGUAUCACCCAACAAGGACAAACUGCGUUACGUCCUUCGGAUCCUUUUUCCGGCGUCAAACAACGUCGCCGAAUACGAAGCAUGCUUGCAUGGCAUAAGACUAGCCGUUGAGCUGGGAGUCAAGCGCCUCUAUGUUUAUGGCGACUCCGCUUUGGUCAUCAACCAGCUCAACAAGGAGUGGGACGCAACCCACGAAAAGAUGGAUCUCUACUGCAAAGAAAUUCGCAAAUGGGAAACCAACUUCUACGGCAUAGAGUACAUCCACGUGGUCCGGGAUAAGAACCAAGCAGCAGACGCGUUGUCGAAGUUAGGCUCAUCUCGGGCCCAGAUCCCGCGGGGUAUUUUCGUCCAGGACAUCCACGAGCCGAGCGUAGGCUCCUCCCUGGUCGACAAGCAACCCACCGAGGCAAUGCUCAUAGACGACGCCACUCCGACAACCGGUGGGCGUGACUGGCGUACCCCGUUCAUCAAAUACAUAUCGGACGGGACAGGCCUUCAGGACAAAACGGAGAACGAGCGCCUCAUUCGACGAUCAAAGAACUACAUCCUGGUCGACGGCAAACUCAUGCGGAAAAACGCAAGCUCUGAAGUAUUGCUCAAGUGCAUACCCCAAGAUGACGGUAUCAAGCUCUUAGAGGACAUACAUGCUGGAUCCUGCGGCAAUCACGCCGCAUCCAGAACACUGGUCGGAAAGGCUUUCCGAGCAGGUUUUUAUUGGCCAACCGCGGUCGGCGACGCAGAAAAACUGGUUCGACAUUGCGAAGGAUGCCAGUUUUUCGCUAAGAGGACCCACGUACCUGCCCACGAAAUUCAAACCAUCCCGUCGUCUUGGCCCUUUGCUUGCUGGGGGCUUGACAUGAUCGGGCCAUUUAAACCAGCCCCGGGCAAUUUCAAGUUCGUUUUCGUGUUAAUCGACAAGUUCUCCAAGUGGAUUGAGUACAUGCCUCUGGUCAAGGCAACCUCUGAGAAGGCUGUGGAGUUCCUCAAUCAAAUCAUAUACAGAUUCGGCAUCCCGAACAGCAUAAUCACCGACCUGGGCACUCAGUUUACUGGCACCGCUUUUUGGGACUUCUGCGAUGACAGAGGCAUAGUCAUAAAAUACGUGUCAGUGGCACAUCCACGUGCCAACGGUCAAGUUGAACGUGCUAACGGAAUGAUCGUCGAUGCCCUAAAGAAAAGGUUGUACACCGAAAACGACAGAGCACCCGGUCGAUGGAUGAAAGAAUUGCCGGCAGUGGUCUGGGGCCUCCGAACUCAAACCAGUCGAAACACAGGGGUGUCUCCCUACUUCAUGGUGUACGGCGCAGAGGCGGUCCUGCCGUCUGACAUACACUUCGGAUCUCCCAGAAUCGAACACUUCGACCAGGCGACCGCUGACAACGCCAGAGAACUCGAAAUCAACUGCAUGGAGGAAAAGCGUUUGGAUUCGUGUCUCCGAACAGCAAAAUAUCUCGCGGCACUCAGGCGAUACUACAACAGGAACGUCAAGGACCGUUCCUUUGUGGCCGGCGAUCUGGUACUUCGAUGGAAAACAAGCCAGGAGGGAAUGCACAAGCUAUCCACUCCCUGGGAAGGACCCUUCGUGGUGACCGAGGUCACACGACCUACGUCCUACAGAUUGGCAUACCCAGACGGAACACGAGUGCCUAACUCUUGGCACAUAGACAAACUGCGACGUUUCUAUCCAUAAAGUUUUAAUAACUUUCCUUUGUAAGUAUCUCAUAAUCGUUGGUAAUGAAAUUCUCUAUUCUUUGCAUAUACCUUGUCAACAGCACUCGGCGACACUCCUGCAAUGGAUGCUCUUAAAGACUACCAAGAUGAAUACGGUGACACGUCACUCAGAUAAUCCUACAGCGCUUAAAACAACAGUCAUGACAAAAAGCAAACUUUAUUACAAACUUUACAUACAAAGUUUACAAUAAAUCCCCUGACGGGCAGACACUAGUCUAUUCCUACAGACUACUCUAUUGGCCUAGCUGUUCGGGCUGAUCACCCGCCUGGCCCUGCUGCCCGGACGAAGGUGUCGGGGCCACCGGUGCCUGGCUGGUCGAGACCGCAGGCGUCGACCGCCCAUCUCCCGCAACGGACGCGCCCAACAACUCCCUGGCCGACCUAUCCGAACUCGGCUGGUCGGGGGGAGUGGCCGUUCCGCACAGAUUGAUGUCGCCGAUCACUGUCGACGACAAGUCCAGCAGACUACCCCGAAGCUCGUCCGCUUCCUGUGGGCCGACCUCCUUCGGGUACCCCUUCUCCAUCCUGCUCAAGUCGAUCAGGGGGUAGUGGGCGCGCACCAUGCUGAGGACGUGCGCGCCGGCAAACUCCCCGGCAUCCUUCACGAACUGCUGGAGCCAGUCCCACGCCCGUUGCGCCUUCUCGACCGGGGUCAACUGUGGCGCGCGGGGCUGGCUCUCCGGGAGCUCGGGACUGAUCAGGUCUAGGACCGGGGACACUCCUUUCCAGAUCCUGCAACAGUUGACGUUCCAGGAGUCCCGGUCCUUGAUCAGAUCAUCCAGGUGCUUCUUGGCGUUCACCUUGAGCACUGCAAACGAAACAAAGUGUUAUCUUCGGCAUACCAAACAAACAAAGGGGCGACAAGCAGCAGCUAGCAAGGCGGCACCCAUUACCACAUAAUUCCCGGUCUUUCCGACCCAAUUCCUCUCCUGCUCGCCGCCCGGACUCCAGCGCACCGGCGAGCUGCUGGCUGAGCUGCUCCUUCUCUUGUCGGAGGCGCGCCACCUCCUCCUCCAAGUCUGCGUGAAUCAUAAACUGGUCGGUACAGCAAACUACACAAGUACGCAAAGCUGCUCCGAGCGUGUGACUAACCUUCUCGCUGCCGGUACUGGUCGGCCAAGCGACGAGUGAGGUCGAGACGACGCUCCUCUUGGGCGCUCAUCUCGGCCACCUUCUCCCCGACUUCCGAUCGCAGCCGGUCUACCUCCGCGGCCAGGGCCUUGUUCUCGGCCACGACGCCUUCUAUCUGGUCAAAGCACCGUUUCCGGUACUUUGCCGUUUUCAUUACGCCCUACAAAGCGAACAUAUAACGACCAUGCAAGAAAGGGCAUAGAGUGUACAGCAGUACGAAAAGUCGCUUACCUUGACUUCGUCGACGAGGCGCUUGGCCGCGCGCUCCACCCUGGCGGCCUCCUCGGUCUCGGCGAGCUCCUCAUGCCCGAUAAAGUGAUCCCCGCGUUGGCGCCACACAUAUACGUGUUGGCGGCCAUCACGGGGAUGACCCUCAAUCUCUUCCACCUCGUCAUCGGAGGCCGCCCGGGUUUUCUCCUCCUGCGCUGCGUCACCCCCGGUGGUGGUCCCGGGCAUUACUGGCCCCCGGACCAGACCCGGGGAGCCUGCAGCCGAAGAGGUUCCUGCUCGGGGCGGCGUGGGGACUCCACUCCCCCCGACAGGAGGAGGGGUCGGGGCUCUUCCCUCCUCCUCUGUGGAGCCAGCUGGGGGAGCCUCUUCAGCCCUGGUCGGGCUGGCUGCAGCUGUAGGCUGCUCUGUGGUCCGGGGGGCCGUAUCUUCAGCAGCACGGACAGGCUCGCCCGUCCCCUGGCUGGCAGCCUGGCCGGGGUCGACAUCCGACGCCGCACUACAGGAACAAAAGUAUAAUAAUAAAAAAAAAAGCAAAGAGGAGUCCAAAAUACGUAAGUUGAACACUUACAGGUCCGAUCGACGGUGCGUCGUGGUGAACCUCCUCCUCGCCCGGCCGGUCGGCACCUGCCCCCCCAUCUCGACAACUUGCGGUGCAGGGGGGUCGCCGGCCACUCGAUCAGUAGCGGUCGGCGCAUUAUCCGGGCGGCUCCGAGGCCGUCGGACUAACGAUGGUGCAGCCUCCUCGUCGUCGUCAUCGUCGUCAACGAUCCGCACGAGCCGACGACGCUUCGGCGCUUGGCUACUCUCCGCCGGUAGAUCUGCCGGCAACCCCGGUGUCGGCAAGGAAUCUGCCGGCAAUGGCCUUUUCACCGCUACCCUCUCUUCGGUGGUCGGGACGGGGCGGGCUUGGUCCUCCUCACUCCUCGUGUAAUGAGUACACCGAGCAGCGUCCUCCUCUGGCGGGUCUUCUCCCGCAGGAUUUUCCAUCCCCGGUGCCAGUGAUACAUACACUGUGCACCGGUCGACAUCGCCGAUCUGCAAAAGCAACAGAGAUGCGUCAGCUGCAGACGAUAUACGAAUGCUAAAACAAAAUAAUCUGCUACAUACCUUUGGUGCUGGUCGUCCUAACUUGAAGGCUUGCACCCGAUCACUGCCACGGAUGAAGCCUCCAUCCGCGAAGUUAAACAGCUCGUUCAACAGCUGUUGUACCUCCGCUUUCUCCAAGAUCUCCGGCCGCAUCCUGGUCGGGUCCACGCUUCCGGCGUACUCGUACGCCGAGUGCACCCUCUUCUGGCAGGGCAUCACCCGACGACAAAUGAAGUUGCCGACCACGCCAAGCCCGUCCAGGCGCGACCAGUCGAUCAGCUUCAUGAGAUCCGCCACUGGACCGUCGAACUCCGGGCGGUCGGUCCAGCUCAUCCUCUUCUCAGGAAUGUAUCCCACAUCGCAGAACGUGGAGCUGCCCGGUUCCUCCCUGAUGUAGAACCACUUCCUGUACCAUUCGGUCAAGGAAGUGUUCCAUGGACAGUGCAGGUAGCGAUUCUUCAUUCCAUCACGAAGGUUGAGGUAUACUCCACCUGCAACCUUGGAGCCUCCAACUGCUCCCUUCUUCCUCAAGCAGAAAAGAUACCGAAAAAGAUCGAAGUGCGGCUCUAUGCCAACAUAGGCCUCGCACAGGUGGAUAAAAGUGGAAAUGAGGAGAAUUGAGUUCGGGUGCAGAUUGCAAAUCCCGAUCUCAUAAUACAAAAGAAGACCUUGAAGAAAAGGAUGAACAGGAACACCAAAGCCCCUCUUAAUGAAAUCUUCAAAUACGACGAUCUCACCGGCGCGGGGGUCGGGGUAGCUCUCCCCCUCCGGUGCCCUCCAGCCGCCGAGCUCCGGGCUGUGCAGAAGCCCCAUAUCGACGAGGUCACCAAGAGAUUUCGUGGUGCUGCGGGAUUUUUUCCACUCCUUGGCCAUCAGUUCAGCUCUCUUCUUGGAGUCGCUCUUCGCCAUUGGAGGUGCGAAAGUGGGCUUGAGUUAGGAAGAUGCAGGUGGUUGAAGGAGGCGAGAGCGGAAGGCUUGAAGGCAAUGGCAGGGUAAGCAGUACAGGCGGAACGGUCAGGCUCUUAUAACCCGCAACUCCACCUCUCCCACUUCCCGUAUUCUCGGGAAGUGGGCAGGCCAUGCGGCGGAUGCGGCGUUUCGGUUUACAAUGAUUACAGACAAUUAAUGCGGCGGAGUUUUCGUACCAAUUGAUGGUUUCCUUUUCUCAAACCAUGCAAAGGGCGGCUGUACAGUUGCCAGGCGCAACUUUUCAUGCGUCCAUCUGACAACCCAUCAGGAGGUCUCGUCAUGUCAACUUUAACUGAAAUGAUCGUUUCAAUAAAAAGAAGACAAAUAUGCCACAGAGUCAACAAUCCGGGGACUGCACCGACCGCCGAGCACUUGACGCUCGGGGACUGGUCGCCCAGUCUAUCAGCUCGGAACUUCAAGGACUGCACCGACCGCCGAGCACUUGACGCUCGGGGACUGGUCGCCCAGUCUAUCAGCUCGGAACUUCAAGGACUGCACCGACCACCGAGCACUCGACGCUCGGGGACUGGUCGCCCAGUCUAUCAGCUCGGAACUUUAAAGGCUGCACCGACCUCCGAGCACCCGAUGCUCGGGGACUGGUCGUACAUUAUCGCAGCGCAGAAUUCUAAGGAGCGCACUUGGUGCUUGGGGACUGGUCGUCAUACUAUUAUACACCCGGGGACUGGUCGAUUAGUCUAUUCAAUUGCAGACGGACUGGUAAAUUCAAUUUUUUAGACCUUGCUACAAGGCUCAUACUUCGCCUUCCAGCAAGCUCGGGGACUACAUCGGUACGAUGCAUCUGGCGAUGCAUCUCAGUUACAGAAUUUCUUCGAGGACUUUUAUUUUGACCCUGGCACCACGUGCCUACGUCACCUGCUACCAGGCUCGGUUUCAAAAAAGUAAAGUGGGCACACUUCACCAGGAAAGAAAUCUUUUUUAAUUUAGAGCACCACGCAUUCUUCGAACAUCUCGCUUCUUCGAUGUCGAUGUUGAUCAACUGUCUUUCGAGUUGGUCAAAGAACCGUUGCAACUGUUUGGGCGGCUUUCCCACUUAUUGAAGACGUCAAGUCUCACUGAUCGAAGAAGCUCAAGACGGCGUGUUACAUCACAAUACAUGGUGCUCGGGGACUAGCUGUGGGGGUAUAAACCCCUAUACCCUUACGGCUAGACUUCGGCCAGGAGGCUUGGCCCAUUACGAGACGAGUCCAAGGCUUGAUCCGACAACCUGGAGUUUUGUGCAAGGAAACAAGAUGUGGAGAUCAAGCAGGAUUCUAGUCGGUUAGAAUAGGAAUUGAUAUCGGAUUAUCCAUGGCAAUUGUAACCGAUUAGGAUUAGUUUCCAGAUCUGUAACCCUGCCCUCCAGACUAUAUAAGGAGGGGCAAGGGACCCCCUAGGACAGAUCAUAUUCUCUCAACACAAAUCAAUACAACCAGACGCAGGACGUAGGUAUUACGCCAACUCGGCGGCCGAACUUGGAUAAAAAGCUUGUCCGUGUCUUGCGUCACCAUCGAGUUCGUAGUUUGCGCACCGUCUACCGAUAAACUACUACCGUGGGUAUACCCCAAGGUAGACUGCCGACUAGCUUUCGUCGACAGUCGUAGUCUUCGUCCUCGAGGUGUAAAACUUCUGUAGGGAUAGACCUUGUGCUGGAGUUUGUGCCGCUGGACUUGUGUUCUGGAAAAGUGCGGAUGGAGACCAUAUUGACGAAGUGACGGGCUGCUUGCCUGUUGUGGCUCAGUGACGAGCCCAUGUUCCCGAAUAGGGAUUGGUGUGCCGCGAAAAUUGAUCGGCCGCGUUGCUCAGACCAUGAAGGAAGUUCGGGUCUGGGGAGGCUGUCUUGAGCUUGACAGUCCGUCCCGCGGUGGUCGAUGUUAUCGUCAGGGAUGUCUCCAGUCGUUCGUGCGUGGCGACACGAGUUGGUCGAUGGGACUCGAAAAAAUUUGAUGUUGCCGCCUGAUCGGGCUUGCGUGAAAUCGAAUCCACUAGGUUGGAGGCUUCGAGAAGUUUAUGGUCGGCGCGAUCGAGGGCUUGAAGAAUAUCCGAGUUGUCGACUCGCUUUGCUCUGUAGCGAGGGAGCGGAGGUCGAGUCCUCGGAGUUGGUGUGAUCGGAGUCGACGCUUCUGCUGCCCCAGAUUGGAUCUGGGUUUCUUCUAGAGUCGUGGUCGUAAGGCGGUCGCCGCGGGUUGUCCAAGUGAUCUGCCCGACGGUGAACGUGAAUCCCUCAACCACGGCCGCGGAAGCUGGGACCAUGACCAUUUUGUUCGUCUGGGAAUUUGUACGCACACCCCCUACCUGGCGCGCCACUUCGUCAAUAUGGACUACGACUUGGGGGAAGGAUUGCUAUGUUCUUGAAUUUUCUGAAGUAAUAUUCCUUAUAUUGAGAAAGAUUGAUUUUUGUUAUAAAUGAUAAAGAUUAACAUAGAAGACCUGAGACUUAGUAGAUAGGAUAAUCUUUAAUUGUGUCACUUUAUUCUAACCUACUUGAUCCUAUGAGUCAUCUCUAAUUAUGGAAACCCUAUCAUUUUCUCAUUAUUAUUAUUAUUAUUAUUAUUAUUAUUAUUAUUAUUAUUAUUAUUAUUAUUAUUAUUAUUAUUAUUAUUAUUAUUAUUAUUAUUAUUAUUAUUAUUAUUAUUAUUAUUAUUAUUAUUAUUAUUAUUAUUAUUAUUAUUAUUAUUAUCACCAUUACCUGCCUUACCCUUGUUUAGAUAGAAGUUGUUAAUUGAUUUGUAUUUAGAGUAUAUAUUUAUAAUUCUUGUAGCCAUAUCUAUUUUCUCUUCUAGAUCCCUUCUUGAAGCUUCUAGUGGUAAAAUUAUAAAUAACGAUACCUAGAACUUUCCUGGGUGUAAUGGUACAACAGGAAUAUUUUAUUUGAGCGCUUGUGGAUAACUUUUGUUUCAUAUUUUAUAAGUGUUAUGGAUAUAAGUAUGACCAUAUUUCUUACGUCGUGUUAGGGAUGACAACCAAGCGAAUGCGGCGUAAGAGAUGCCAACAAUAGACCUAGACGGGCCAACGACUGAGGAAUUCAACCCCGACUACACUGAGGAGCUCGAGGAAGACUUGUCAGGUGCCACGUCCCUACCAACCUCAUAGAAUCCUAUUAGUCAUGCCAUGAAUCAAGAAGCUAGCGCUUUACUUUUAUGUAAUGAAACUGUGAUAGGUUGCAUGGUAGAAAUGCUUGUGAGCCAUUACUCUAUCGCAACCUAUUCCCCUGGUUACCCGCUGCUAGGAUAGUUGCUCGCAUCUUACUACUGUUACUCUACUUUGCAUUAUAUCUAUGACGUUAUGCUUGGUGGAUGGUUGUUGGAACCGGAUAAGGCACGUGGUGCCAUUAAUCCUGAUAACGGACAUGGAGAGAUCUUGGCGUGUGUUUUGGGUGCAUGGUGAGGGUUGAGUCGAUCAAGUAGGAAUAAACGACGAGUCUUGGGACAAGUCUUGUCAAGGAAUGCUGCCUCGGCAUUUCUCACGAUAGGUACCUGUGGUUGGUACAAGUAUCAGGGAGAGAUCCCAGGGUUUCGUGUCUUUGUGGGAUGAAGCCCCAGGAUGGAGAUGUUGUUUAGCACAUGGCACUGGAUGUUCUAUCGAGUGGAGCAUCGGCUAGCCCCAUGAGAAGAUGUGUCAUUUGGUCCCCCUAAGGACUCAUGUGUUCUAGGAACCGGUUCAUAGGAAUCCUUGCACCCUCACUCUCUUUCAUGGGAGGGGGACAGAUGUACGACAGCUAGGGCUGUGCCACUGCUAGUAGGUUGUUAGCGGAUAGUGUAGGGAGGUACGGGCAUGGGUCCCAUACCCUCCUAAGACAGCAUAGUGACACUAGGGGCCUGGUACUAUGUCUCACAAUCUCAUCAUGUUAGUGGUACUCUGGCAUGGCCCUAGUUUUGAGUGGUAGGGUGACAUCGUGUUUAGUUGGAAGGCAGCCUGGUAUCAGCCUAGACGAGGUGCAAUAUCAAUGAUUGUGAUCUUGUGAGUGGUGUAAACCUCUACAAAGUUUCUGGUCGAUUGAUUGAUACAUAUGCCGUUCUUCGGCUAUGGACCUUUCCUAUGUUUCCGCUUCACUUGACUAAAGAGAGGAGUCUUUUCUACAUUUCCCUGGGUUUGUGUUAGAUUUGAAGUUGGGCACUAAGGCCAGGAAUGAGCGGGAGUCGUCCUUGCUGCGUAGAGAGCGAGAGUGUGGUGAGAUGUAUGCUAGGAUGGGAGAAUGUUUGGAGGAGUUGGAUUAAAACUUGAUGAAAUAUUAAAAUUGUGACUUACUCGCAUAGGAAGCUACACCCAUAAAUUAGUCCCCUUUCGCUAAAUAUCUUUGCAUCCUACCUACACAAAGCUUCACAAAAGCAUAGGGUGGGAGCCAGUGGCCAGUACAAAUCAUACUGAUACAUUGGAAACAGGUUCUGAUCUCGAGUACGACUACAUGGGCGACGACUAGGAAGAGUAGCCGUCUUGUCCAAUGCUCAAGUUUGGAGGAUCCGGAGUUCGCGCUGUCGCUGCCUAUGUAGAUGCUGUUCCAGAUGUUGUGUGUGUGAGUCUGAUUCCGCUAAGUGGCAUUGUAAUAAUCAGUAAACCUCACUUGUACUCUCUUUUGUGCGUGUAUGACUCAUAUAAUAGCUGAAAUCUGGGUAUUUCGAUUGAACACUUUCGCGUGUCAAUCGUUUUACAUCUUGAAUCUGUGGAUUUUCCUUCGUAGAAAUCUAGAUCGUUUCGGUCGUCCUCGUCGGUGCCCCCACCGAAUACUACUACUGCUGGUCACUAGAUCCGUGGAUGCUUCCUGAUAUUUUGCUUCUAUGAAAGUCUAGCUUGUCUGGAAUUCAGCUUGAAAUUUAUGUGUGAGGAAACUAUGUUGUUAGAAACAAGGCUUUAGUUCCACCUUACUGAUAGAAGUAAGAGCAACUCCAAAAGACUCUCUAUAUCAUUUUCUAAAUGCUAGAGGAAUAUAAAUUUUGGUGCAAAACUACCCUCCAAUAACUUGUCUAAAUGGUUAUCUAAAUAUAGCCAUCUAUUAUUCCGAAUAUUUCAUUAGGCAAAAAUAGAAGAUGAGGAUAACUCUCUAUAGUGCACGAGAGAAUAGAAAACUAUUGGCGAGCAAGAAGAUAUAGAAAAUAAUUUUUAUGCAAAUGAGUCUUUAAUGAUGAUUUAAAGAAAGAAAUUUAGAAUGUCUCUUAGAGAUGGAGCCUUUCUAAAAGAGAGUCAUUCUUGUCUUCUAUAUUUGGCUAGCGAAAAAUCGGGAUUAGAAGAUGACCAUAUUUGGAUAAGCUAUUGGAGGGUAGUUUUUCAUCAAAAUCUAUGUACCUAGCAUUUAGAAAGAAUAUAGAUAGUGUCUUGGAGAUGAAAAAUGUUGACUAACUUAAAUAUAGAAGACUCAUCCUCCAAUCCUCCGUUCUGUUAGGAGCGUACACUCUACCAAGAAUCGAGUUUUGUUUUCACAAGCGGGGUCGAGGAGAACUGGUUUGCUCACACCAGAAAAUGAAUUGUGUGCUCCAUUGACGAUCAGGAGGUUUCUCCUUUGUUUAUGACCCAAGCUAUUGGCCUUUGCCAGCUACGCGAUGUUCGCGUUAUUCACCAUAAGCUGAGCAGGUCUCUGGAAUGUACCUCGCAUCCUUGCGAUUCUACGAUCGGAACAGGGAGAAAAGGUUUUCUUAAUGCACUUCACGGCUGCUUGUGUUAUUUAUCAUAAGCUGUCUUCCAUCCAAGUCACAAGGUGCUACAUAUAUACCAUCGUUUUAUAGAGUAAUUUAAAAAUUAUUAUUAUCUCUUUUUCUUUUUGUUAUCCACCAAUAUUUCUAUGGCCUCCCUUAACCAUCACUUUUCAAUCAUUUUCUCAUGCAUACUUGCGAGCCCCAUCUUUCACAUAUAUAUUAGGAGAGAUAUAUUAAAAUAUCGUUAUAGCAACUCUCCUAAUAUCUAACAAAUAAUAUUCUAUUACCCUGAUAUCUUACAUAUUAAAGAAUAGUUUAUUGUGAGAUUGGUCCAGAUGCUUGGGUGGAUUUUGAGAGAAUUAUCUAUUUGACACUAAAACAAAUCGGUCUUUCUCAUUUAGCACUAAAAAAUUGAACCUUUGUUAUUUCGCAACAAAUUAAAAUUUCCUUCCUAGAUGCACUACCACACACAUUUUAUCUAUUCAUAUGUUAGUUGACUGUUUUGACCAUCUAUGUUUUUUCCAGUAUGACCAAAAUACCCCUCGAGUACUCGCGCACGCAAUUUUCUCCCUAACUCUUCCAAGCAGCAUACCGGUGCUCCUGUCGCCCACAACCUUCUUCUCCGAAAAAACUAGACCCUAGAUUGAUGUAAGGUAGAGGAGAGGAUGAUCACAGCUGUGUGUGUCCUCAGUCGGGGUGGCGUCACUCGACGGAGCCAGGCUACGGCUCGCGGGCCAGCACUUCGGCCAACCCGUGGCAUGACGGAGACGCUGCGGUGACCACGCUAGCCUAUGGCCGUGGAUCUUGGCACGCCAGCUUGCCAAAUAUCUUUUUGCAUCUAUGUGCAUGCAAUGAAUAUCUUUUUGUUGAUAGAGUUUAAAUGGCAAUUGUGAUUUGAGAAUUAAGAUUCCUGUCUGAAAAUAAUGUUAAUUAGUAGCAAUUUGGUUGUCGCCAACAUCAGUUCUGUAAUAUGGUAUUUGCUGCAAAAUUUCAUCUAGCCUAGUAAAAAAACAGUUCCAUAAUCCUGUCAAAUCUAGUCAGCAAAUUUAAAUUUGCAGCAAAUCAAAGUUGUGUUGUAGUGACAUGCUGUCACUUAAUGAGCAACUUCUUGCUAGAUUUUCUUUGAGUUCAAGACAGUAACAUCUUGCUAGAUUACAAGCAUUUAGUCCAAGUAAGACGUAGUAACUUAGAGAUGAAACCAACAAGAUCCUCACCAAUCUACUCUUAUACAAUUCAGGUUGUCUGCAUUUUAUUCAUAUUCAUAUGCUAGAAUAGUGAUGUUGGAUGUUUGUUAAUCUUCCUUACAUGCACUAGAGAUCCUUUGGACUCCACAAAAUGAGAGUGACAGAUUGUCAGAGCGAUAGCUCCUUGAAGAUACCCACUUUUAAGGCCUCUAGAAAAAUAAAGUUACAGAUUGCCCGUCAAAGAAAGAACAAGUUGUUGAAUCAUUUUUGGUUGUUUUGUUAUUAACUAUAGCGCAGAUCAUAUAUUUGUAUAAAAAGUGUAUAAUUCAAAAUUGACGUCACUGUCAGCCAUCACUUCAGAACAUGUAGUGCAUUGCAGUGCAAAUCUGCAAUUGUCUAUUAUAGUCUUGUCCACUAUUCCUGACACAAUAAUAGAAAAUUAUAAAUAGAUUGUUAAAAAAAAAUGAGAGGCUGCAUUUGUGCAUGUACCAUUUUGCCGUAGAUACUUUAAAUAAAAUAUUUGGUGAAAUAUUUUUAUCGGCCAAUCUAAGGUUCAAGCAUAUCACACAGAAUCGUGGUCCAAAAAUAGUUUCAUCUUGCAUUUUUGUUGUAUGAGGCUGUUAUAUCUAUUCAGUAAAUUUAAAAUUGCAGCAAAUAAAUAUUGUGUUAUAGUGACAUACUAUCACUUAAUAAGCAACUUCUUACUAGAUUUUCUUUUAGGCCAAGGGAGUAACAUCAUGCUAGAUUACAAAGCAUUUAUUCCAAAUAAGAUGUAGUAACUUAGAGAUAAAACCAACAAGAUCCUCACGAAUUUACUCUUAUAAAAUUCAGGUUGUCUGCAUUUUGUUCAUAUUCAUAUGCUAGAAUAGUGUUGUCUGAUGUUUGUUAAUCUUCAUUAUAGGCACUUGAGAUCCUAUGGACUCCACAAAAUGAGUAUGACACAUUGUCAGAGCGAUAGCUCCUUGAAGAUUACCUGCUCUUAAGGCCUCUAUAGAAAACAAUGUUAUUGAUUGCCCGUCAAAGAGUGAAGUCGUAGAUUUAGUUUUGGCGGUUUUGUUAUUCACUAGUAUAAUGCCCGUGCUAACGCCACGGUUUUUUUCUAGGGAAUGCUAUAGUAAUUUUUUAGAGUUUUAAUUUUGGGUAAUUGUUUUUAAGUCUAUAUACAUUUUAUGAAUCAUCAGUACUAAAGACAUCUUUACAUUUUUUCUAACUUUUUAAUCAAAUAUUGGAUAUCUUCAGCAAUGUUGUCGUUGCACUCGUUUGCAGGACUCACCAAAAUUUCAGCCAAGAACUCCGUCCUUAGUGAUCUUGAUAGCUGUGAAUGACAGAUAAUAUUUUGUCAAUAUUUAAUCGUUCAUUGACCCAAAUAUAGUUGGAGACUGCAUGUGCUUACAUUAUUUAUUGGCGGCAAUCUCACGUUGUUUCCUCUUGCUCUCUUCCCUUUCUUCUUCAGUCAUCCUCGCUCGACGAUCACGCUGAUACUCACGUUGUCUCCUAUUUAUCUCCUCCCUUCGUUCAUUGGUAAUCUCAGCACGACGAUUGCGACCUUGCGAUGUUUGGGCCCGCCUCGACGAGGCCUCAUCUUUAACAAGAAUUUUGAUAAAUUUAGAUUAGAUUAUAAAAUUAGAAAAAACACCCAAUUAUUAAAAGCAUACCUGUGACGUUGGUGAUGUCGCUUAGCACAUCGCGUGUAUGUCUAGGUGUAGACAUUGAAGCCUCCUGAAUGAAGAAAAAGGAACUGCAAAAGGGCAUUCAUGAAUUUUAUCAUUAGACGUUGCAUGAUUAGUCAGAGACUCAUACUAUGACCUCAUACACUUUUAUUAGUUACUUACUACAGAAAUAUGCAACUAUUUAGAUGUACAUGCAUAUAGGUUCAGAAAUCACCCAUCACCCAUCUGAACCUAUAUCUAAAACCAUUACCAUUUAGAUCAUAAUACUGCUACUCAUUUGAGGUUGCCGUCAGGGACCUAAUCAAGUCAAGAACAGCUAGUGACAUGCAGCAGAGGCAACACCUAAGCACAUCGUAUACUUUCACAGGCACAAAUAAUGCACUUACUGACAAAUAAAGAAGAAGAGGGGUCGGUCUGGGUACCAGACUAAUGUACCUGGAAAUGGGGAUUGCUUGGUCGAUGUGUACGCUAAUCAACUGGAAUUCGCUGAUCACCGUCUCCCUGUCGUCUGGCGUCACAAGCAAAAAAAAUUUCACGCUUGAAGAACGCGCACCUGAGGGCGCUCCCCGGCGCGGCGGAGAGGCUGGCGCUGUGCAAGGCCGACCUGCUCGACUACGACGCGCUGCAGUCGGCCGUUGCCGGCUGCCACGACGUCUUCCACACCGUGUCGCCUGGAUCCGAUCCGGUACGUAUACGUGUAACCUAUAGUAGUACUUGAAUACGGAUAUACUAAGAUCGAUCUAUGAUCACGGUACAUGUUACGUACCGUAACAAGGCUGGCCUAUGUACUCCAGUAGGGACCAUAUACAACACCUACUGGCUACUGCAGCUAUUUAUUAUUUAUGAUCAACCAAAAUCUUAGCAAAAAGAUUUAUUACUCCAGUAGUAGAAUAUUUUUGCGACAUAAACUGUCUCCUGCAUGCAUGCAUGCAAAAUUCACUCCUGGAGCCAGAUGCGUGUUUUGACCUGGUUAUGGUGGAGAUUAGUGGGCCAAAUUAGUGGGCUGCGAUGAGUUUGUUGGGGCGUGAGUUUGUCUGGUCUAACGGCCCAAGAAGUUUUCAAUUAUAGUGGAGACUAUAGCACAGAUGAUACAUUUAUAUAAGAAGUGUAUAAUUUUAAUUGACGUCACUGUUAGCCAUUACUGACACAAUAUACAGUAUGGAUAUCACGCAAAGUCCCUCUCAUCGGAUCCCCAAGGCGACUCAGGGGAGACAUGCCUGCUGUAGACAUAAGAGGCAACCGUGCUAGGCCAUAUCUUGCUGUAGUUGUUGUGGCUCUGGCGAGCAGUGGCAGCGACCAAUGAUGGUGCCAAAAAAGGGUGCAUGCUGUGCUGCUUCUCCCCCACCCCUCUUCCCAUUGCACUCACCUUCUCCUCCACUUCCCUUGCUGCUGUCUCCUGCGUUGUGGUCCAAAAAACAGCUCCAUACUGCAUUUCUGUUGUAUGAGGCUGUCAGAUCCAGCCAACAAAUUGAAAAUUGCAGCAAAUUGAUGUUGUGUUGUAGUGACAUAUUGUCACUUAAUAAGCAACACCUUGCUAGAUUUUCUUUGAGCCCAUGGGAGUAACAUCAUGCUAGAUUACAAAGCAUUUAGUCCAAGUAAGAUGUAGUAACUUAGAGAUGAAACCAAAAAUAUCGUCACCAGUUUACUCUUAUUAAAUUCAGGUUGUCUGCAUUUUGUACAAUUCAUAUGCUAGAAUAGUGAUGUUGAUGUUUGUUUAUUUUCUUUAUAGGCACUCUAGAUCCUACGGACUCUGUACAAUAAGAAUGACACAUUGUCAGAGCAGUACGUCCUUAAAGAUUACCUGAACUUAAGGCCUCUGUAGAAAAAUAAAGUUAAAUAUUGCCCCUCAAAGAAAGAACAAGGCAUAGAUUUAGUUUUGGCAAUUUUGUUAUUAACUAUAGCAUAGAUGAUAGAUUUGCAUAAGAGGUGUAUAAUUUGUAAUUGAUAUCACUAUGAGCCAUGCAUCAUUUCAGAACAUGUAGUUCACUACAAUGUAAAUAUACAAUUAGCUGUCAGCAAUCUUGUUCACUAUUCCUGAUACAAUAAUAGAAAAUUGUAAAUACAUUUUUUAGGAAGAACAUGAGAGGCUGCAUUUGUGUGUGUAGUGUUCCAUCAUAGAUUUUUAAUUAAAAUAUUUUAUGAAAUAUUUUCAUGGGCCAAUCUGGGUUCAGGGAUAUUAGGUACAGUCCCUCGCAUCAUCUCCCUAGGGCAACUCGGGGGAGACACGCCUGCCAUAACCAUAAGAGCCCACCGUGCCAGGCUAUUGGCUGCCAUUCCCACAACUCUGGUAAGUGGAAACGAUGGCCGAUGAUGGUGUUAGAAAAGGUUGUGUUAACUACCGCUUCUCCCCCACCCCUCUUCCCUUUCCACUCACCAUCAUCUCCACUUCCCUUGUUGUCGUUUCCUGUGUCGUGGUCUAAAAAACAGUUCCAUACUGUAUUUCUAUUGUAUGAGCCUGUCAGAUCUAGUCAGCAAAUUUAAAAUUGUAGCAAAUCAACGUUAAUGUUGUAGUGAUAUAGUGUCACUUAAUAAGCAACAUCUUGCUAGAUUUUAUCUGAGACCAAAGCAGUAACAUCAUGCUAGAUUACAAAACAUUUAGUCCAAGUAAGACGUAGUAACCUAGAGAUGAAACCAACAAGAUCCUCACGAAUUUACUCUUAUAAAAUUUAGGUUGUCUACAUUUUGUGCAUAUUCAUAUUAUAGUAUAGUGAUAUCUGAUGUUUGUUAAUCUUCUUUAUAGGCACUUGAGAUCCUAUAGACUCCAUAAAAUGAGAAUGAUACAUUGUCAGAGCAAUAGCUCCAUGAAAAUUACCGACUCUUAAGACCUCUAUAGAAAAAUGAGGUUAUGAUGGCCCGUUAAAGAAUGACGAAGUUGUAGAUUCAGUUUUGGUAGUUGUGUUAUUAACUAUAGCACAUUUCAUAUGUUUAUAUAAGAAGUUAAUGAUUUAUAAUUGACAUCAUCAUUAGCCUUCACUUCAGAACAUGUAGCACACUACUAUGCAAUUAUGCAAUCGUCCGUCGGUAGUCUUCUUCAAUAUUCCUUACACAAUAAUAAAAACUUGUAAAUAUAUUGUUCAGAAUAAAGAACACGACAGGCUACAUUUAUGUGUACCAUUCUACCAUGGAUAUUUUAAAUAAAAGAUUUGAUGAAAUGUUUUCUUAUGGGCCAAUCUGGGGUUUAGGGAUAUCCGACAUAGCCCCUCGCUUCAUCUCCCUAGGGUGACUCAAGGGAGAUACACCGGCUGCAUUAGCAAGCCCAUGGUCCUAGAUCAUUUCUGGUUGCUGUUGCCAUGGCCCUAGCAAGCAGUGACAAUGGCCAAUGGUAGUGCCAAAAAAGCUUGUGUUCGCAACCGCUUUUCUCCUACCCCUCUUCCCUUUCCACUUACCUUCACCUCUGCUUCCCUUUCUGUCAUCUCCAACAAUCUAGUAAAACAACUAGUUCCAUUCUCCAUUUCUGUUGUAGAAGUCUGUCAGAUCCAGUCAGCAAAUUUAAAAUUGCAGCAAAUCAAUGUUGUGUUAUAGUGACAUACUGAUAAUUAGCAACAUUUUGUUAGAUUUUCUUUGAGGCCGGGACAGUAACAUCUUGCUACAUUACAAAGCAUUUAGUCCAAGUUAGAUGUAAUAACUUAGAUAUAAAUCCAACAAGAGCCUCACAAAUUCACUAUUAUAAAAUUCAGUUUGUCUCAUUUUGUGCAUAUUCAUAUGCUAGAGUAAUAAUGUCGAAUGUUUGUUAAUAUUCUUUGUAGACACUCAAGAUCCUAUGGACUCUACAAAAUGAGAAUGACACAUUGUUAGAGUGAUAGCUCCCUGAAGAUUACCUAUUCUUAAGGCAUCUGUAGAAACAUAAAGUUAGCCCGUCAAAGAAAGAACAAGUCAUAGAUUCAGUUUUGGUUAUUUUGUUAUUAACUAUAACAUAGAUCAUAUGUUGGUAUAAGAGGCGUGUAAUUUGUAAUUGGCGAUGUCGCCUUCACUUUAGAACAUUUAGCACAUUAUCGUGUAAAUACGAUUGGCAGUCUACUGUUGACGGUCCUUAAGUAUCAAAAUUAAUCAUCAAAUAAAUAAAGAAAAGGAUCCAAAUGCAACCAACACCUAGACUUAGGGUUUUAUCUGACAGAAUGCCACGAGUUUUGGUGUUUGUCUAUUUCUGUAGGGGGUUAUCAGGAAAUACGGAGGAAAGGCCCACACGUCGGGUUUACAUAGAGAUUGUUGAUGCAAAAGCUGAUCUGCAAACACAAAGGGCUAAUACCCGAUUUAAACGUUAAGGCGUGCCAGCCGAUUUGACCUUACCAUCGGCAAAGGUGAUAACUCGAAUACUUUGGUCCUGACAACAGCGAUGCACCCGGAUGCCACGGCCAAGAGGUAUUCAUGCGGAACUCGAGAACGCGCCGAGCUUAAGUCGACGAAUUCCUAAGAACUCGUAGUGAAAAGGAAAAAGUAUGACGAAGUCGUCGAAAAGUAAAUUGCUGGAAUAUGAGUAAAAACUGGUGUUUGAUUGAUUGAUAGCUUGAUAGAUUCAUUGUUACAAGGCUCUAGGGUCUACAUUUAUACCCUGCUCAAAGAGCUACAACCAGACACGACUAGAAUUCGAAUUCCAAAUUUAAACAGAAACUGAAACACCGCCGCGGACCAACCAACCAUCUUCGAGUCUUCCUUCAUGCCAUCGGCUGAUUCUCCAUCGGCAACCACCUCCAUCCGCAACUUUCCUAUAGAUCAAUGACUAUUACCCUGUCUUGCCGAUUCACAUCCUACCGAUCCCGGAUACGCGUCGAAAAACGGCGUCAACACAUGCCCCCCAAUUUUGGAGUAUGAAAUCAUUAAUGCUCCAAAAUUCUUUGCAGUAAUGAUGCCUUUCCACAAUUAAUGCUCUCAAUUUGGUAACCGACAGCCUCAAUCUGAACAACUCGGAUCCUAUUCCUCUGCAGAUACACAGACGCAGCAGGUACCAUCCCCUUCUCAGCAACAAGAAGCACCACAAGUGGAAGAACCCCAACCAGAAGAGCCUCAACCAGAAGUACCUCAGCCAGAAGACAUAUCGGUUGACGUGCAUGAACAAACCGCCGAUCCAGCAGGUUCCAUUAUAGCAUCGGUAGUUUCUUCCAUCUAGAUAAGUACUGCUCCCUCUCAAGGUAACACACCUUCAUGAAAUUAUUGCCGAUGAACUUAUCUUCUCUGUCUCAUAAAUUUUUUAGUCGACAUAGUCCCAUCGGCAACUCCAGCCGAUCAGCCUAUAGUUCCACCGGCAUCUUCCAGUCAAAGGUGAGAGAUUGCCUUGAAACAAGUAAGCCAUCCAAUUUCCAUCGGUACUACUGUUGACACCGUUUUUGGGCACGUGUCUAGGAUGGCAGGAUAAGGUGGCAGUACGAUGUUUACAAAAGUGGGUUGCCGAUGAGGAUGGUUGCCGAUGAGUGAGAAGUUGAACGUGACUAAGUCCACAGGCAGUAAUAUGGUGCCGAUGGCUAGAUAAGAAAGUCUGCCAAUGACUAUGGCAAAGGGUCUGCCGAUGAUGCAAAGAGGGAGUCCGGAAGCUGCCGGUCGUUAUGUGGAGGAGUUUCGGUUUGUCACGAGGGAUAGUUUUGUUAUUUCCUUAAUUAUUUGCAUCGUUUUGUAUACGGAUUCCGUGUAAUUUGGAAUUCGAAUUCUAAUCGUGUCUAGUUGUAGCUCUUUGAGCAGGGUAUAAAUAUAGACCCUAGGGCCUUGUAAUAAAAAAUCAAUCAAUGAAUCACACAUACGUUUUUACUCAUAUUCCAGCAUUUACUUUUCGACGACUUCGUCAUACUUUUUCCUUUUGUUACGAGUUCUUAGGAAUUCGUCGACUUAAGCUCGGCGUGUUCUCAAGUUCCGCGUGAGUACCUCUUAGCCUUGACAUCCGGGCGCAUCGCUGUUGUCAGGACUAAAGUAUUCGAGUUAUCACCUUUGCCGAUAGCAAGGUCAAAUCGGCUGGCACGCCUUAACGUUUGAAUCGGGUAUUAGCCCUUUGUGUUUGCAGAUCAGUUUUGCAUCAACACAUCUUUUGGCACGCCUGGUGGGACAGGACUCAAGAUCAAGAUCAACAUGUCGAUCUCUGACCUCGAUCAAGAGAACGUCAUCCCCGUGACGGAGGCCAACCUCAAGGAUGAGCAGAAGCAAGCUAUUGCCCAAGCCAUGGAAGAGUUCAAGUAGCAAUGCCUGAGGUCUUUCAGCAUAAACAGGAGCAGCGAAGUGGUCCAGAAAGAUGCACUGCCGGCACCACGGCAGGUUACCUUUGACGCCAAUCCUGGCAAGCUUCAAGAUAUGGUUGACAAUGCCAUCAAUCGAGCGUUGAUUAACCAAGCUGGUGUACUGUCUAAUACGGUUUUCAAUGCCGUGGCAAGAACUUUCAAGGAAGGACAAAUCCCACCAGAUUAUGUGAGCCCCUCCCAUCAUCAGCCAACGGCACCAGAGGUCACGGCUCCAUCGGCUGCCUUGACGACUGCAAGUGCACAAUCUGCCGUCCCUCCAAGUACAUCGGGGACUACUGGUGCACUAUCUAUGCCGAUGACAACCAACCCACAAAUUUCAGUUGGGCAGCAUAAACUGACAACAGAUAUGUUGGCAUCGGCAAUGUCAGGGUUGACUCUUCCUCCCAACUGGUGGGGUUAUGGUAUGCCUCCAGAGUUGACACCGGGAACAUCACAAAUAACUGACAUGAGGGGCAAAACUCCUAUGACAUCGGCACCUCCCAAUGCGCCGGUGAACCAGAGUCCUCGGUAUAGCACAACUACUACUGCAAGGCCUCACACUGGAAAUCCUCAAGAUUCAAUGUUCCAGAUGCCCAACGCAUCGGCAGAGUCAAUGCUGAUGCAACAGAGGUCUAUGGCCCAGUCGGGGUAUGUCAAUUCAACGACGGUACCCAAUUACCAAUCAUCGGCAGCACCUGUGCCGAUGAACGCUAAUAAUGGAUGGCUUGGACAGCAAGCCUUUCCACAAUCGCCCCAGCAGAGUUACCAGACUACAGGGUUCCAGCAAGGGCAGGUCUAUCCCGGGUUCCAAGGUUAGGGGAUUCCCAACCAGCCAAUGAAUUUUGGACAGCAACUCGGAGGACAGCCAAUCGGUGGACAGCAGUUUGGUGGUCCGCAGAUUGGAGGACAGGUGAUCAAUACAAUGUUCCGUGCAGAUCACGUCCUGAACAGACACGUGGAGGUUCGCCACCAAGUGCCAGAUCCGCAGCCGCCUCGUCGGCAAGAUGCCGAUGCAUAUUGGGCCGAUAAGAUUGCUGAAGUAAUGAGGGAACAAUUUGGGAUAAAACCCAAAGUCAACACUUACUCUUAUCGGACACCGUAUCCUCCCGCGUAUGAUUUGAUCCCGCUUCCACAUCGGUACAAGGUACCGGAUUUUACAAAGUUUUCCGGGCAGGACGACACGUCAACCAUGGAGCAUGUCAACAGGUUCAUCAUUCAAUGUGGAGAGGCUGGUAACAGGGACGAAUUGAGGGUUCGUCUAUUUUCAUCAUCAUUGUCUGGAUCGGCCAUUACUUGGUUCAUAUCAUUACCUCCCAACUCAGUAAUUACUUGGGCCGAUCUAGAGAAGCAAUUCCACAAAUACUUCUUCUCGGGGGUUCAUGAGAAGAAGAUCACCGACUUGGUCAAGUUGAGGCAACGUAAUGAUGAGUCGGUUGAGGGUUUUGUGCAGAGGAUACGAGAGGUCAAGAAUAAAUGCUAUAGCUUGGUUCUGGAUGAUCGGCAGCUAGCCGAUUUGGCUUUCUAGGGUUUGUUGCCACAUAUCAGGGAUAAGUAUGCCUCUCAGGAGUUCGAAAGUUUAAGUCAUUUGGUGCAGAGGAUUUCUGAUCAAGACAUCAAGCCUUUCGAGCCUAAAAGAGCAUGGAAUAGGAAAGUGUCAUUUGUCGAUGAAGCAACAAGCUCAGAUUCUGAUGAAGAACCAGUAAUCGGCUUGGCAGAGUGGGUAAAAAACAAGAAGCCGAUGUCUUGUCCUUUUGGGCAGAAGGAACCAGAGAAGUUUGCUUUUGACACCGCUAAGGCGGAUAGGAUAUUUGACUUUCUACUUCAGGAAGGUCAGAUCAAACUGUCACCUAACCAUGUGAUCCCAUCGGCAGAAGAGUUGAAGAGGAUGAGAUAUUGCAAGUGGAAUAAUGCAACUUCCCAUGACACCAACGAGUGCAAAGUAUUCAGACAGCAGCUGCAAUCGGCUAUAGAGUCAGGGAGAAUCAAGUUUGACAGUUCCGAAGCCCAGAAGCCGAUGAAGAUAGACCAACAUCCUUUCCCGACAAACAUGUUGGAUGCUAAGGGGAAGGCUAAGGUCUUAACAUCGGAGACAGCUGAGAAGAGUGCAUCGGUAGAUCCUCAGCAUCAAGUUACUACUGCCGAUGCAAGAAGUAAGGGCUUGGUCCAGGAAGGAACUAGCUCAGGAAGGCCUCCUCGAUCUGGUAUCGUCAUAACUCAUAGAAGGCCUCGAGAAAAAUGGCAACAACGGGAAGAUCGGUAUCGGCGCCAGCAGGAAGAUUAUCGACGGGAAGAAGAAAGACGCCGACAGGAGUGGAAUCGGCACAGGGAUCAUUGGAAUUGUCCAUUCUUCAUCCAUUGUUGGGAGGAAAAUAUCAAGCUUCCUACUGUCAGAGACUGCCCUGAGUGCAACAGUUAUGAUCGGUACGAUAGGAUCGAUCGGCAUUAUCAUGAUGAUGAACGGCGAUUUAAUGGUCCGGUCAGAGGAAGGGUGUCAGUUCAUGAUCGGCUGGGGGGCAGAUUUAGUGGGCACGACACACUUAGUGACCGUGUCCAGUAUUUUCCCAGGAACCAAGAAGAGCUCGAGGAAAUGGCUGAUGCGCGGGUUCCCGAUGAAUUCAUAUUUUGCAGGGAUGCUAACACGCAUCGUAUGGAGUCAAGGGAGAACCGACGCCCGACGGCAAGGCAAAGGCCACUUCCUCCAUGGUGCCCUGGAGGAUUAACCAAGACACAGAAAAGGAGAUUGCAACGUGAAAGGCAAGAAGAGCUAAACAAGGGAGAGAACUCUGGAAGUCGGCAGCCGUCAGACACUAAGAGGGAAGGUCCAUCGGCAGGCGUCAACAUGGUCUUCAUGUUGCCGAUGGAGUUUCUUGCACUAGCCAGUGAUGAUGAGUUGGAAUUUUCUGAUCAGAUAGCUCAGUUGGCUCUGGAUCCGAUGACGGCUAUCUUUGAGAAACCUGCCGAUGACGAGAGGCAGCAUCUUAAAGCUCUGUUCCUUAAAGGAAGGGUUGAUGGGCAGCCAAUGACCAAGAUCCUAGUUGAUGGUGGAGCUACUAUUAAUAUUAUGCCGUAUGCAGUAUAUCGGAAGCUUGGGAAAGGGGAUCAAGAUUUGACCAAGACCGAUAUGAUGCUCAAAGACUUUGAAGGAAACGUGUCUCCAGUCAAGGGGGCGAUAUGUGCAGAGUUGACCAUCGGCAGCAAAACCUUGCCGACAACUUUUUUCGUGAUCAGCGGAAAAGGUGCUUACAACUUAUUAUUGGGAAGAGAUUGGAUUCAUGCCAAUUGUUGUAUCCCAUCUACAAUGCAUCAAUGCUUGGUUCAGUGGGUAGGUGACAAGAUUGAGAUUGUCCCAGGAGAUUCUUCUUAUGUUAUCGCAUCGGCAGAAGCGGAUACUUACGAAAGGACCAGGUGCAUUUCAGGAGAAGUUUGGGAGAAAGAUUUUCUCAAAGUUGCCGAUUAUGAGAUUCCACCGAUCCAAGCAGUCGGUUCUGACGACGGUUUUUAAUGGAUAGAUUCGCCGAUGAUGGAAAAUUAGGCCAGGGAUUCACAUCGGCCGAUGAUUUGGUAGAAGUAGAUAUAGGUAGUGGUGAUAAGCCUAGGCCUACUUUUAUUAGUGCUAAAUUAGAUCCUGAGAGUAAGCAACAAUUGACUAGUUUGUUAAAGGAAUAUAAAUAUUUCUUUGCUUGGGAUUAUACCGAGAUGCCUGGUUUAGACCGAUCAAUUGUUGAACAUCGGUUACCCAUCAAGUCUGGAUUUCGGCCACAUCAGCAACCAGCCCGCCGAUGUAAUCCUAACAUUCUACCUGAUAUUAAGGCCGAAAUCACCAAACUUAUUGAAGCUAAGUUUAUUCGGCAGUGUCGGUAUGCCGAGUGGAUUUCCAAUGUUGUUCCGGUUUACAAGAAGAACGGGAAGCUUCGGGUGUGCAUUGAUUUCAGGAAUCUCAAUAAAGCUACGCCGAUGGAUGGAUACCCAAUGCCUAUCGCCGAUCUACUGGUUGAUGCUGCGGCUGGUCAUCAGGUCAUCAGCUUCAUGGAUGGUAAUGCAGGUUACAAUCAAAUAUUCAUGGCGGAGGAGGAUAUUCCAAAAACCGCAUUCAGGUGUCCUGAUCAUGUUGGGCUAUUUGAAUGGAUAGUCAUGACUUUUGGGUUGAAGAAUGCUGGUGCUACUUAUCAAAGGGCUAUGAAUUUUAUAUUUCAUGAGUUCAUCGGCAAGCUCGUGGAGAUUUAUAUUGAUGAUGUGGUGGUUAAGUCUGGAGAUUUCUCAAAGCAUCUUGCCGAUUUACAAAAAGUGUUAGAGUGCACAAGGAAGCAUGGAUUGAAGAUGAAUCCCAACAAGUGUGCAUUUGGUGUAUCGGCGGGGCAGUUUCUUGGUUUCAUGGUACAUCAAAGGGGUAUUGAAAUUAGUCGAAGACCUAUUGAUGCCAUCAAUAAAAUAGUGGCCCCUACCAACAAAACCGAGCUCCAAUCCUUGAUCGGCAAGGUAAAUUUUAUCAGGAGAUUUAUAUCGAAUUUGUCUGGUAGGAUUCGUGCUUUCAGUCCUCUUCUUAAAUUGAAAGCCGAUCAAGAGUUUAUUUGGGGAGAAGAACAGCAGUUGGCUCUGGAUGAAGUCAAGAAGUAUCUAGUAAAUCCUCCAGUUCUAGUUCCACCUCAACAAGGGAAGCCCUUCAGAUUGUAUUUAUCUACCGAUGGAUCGGUUAUCGGUUCAGCUUUAGUUCAAGAAUUUGAAGGGAAAGAAAGGGUAAUUUAUUAUUUGAGUAGGAGGUUGAUUGAUGCUGAAACCAGGUAUUCGGCCAUUGAGAAACUAUGCUUAUGCUUAUAUUUUUCAUGUAUCAAGCUGAGACAUUACCUGCUAUCGGCCGAAUGCACUGUUGUUUGCAAAGAUGACGUGGUCCGAUACAUGCUAUCUAUGCCGAUUAUGAGUGGUAGGAUCGGUAAAUGGAUUUUAGCGCUGUCGGAGUUCGAUUUGCGUUACGAAUCGGCUAAGGCAGUCAAAGGGCAGAUUAUGGCCGAUUUUGUGACUCAGCAUUGCGGUCUAGUGGAAACCUUGGAAAUUGUACCCUGGACGCUCUUCUUUGAUGGAUCUACCUGUGACCGGGGGGCAGGAAUCGACAUUGUAUUAGUUUCCCCUAAGGGGAGGAAGUAUGAGUUUUCCUUGCCGAUUGUUGCCACAUCAACAAAUAAUCAGGCUGAGUAUCAGGCUCUGAUCAAGGGAUUGGAGUUGUUAAGAGAAGUUCGUGCUGAUGCUGUUGAAAUAUUCGGGGAUUCUAUGUUGGUUAUAAAUCAAUUGGCCGGAAGCUAUGAAUGCCGAAGUGAAGUUCUCAUAACUUAUUUCGAGAGAAGUAUGCAACUGUUAAAGGAAUUCAAGGAUUUCCGAUUGGAGCAUGUUCCCCGAUUGCAUAAUGAAGACGCUAAUCGGUUAGCUCAGCAUGCCUCGGGAUAUCAGCCAAUGAUUAAUGCGACAUCGGCAGUCGGUGCCGGUGAUUGGAGGAAAGAAAUUAUUGAUUAUCUAAAAGAUCCAUCCAAAAAAGUUGAAAGACGGGUUCGAUUUCAAGCAACCAAGUAUGUGCUCCUUGAAAAUGAAUUGUAUUAUCGAACUAUCGACGGAAUUCUUCUCCGAUGCUUGGGUGAUGAUGAAGCUAGAAGUUUGAUGGGGGAAAUCCAUGAAGGAGUGUGUGGAGCGCAUCAGUCAGCUUUUAAGAUGAAGUGGAUGAUUCGAAGGAAUGGAUAUUUUUGGCCAACCAUACUUGAAGAUUGUUUUAAAUAUUUCAAGGGAUGUCAAGGUUGUCAAAAGUUUGGUAAUAUCCAAAGAGCACCCGCAUCGGCUAUGAAUCCUAUAAUAAAGCCUUGGCCGUUCCGGGGAUGGGCCAUCGAUCUGAUCGGCCAGAUUUAUCCACCAUCUAGCAAAGGGCAUAAGUUCAUUCUAGUUGCCACUGACUAUUUCACUAAGUGGGUUGAAGCUAUUCCUUUGAAGAAAGUCACAUCGGCCAAUAUGAUUGAUUUUGUGAAGGAGCAUAUUAUUUACCGAUUUGGGAUUCCCCAAACGAUUACUACCGAUCAGGGCACCAUGUUCACAUCGGGGGAGUUCGAUGAAUUCGCAAUCGGUAUGGGAAUUAAAGUGUUGAAUUCUUCUCCUUAUUAUGCUCAAGCCAAUGGGCAGGCCGAAGCGUCUAACAAAGGAAUUAUCAAGCUUAUUAAACGAAAGAUUGAAGAAAAUCCUAAGCGGUGGCAUACAUUAUUAAAUGAAGCAUUGUGGUCUUAUCGGAUGGCUUGUCAUGGAUCGACCAAAGUAUCACCCUAUCAAUUGGUGUAUGGACAUGAUGCAGUGUUGCCUUGGGAAAUUAAGGCUGGAUCUAGGCGAUUAUCUUUUCAAGAUCAAUUAACUUCCGAUGGUUAUGCCACUUUGAUGACCGAUGAAUUGGACGAUCUAGCAGGGCAUCGGUUAAAAGCUUUAAUGAGUAUAGAAGAAAAUAAGAAGAGAGUUGCUAGAUGGUAUGAUAAGAAAGUGAAGGCUAAAGAGUUUGCCGAUGGGGAUUUGGUAUGAAAAUUAAUUUUACCAAUUGGGACCAAAAGUUCGAAGUUUGGAAAGUGGUCUCCUAAUUGGGAGGGUCCUUAUCGGAUAAGUCGAUCGGCUCCUGGUAAUGCCUACAUUCUAGAAACCCUCGAAGGAAUUGAAUUUCCCAGAGCAUUAAAUGGCAAAUAUUUAAAGAAGUACUACCCCAGUAUAUGGGUCGAUGCAUAGAAGUUUAGGUGCCGAUAACAAUCCUAUCGGCUGGAUCCAAAUGCUUGGGGACAAGACUUGGUGUUUCAAAAGUUUAGGUGCCGAUAACAGUCCUAUCGGCUAGACUAAAAGCUGAGGAAGCAGGAAAGCGCAGAUAUAAUGCCGAUGGAAACUCUAUGUGUUAAGCAGCGUCUGGAUUGCCGAUAUAGCGCGUAGCCGAAUUUGGUUGGCUGCUUCUAUCUCCUUGAUGUCAUCAUCGGCAGAACCUUCUAUCGGCUUCAGCUUCUUCUUCAGUUGAAGUGCCUUGCGACCAUGAGCAUUUCGCUCGUGCUCAAGAAGCCUGAUGGUCUCUGGCAAUUGGCUCUCUUCCUGUUGGGCUUGGGACAGGGCGUUCUCUACUUCCUUGAGCUCCGCCAACAGGGAUUCUUUUCUUGCCGAUAGAUCGGAUAUCUUCUGCUUCAGCGCGUCUCCAGAAGAUCUCAGGAUACCGAUGUUCUUGUGCUUCUCAUCGGUCAAAAGCUUCUCUUUCCUCAUUUCAUCGGAGAGUUGAGUCUGAGCGGCUCUAUCGGCAAGACGCCGAGAAGCUCUCUGGUACUGCAGCUGGCGACUCUCCAGAUGAGCGGCUUGGAACAGGAUUUCUUCAACAUCGGCUGGGAUUUGGCCUCUGAGAGUUCUGAACAGGGUCUUGGUAGGGUCGGAAUCAUCAACCAAUUGCGCUGUGUCCUGGUGAAGGAGACCUGACAAUUCUUCCAGCCUGACCCUGAUCUCUGCCGAUGUGAUGCCGACCGUCUGAGAAGAGCUUGCUUCUUCACCUUCUUCUUCAGAGAGAUCGAUGGCGAAGGAGAACAGGCUAUCGGGAGAAUCUUGUUCCUGGGAGGGAAAGCAAAAUUAGCUCAUACUCAGAGAAUCGGCAAAUAGUGCUAACGGUAAACGGUGACUUACUUGCUUCAAAGCGAUCUCUUGUCUUUGACUGAGAAGUGCUGACGGAGCUGCAGGCUGAUCGGCCAAAGAUGCCGAUGGAGCUACAGGUUGAUCGGCUGAGAUUGCCGAUGGAAUGAUAUCAACUGAAAGAAGACAAAAGGAGUUAUGAGACUAAAUAAGAAUAAGUUCAUCGGUAGCGAUAUUGUUAAAGUAUGUUACCUGGAGGAGGGACAACGGUUGUCUGAACCGGGAGAACUGCCGAUGGUAUAACUGGACCCACCGGGCCAGUUGUUUGUUCACCCAUGUCAGCUGAUGUAUCUUCUGUUUGAGAUCCUUCCUGUUGGGGUUCUUCUAUCUGUGGUGCUUCCUGCACAGGUGGGGGAGAUGGUGCUUGCUGUGGCUGGGCUUCUGGAGAAGAAGGAGAAGACUCCACCGGAAUUGGAGAUACCGGAGGAGGAGGGGGAGUUGCUACCUUCUGGCGCUUUGUUCCAGUCUUAGCACCCGUGGUGCCCUUUCUCUUGGGUUGGCUAGACUGGGGGGCAUCGGUACUCUCACACCUGGCUUUCGCCGAUGCGCCGGUUUGCUGCAAUAAUGAACAAGAGUUUAUAAGCAUAAAUAUAGCCGAUAUAAAGAUAGUCAGCAUAAAGGAAAAGAUUUGACAAAUUGCCUUGAAAGCCCGCGCAAGAGUGGGAGCAGCUACCGUUGGUGAUGUCUGGGUUCUUCUGGUGGUGACUUUCCUGAGGCGUACACCCCGAUGCACGAUGGAAGCUAGAGUGGGAGCAUUGUGGCCGAUUGAGGAAAUCGGGCCUGAUGGAAACAAGUCGAUCGGCCUGCCACUCCUGCUAACCAAUGGAGGAAUAUUGUCAACCUGCAAAAAGAAUACAAGGGUAAGCUGCCGAUGGAGGUAAUAUUGAGAAAAUGAAACGUUGGUUUGAGUUACUUAUAGUGUCAUCGGGAACUUCGUAUUCGGAGUCAAUCAUGCCGCGGUAUGAAAGUGCCGAUCUGCAGAAUAGAUGCUCUUUCCAUUCUGCCCACCAUAACUUGUAUGCCUGAGUGAUAAAAGCAGCCGGAACCCAUUCUGACAGAUCUACAUCUAUAUCGGCGUUUGGUGGUAGUUGGGCUGCUCGAGUCCACUCAAGAAGGUUGUUGAUAGUUUCUCUGGGUUUUAUCACAUCGGCAUAAGGAAGUGCAAUCGGCAACUGGCCGAAAGCUAACUGGCGAGCUAAUGCCGAUGGAUUGUAAAAUUCGUAAGUUUGAGGGGAGGUUUUUGUGCUACCAAAGAAAUUCACUGGAAUGAUUCUGGGAGUCACAAUUGCCAUCAUCGCCUCAUUGUCCCUGUCGAGAGCUUCAUCAAAUGGAUUGAAGGUCAGAGGGAGCAUGUUAUCUGGGUCAUCAUAAGCCAACCAUGGUCGUUCGUCGCUGGUCAAACCCUCAUACAGAGUCUGGAAGAAUCGGCCGAUCUGAUCUGGAUUACCCCCUGAACCAGGCAGAACUAUGACAGCUUCGCCAAAGUUCAAGGGGGCGCGUGUUGCCGAUUCCUCUUCACCCAAUACAUGGUUUUCAGCUAUAUCUAUUGGGAAACGCUGUGUGAAAAGGUUGAAGUUGAGACGCUUGUGCAGAUGCAGAUUGAGCCACAUGUUGACAAACCACCAGGGGCCUCCCAAGUUGCCAGUGGAUUGGCCGAGCAGAAGUUUCUGGGCUACUUGAUGGAGAAGGUGGUAAGCAGCGCCAAGCAAGUAUCGGCCGAGAGGGAAUCGGCCACCGUUAGCCAGUCUUUCUGCUGCCGAUAGGUAGACAGAAGUCGGUCCUGCCGAUCGACCACAGAAUACAAACUUGUCCAGCCACAUGUUCAGAAAGGUGGUUUGUUCCUUUAUGGUGACAGAUCCUUUCCCACGGUACUUCUGAAUGUAUUCUGGGUCGUGGCCAAAGGCAAAAGCAUUGAGGGUGUCUGACCAAAAGUAGGAUGCAGCUAUCAGCAGUGACUCGUUCCUAUGCAUAUCAGCAAUGGACAAUCUAAUGCAUUGGGCUAGAUUCCUUUCACCCCACUGAACUUCAUUAGAGUUGCUGACCCUCAAGAACCAGUCUUUCCACCCUACAGUUGGGCUGGGCCAAGAGCGGAAGGUGUCCUUCCACAGAUCUAAGGAAAAAUUUUCGACUCUGAAGGGGAUCCUGUUGGUUUCUGCGUUGAUAAGGUCAGUUGGAUCUGGGUCCCCUAGAGGGCCGAGGCAUUGAAGGUGUGGUUGAUCGGUGGGGAUGACAAUUUUGUUGGACAAUUCCUAGUGAUUUUGGGCGUAAAAAGAAAUACAAAGAGGAAAGAAAAGGAAGAUGUUCAGUAAAAUGAAUUGCGAGUGAACAGGGAUAUGAAGAAAAAUACAGAAGACGGGGUGGAGAUUUGACCUCAGGGACGACGAACCCGACGGCCAUCUUGCUGCGAAGGAAGCGUUUGAAGGCGCCGGAGUUGGUGAAGAGGAGUACUUGUCGGAGACCUUGGGAGUUUUUGGUGGCGCCGCCGCUGGAAAAGUAAAGUUGGGUAGUAGAAUGGUGUGAUGGGGAAGGAGUACCCAAGAAGGAACUAUUUAUAGGACAAAAUGGGCAAGGGCAAAUCCGACUUAUCUCUUUGCCGCAUCCGAGAAAUCCGAGGGUACUCAGGUGGAUAUGGUAACUGUUCGCACGGUAAUCCAGGGAUUGUGCAGGUGAUUUGACGGGAAGCGGUCAUUAUCUGAAGAUAUUUUACUGUGCGAGAUCUCCUGGUCGGUCCAUCGGCAAUAUUCUAUAACGGUCAUAUUGCCGAUGGGCGGAUAGAGGGGAAGUAACCGUUUGUGCGAAUAUCCUGGUCAGAACAUCGGCAGAUCUUUGUAACGGUAUUGUUGCCGAUGUACGGCUGAGAAAAAUGCCCGUUUAGGAAGUUGGGGAUUUCGAGAAAUCUGCGGAGGAAUAGGAUCAGAGUUGUUCAGAUUGAGGUUGUCGGUUACCAGAUUAGGAGCAUUAAUUGCGGGAAAAGGCAUCAUUACUGCAGAGAAUUUCGGAGCAUUAAUAGUUUUAUACUCCGAAACUGGGGGGCAUGUGUUGACACCGUUUUUGGGCACGUGUCUAGGAUGGCAGGAUAAGGUGGCAGUACGAUGUUUACAAAAGUGGGUUGCCGAUGAGGAUGGUUGCCGAUGAGGGAGAAGUUGAACGUGACUAAGUCCACAGGCAGUAAUAUGGUGCCGAUGGCUAGAUAAGAAAGUCUGCCGAUGACUAUGGCAAAGGGUCUGCCGAUGAUGCAAAGAGGGAGUCCGGAAGCUGCCGGUCGUUAUGUGGAGGAGUUUCGGUUUGUCACGAGGGAUAGUUUUGUUAUUUCCUUAAUUAUUUGCAUCGUUUUGUAUACGGAUUCCGUGUAAUUUGGAAUUCGAAUUCUAAUCAUGUCUGGUUGUAGCUCUUUGAGCAGGGUAUAAAUAUAGACCCUAGGGCCUUGUAAUAAAAAAUCAAUCAAUGAAUCAAACAUACGUUUUUACUCAUAUUCCAGCAUUUACUUUUCGACGACUUCGUCAUACUUUUUCCUUUUGUUACGAGUUCUUAGGAAUUCGUCGACUUAAGCUCGGCGUGUUCUCAAGUUCCGCGUGAGUACCUCUUAGCCGUGACAUCCGGGCGCAUCGCUGUUGUUAGGACUAAAGUAUUCGAGUUAUCACCUUUGCCGAUAGCAAGGUCAAAUCGGCUGGCACGCCUUAACGUUUGAAUCGGGUAUUAGCCCUUUGUGUUUGCAGAUCAGUUUUGCAUCAACAACUACUUGUCAAUACUUGACCACGAAAUAACUCACUUUAUUUUUCUUUCAGGAACAAGAUUCUCCUGAUAGCUUGUUUUCCUUUGCCAUUGAUAUCUCUGAAGACGAAGGUGAGGAAGCAAGCUCUUCUCGGGCAGUUGGAGUCACAUCGGCAGAAAUUAGGGCGAAGUUGGAGGAACUGUCGGCCCUUCUUCAUCAAGACACAGCCCAACUGGUCGACGACUCUAACCCAGCCAAGGCCCUAUUCAAGACCCUCAGAGGCCAAAUUCAUGCCGAUGCUGAAGAAAUCCUCUUUCAAGCUGCACAUCUAGAGAGUCGCCAGCUGCAGUACCAGAGAGCUGCCCAGCGUCUUGCCGAUAGAGCUGCUCAUGCCCAGCUGUCUGAAGAAAUGAUGAAAGUGAAGCUUCUUGCCGAUGAGAAGCACAAGAACAUCGGCAUCUUACAGUCUUCACGAGAUGCAUUGAAGCAGAAGAUUUUUGAUCUAUCGGCGAAAAGGGAAGCCCUGUUGGCAGAACUCAAGCAAGUAGAGGAUGCCUUGUCCCAAGCCCGACAAGAAGAAAGCCAACUGUUGGAGACAAUCAAGCUCCUUGAGCAAGAGCGAAAUAUUCAUGGCCGUAAGGCACUGCAGAUGAAAAAGAAGCUGAAGCCGGUGGACGGUUCUGCCGAUGACGAUGUGAAGGAAAUAGAGGAAGCCAACCAGAUCCGUUUGCGCGCCAUAUCGGCAAUCCAGGCGCUACUAAACACUUGAGCUCUUCAUCGGCGAUACAUCCUCCUCCACCCUUUUGAGCACUCCUAGUACCUUAGUCUAGCCGAUAGGACUGUUACCCGCACCUUUCAAAACACUAAGUUGCGCUCCAGAUACAUUUUGAUCCAGCCGAUAGGAAUGUUAUCGGCACUUAAACUUUUCAUGCAUCGACCCAUAUGCUGGGGUAGUACUUCUUUAGAUAUUUGCCAUUUAAUGCUCUGGGAAACUCAACUCCUUCGAGAGUUUCUAGAAUAUAGGCAUUACCAGGAGCCGAUCGACUUAUCCGAUAGGGACCCUCCCAAUUGGGAGACCACUUCCUAAAUUUUGAACUUUUAGUCCCGAUCGGUAAGAUCAUUUUCCAUACCAAAUCUCCAUUGGCAAACUCUUUAGCCUUUACUUUCUUGUCAUACCAUCUGGCAACCUUCUUCUUAUUCUCUUCUAUACUCAUCAAGGCCUUUAGCCGAUGUCCUGUUAGAUCAUCUAACUCAUCUGUCAUCAAAGUAGCAUAAUCAUCGGCAGCUAAUUGAUCUUGAAAAGAUAUUCGCCUAGACCCAGCCUUAAUUUCCCAAGGUAGCACUGCAUCAUGCCCAUACACCAAUUGAUAAGGUGAAACUUUGGUUGAUCCGUGACAAGCCAUCCGGUAUGACCAUAAAGCUUCAUUCAAUAAUGUGUGCCACCUCCUAGGAUUUUCUUAAAUCUUUCGUUUGAUAAGCUUGAUAAUUCCUUUGUUAGAUGCCUCGGCCUGCCCAUUAGCUUGAGAAUAAUAAGGAGAAGAAUUUAAUACCUUCAUUCCCAUACCGAUUGCAAAUUCAUCGAAUUCCCCCGAUGUGAACAUAGUACCCUGAUCGGUAGUAAUUGUUUGAGGGAUUCCAAAUCGGUAAAUAAUAUGCUCUUUCACAAAAUCGAUCAUAUUGGCCGAUGUAAUUUUCUUCAAAGGAAUAGCUUCAACCCAUUUGGUGAAAUAAUCAGUGGCAACCAAGAUAAACUUAUGCCCUUUGCUAGAUGGUGGAUAAAUCUGACCAAUUAAGUCAAUAGCCCAUCCCCGGAACGGCCAAGGUUUGACAAUAGGAUUCAUGGCUGAUGCGGGUGCUCUUUGAAUAUUACCAAAUAUCUGACAGCCUUGACACCCUUUGAAAUACUUAAAGCAAUCCUCGAGUAUGGUCGGCCAAUAAUACCCAUUUCUUCUAAUCAUCCACUUCAUCUUGAAUGUUGAUUGGUGUGCUCCACACACUCCCUCAUGGAUCUCUCCCAUCAAAUUCCUAGCCUCAUCAUCACCUAAGCACCUGAGGAGAAUCCCAUCAAUAGUUCGGUAAUACAACUCAUCUUCAAGGAGCACAUACUUGGUAGCUUGAAAACGAACACGCCGCUCAACUUUUUUGGAUGGAUCCUUCAAAUAAUCAAUGAUUUCUUUCCUCCAAUCAUCGGCACCGAUUGCUGAUAUUGCAUUAAUCAUGGGCUGAUAUCCCGAGGCAUGCUGAGCCAACCAAUUGGCCUCUUCAUUAUGCAAUCGAGGAACAUGCUCUAAUCGGAAAUCCUUGAAUUCCUUCAACAGUUGCACACUCCUUUCGUAAUAAGUUAUGAGGACUUCACUUCGGCAUUCAUAGCUUCCAGCCAAUUGAUUUAUAACCAGCAUAGAAUCCCCAAAGACUUCAACAGCAUCAGCACGAACUUCCCUCAGCAAUUCCAAACCCUUUAUCAAAGCUUGAUACUCAGCCUAAUUAUUCGUAGACAUGGCAACAAUUGGCAAGGAAAACUCAUACUUCCUUCCUCGAGGGGAAAUCAAUACUAUGCCGAUUCCUGCCCCUCGGUCACACGUGGAUCCAUCAAAGAAGAGCGUCCAAGGUACAAUUUCCAAAGCCUCCACUGUACUGCAAUGUUGAGUUACAAAAUCGGCCAUAAUCUGCCCCUUAACCGCUUUGGCCGAUUCGUAACGCAGGUCGAAUUCCGACAACGCCAAAAUCCACUUACCGAUCCUGCCACUCAUGAUCGGCAUAGACAGCAUGUAUCGGACCACAUCAUCUUUGCAUAUGAUAGUGCAUUCGGCCGAUAACAAAUAAUGUCUCAACUUAAUACAGGAGAAGUACAAGCAUAAGCACAGCUUCUCAAUAGCCGAAUACCUAGUCUCAGCAUCGAUCAACCUCCUGCUUAAAUAGUAAAUCACAGGUUCCUUCCCUUCAAAUUCCUGAAUCAAAGCCGAACCGAUGACCAUCUCAUCGGUAGACAGAUACAAUCUGAAGGGUUUCCCUUGCUGAGGUGGAAUCAGGACUGGAGGAUUCACCAAAUAAUUCUUGAUUUCAUCCAAGGCCAAUUGUUGCUCCUUCCCCCAAACGAAUUCUUGAUCGACUUUCAACUUAAGCAAAGGACUGAAAGCACGAAUUUUACCAGAUAAAUUAGAUAUAAAUCUCCUGAUAAAAUUUACCUUGCCGAUCAAGGACUGGAGCUCAGUCUUGUUGGUAGGAGCAACUAUUUUGUUGAUGGCAUCAAUGGAUCUUCGACUAAUUUCAAUCCCCCUUUGAUGCACCAUGAAACCAAGGAAUUGUCCUGCCGAUACACCAAAUGCACACUUAUUGGGAUUCAUCUUCAACCCGUGCUUCCUUGUACACUCCAAUACCUUCCUUAAAUCGGCAAGAUGCUUUGCAAAAUCUCCAUACUUAACCACCACAUCAUCUCCACCAGCUUACCGAUGAACACAUGGAACAUAAAAUUCAUGGCCCUCUGAUAAGUAGCACCAGCAUUUUUCAAGCCAAAGGUCAUAACUAUCCAUUCAAACAGUCCAACAUGACCAGGACAUCAAAAUGCAGUCUUUGAAAUAUCUUCUUCAGCCAUGAAUAUUUGAUUGUACCCUGCAUUCCCAUCCAUAAAGCUGAUAAUCCGAUGCCCAGCCGCAGCAUCAACUAGCAGAUCGGCAACUGGCAUCGGGUAGCCGUCCAUCGGUGUAGCUUUGUUGAGAUUUCUGAAAUCAAUGCUAACCCGAAGCUUUCCAUUCUUCUUGUAGAGUGGGACCACAUUAGAAAUCCAUUCGGCAUACUGGCACUGCCGAAUAAAUUUAGCUUCAAUCAGUUUGGUUAUUUCGGCCUUAAUAUCAGGAAGAAUAUUAGGAUUACAUCGGCGAGUUGGCUGUUGAUGUGGCCGAAAUCCAGACUAGAUAGGCAACCUAUGUUCAACAAUUGAUCGGUCCAAACCAGGCAUCUCAGUAUAAUCCCAAGCAAAGCAAUCUUUAUACUCCUUUAAUAAAUCAGUUAACUGUUGCUUACACUCAGAACUUAAUUUAGCACUAAUAAAAGUAGGUCUAGGUUUAUCACCACUACUUAUGUCUACCUCUACUAGAUCAUCAGCCGAUGUGAAUCCCUGGCCUAACUUUCCAUCAUCGGCGAACCUAUCCAUUAAAAACCCUCAUCAGAACCGACUGCUUGGAUCGGUGGAAUUUCAUAAUCGGCAACCUUGAGAAAAUCCUUUUCCCAAACUUCUCCUGAAAUACACCUAGUCCUCUCAUAGGUGUCCGCCUCUGCUGAUGCAAUGACGUAAGAAGAAUCUCCCGGGACAAUCUCAAUCUUGUUACCUACCCACUGAACCAACCACUGGUGCAUCGUAGACGGGAUGCAACAAUUGGCAUGAAUCCAUUCUCUUCCCAACAGCAAGUUGUAUGCACCUUUUCCAAUGAUCACGAAGAAAGUCGUCGGCAAGGUUUUGCUGUCGAUGGUCAACUCAACACAUUGCUCCCUUGACUGGAGAGACGUUUCCCUCGAAGUCUUUUAGCAUCAUAUCGGGCUUGGUCAAAUCCUGAUCUCCUUUCCCAAGCUUCCGAUACACUGCACAUGGCAUGAUAUUGAUAGCAACUUCACCAUCAACUAGAAUUUUAGUCAUUGGCUGACCAUCCACUCUCCCCUUGACAAACAGAGCUUUAAGGUGUUGCCUUUCAUCAUCAGCAGGCUUCUCAAAGAUGGCAGUCAUCGGAUCUAGAGCCAACUGAGCUAUCUGGUCGGAAAACUCCAACUCGUCAUCACUGGAUGGUGCAAGGAACUCCAUCGGUAACAUAAAUACCAUGUUGACAUCUGCCGAUGGACCUUUCCCAAUGGGAUCUGAUUGCUGCUGAUCUCCAGACUGGCCAGAGUUCUCGUCCUUGCUUAGCUCUUCUUGUCUUUCGCGCUGCAGCCUCUUCUUCUGCGUCCUGGUCAACCCCUCUAGACACCAUGGGGGAAGUUGCUGCUGCCUUACCGAUGGACGAUAAACUUCCCUUGACUCCAUUGGAUAAGUAUUGGCAUCGCUGCAAAAUAUGAAUUCAUCGGGAACCCGAGCAUUAGCCAUCUUUUCAAGUUGUUCCUGGCUCCUGGGGAAAUAUCCAACACAAUCACCGAGCCUGUCAUGCACACUGAGCCUGCCCCCCAGCCGAUCGUGGACAGACGUUCUCCCCUUAAUCGGCCCAUUAAGUCGCCGAUCAUCAUCAUGAUAGCGCAGAUCGGACCUGUCGUACCGAUCAUAAAUGUUGCACUCAGGGCAAUCUCUAACAGUGGGAAGUUCAAUAUUUUCCACCCAACAAUGUAUGAAGAAGGGACAAUUCCAGUGGUCCCUAUGCCGAUUCCAUUCCUGCCGGCGUCUUUCCUCUUCCCGACUAUAACCCUCUUGCUGGUGCCGGUACCGAUCCUCACGUUGCUGCCAAGUCUCCCGAGGCCUUCUGUGAGUUAUCACAAUAUCAGACCGGGGAGGCCUCCCUGAGUUAGAUCCCUCCUGGAUCAGCCCUUUUCCCUUCGCAUCGGCAGUAGUGAUCUGAUGUUGAGGAUCCACCGAUGCACUUCUUUCAGCUGCUUCCGAUGUUAAGACCUUGAUCUUUCCCUUAGCAUCCAGCAUGUUUGUUGGGAAAGGAUGUUGAUCAAUCUUCAUCGGCUUCUGGGCUUUGGAGCUGUCAAAUUUGACCCUCCCAGAUUCUAUAGCCGAUUGCAGUUGUUGCCUAAAAACUUUGCACUCAUUGGUACCGUGAGAAGUUGCAUUGUGCCAUUUGCAGUACUUCAUCUUCUUCAAUUCUUCAGCCGAUGGGAUCACAUGAUUUGGUGACAAUUUGAUCUGACCUUCCUGAAGUAGAAAGUCAAAUAUCCGAUCGGCCUUAGUGAUGUCAAACGCAAACUUCUCUGGCUCUUUAUGCCCAAAAGGGCAAGACAUCGGCUUCUUGUUUUUCACCCACUCCGCCAAGCCGAUGACUAGUUCUUCAUCAGAAUCCGAGCUCACUGCCUCAUCAACAAAGGACACCUUCUUGUUCCAUGCUCUCUUAGGUUCAAACGGCUUGAUAUCUUGAUCAGAAAUCCUCUGCACCAAAUGACUUAAGCUUUCAAACUCCUGAGAUGCAUAUUUAUCUCUGAUGUGUGGCAGCAAACCCUGGAAAGCCAAAUCAGCUAACUGCCGAUCAUCCAGAACCAGGCUAUAGCACUUGUUCUUAACCUCCCGCAAUCUCUGUACGAAGCUCUCAGCCGAUUCAUCAUUACGUUGCUUCAAUCUGACUAAAUCGGUAAUCUUCUUUUCAUGAAUCCCGGAGAAGAAAUACUUGUGAAACUGCUUUUCUAGAUCGGCCCAAGUAAUCACUGAAUUAGGAGGUAACGAUAUAAACCAGGUGAACGCCGAUCCAGACAAUGAUGACGAGAACAACCGAACCCUUAACUCGUCCCGGUUAGCAGCUUCUCCACAUUGGAUGAUGUACCUGUUGACAUGCUCCAUAGUUGACGUAUCGUCCUGCCCAGAAAACUUAGUAAAAUCCGGUACUUUGUACCGAUUUGGAAGCGGGAUUAAAUCAUAUGCAGGAGGAUACGGUGUCCGAUAAGAGUAAGUGUUGACUUUGGGUUUUAUCCCAAAUUGGUCUCUCAUUACUUCAGCAAUCUUAUCGGCCCAAUAGGCAUCGGCAUAUUGCCGAUGAGGUGGUUGCGGAUCUGGCACCUGCUAGUAAGCUUCCACAUGUCUAUGCGGUGCACGAAUUGCAUGGAAUAUUGGAUUAAUCAUUUGGCUACCGACCUGCUGACCACCGAGCUGUUGGCCACUCAGAUGUUGACCGAGAUUCAUCGGCUGAUUGACUGCCCCUUGAUUCUGGAACCCAAGAUAGAUCUGGCCUUGCUGAAACCCCGUAGCCUGCUGAUUCUGUUGGGACAUGUGUGGAAAAACUGACUGCUCAGGCCAUCCAAUGUUAGCGUUCAUCGGCAUAGGACCUGCCGAUGACUGGUAAUUGGGCAUGAUCAUUGAAUUGACAUACCCUGGCUGAGUCACAAACCUCUGUUGCAUCAGCAUUGAAUUUGCCGAUGCAUUAGGCAUCUAGAACGUUGGAGCUUGAGAAUUCCCAGUGUAAGGCCUUGCAGUAGUGGUUGUAGUAUACUGGGGGCUCUGAUUCAUCGGCAUACUUGGAGGUGCCGAUGUCAUGGGAGCCUUGCCGUUGGGUAUUCUUAACAUCAUUACCAAUAGUAGACUAAGUUCUCUAAAUCUAGUAACGGUGCCAAAAAUGCCAAACCUAUCCCUCACACCACUUAAGCCAAGUUGUCAUCCCCAGCAUGAUAUGAGAGACGCGGUAUUGAAAUAUGCAAUUGCUCUUCUAAAUAAAUAAUGAAUUUGAUCUGCAAGCGCACAGAUUAAUACCGAUGUAGCAUUUUAACCGGGAAGUAUUCCAGGUAUCGUUAUUUAUAUUUUUACCACUGGGAAGGGAUUAACAAUCAUCACUAUUGAUUAUAGAAUAGAAUAUGAGAUUGAGUAUCUAUCAUUGCAUGUAUAAUUGAGAACAUUUAUCUAACUCUUUCAUACAGGGGUAAGUGUCACAUAAAAGAUAUAUGAAAUAAUGAAUAGUGACAAAGAUAAUUAUUCGGAUCAGCCACAUAUAAAUAUGAUAAGCACCUCAAUUAGAUACUCUAGAAAGUCAUUAGCAUGGAAUUAGAACGAACUACAAGAAUAUUUCCUAAGUUAUUCUCAACUAUAUAGUUUAGCAUUAUCAUAAUUAGUGCAAGCAUACUUAGCAAUCAUUGCGAGACAAGACUACGCCCAUGCAUAGUGAUAUUAGCAAGGUAAAUGAGAAAUAUAGCAAUCACUCCCCUAUAAUAAUGUUGCUCUGCCAACCCAAUACACGAGAGGGGGACUAUAUAAGAAUCAAUGAAGCUGUCACUAUCACGAACUACCCCACGAUCUGGCAUAUUGGGUACAAUCGCAGAUAAAUACGGUAUAAGCACCACGCCUACACAAUAUCUAUCAUUUACCUAUGGAUCCGAUGGAUAAACGCUAUACGAUCCUAGACAUGUAUAUAGAUCCAAUCUAACUAAGCCAAGUACAUAAUUGUUGGGUAUUUUAAACGCAAACAGAAAAAUCCGCAAGCGCACGGAUACCGAUGUAGCUUUCACCCGGGAGUAUUCUAGAGUAUCGAUUUUCCACAGGGAACGUGAGUGUACUAAUUAAGACUCAAGAUCGCCCAAGGAUAACUAUAUAAUUAUUUUUUGAUGGGAAGAGAGGAACUUUCCUGAGAGUUCUCUAGUUGAUCUAAGAAUCAAGAAUUACUUCAAGAUUAUCUAUAUCGGGACAUCAGAGCACUAACCACAGAAAGAUAUGAGAAGGGGGCUAGGAAGGUCUGACUACGGUCCUACAAACACCGAUCCGAACGUGGUGGAAUACGUCGACCGUUAGGGCUGUCACUACCCUAAGGCUACCACAACAAUCCGCAGGAUUGGGUGCAAUUCCAGGUAAUUGCAAGACUAAACACCACGUCUAAUCUAUUAAUUACUACUCUAAUGUUUCAAAGAUUAGAGCACUUGAUGCAAGUGGGAAUCCAAUAAAUAACUUGAAUGUAAAUAAAAGUAAUUAGAGAACUCAGGAGUUAUGAGUUGAAGAACCUGGAGAACGAUGAAGAACGAACCAGAUGCUGCAAAAGUACAAUGUUGAGGAAGAUCCGACAGAUCCGGCUCCUCCUCCGCUCUCCUCUUCUCUCUCCCUAUUUUCUAGAUUACAACUAGAACUAACUAGAACUAGAACUAGAAGAACUAGAACUAGAACUAGAUGAACUAGAACUAGAUCUAGAUGAACUAGAGGUAGAACUAGAAGAACUAGAGGGAUCCUCUCUACUUGGAUGAAGAAUUGAAACCCUAGCUUUGAUUCUAUAGAAGAGGUAUGAUCUCCACGGGCCAGGGGGGUCUGGUUUUAUAGUCCCUUCAAGUGAAUCUGGGCCAUCGGAUCAAACCGACAUUGAUCAUGUGGUUUUCCUUGAAGUAUUAGGUCGGUGGAGCAAUAUCCCGAAAGAGAGUCCUGAUUGGACUCUGGCUGAGGGCGGGCGCCCAGGAAAGGAGGGCGGGCGCCCUGUCCCUGUGUCCUCUCGGCCUCCGCUUCGGUCCCGUGGCUUCUGGAGUCUUCUAGAUGAUAGAAAAUUGCGCGGCACGUUAAUAUCUCUAUGUAAACCCGACGUGUGGGCCUUUCUUUUAUAUUUCCUGAUAACCCCCUGCAGAAAUAGACAAACACCAAAACUUGUCGAAUUCUGUCAGAUAAAACCCUAAGUAUAGGUGUUGGUUGCAUUUGGAUCCUUUUCUAUGAUUAAUUGAUGGUUAAAUGUGAGCAUUAAGGACCGUCAACAAGCUCCCCCAAGCUUAACCUUUGCUCGUCCCUGAGCAAAGAUAGACUCAAGAGUUUUCUGCAGUGGUUUCAUUCCUUAAAGAUACACAUGCGUUUAAACAAGAUCUCAUCUCUGGUUAGAGUAAACUGUUAAGAUUUAAACUUACUCAUUUUACCUUUCACCAUGGGACUUGUAACCGUCACUUCUGUCUUGAGUAGUUAAAAGAUAGAACAGUCUAUUCAAGCACCAUGUCUCUUGUUCUUCGAUUAACUAAAGCUCUGGAGUUUUUGCAGAUUUUCAAAUAAAACUCAGAGAUUCCUUGUAUGACUCUCUCUAGUCUCUCUUUUGUGGUAUUUCUGGAUCCUUACCAAGGCAGUAAUGGUGUAUGCCUUCUCUCAAAGUAUGUGGUAUUUUUGGUAUGAGGCAUAGUGACAUUGCCUUCUCUCUCACCCUACUCUAAUAAGGCUUUUGAUAUCUGGAGCUCAUAGGUGGGAGACAGCUAAUACAUACUUACAAGACAUUUAUUGCAUAGUCAACCCAUGGAUCCAGAAGAACAAGUCAAUAAGUCAAAUCAAGAUGUGCAUGUGUGGCGAAUGAAUGGUGUAUGGUAAUGAUGGUGAUAACAAUGGUGAAAGUCUAAUUCUACUUAUGCUCUUUUGAGGGGAUACAUACCUUUCUUGCUCUUUUGAAACUUUUUGAGGAGAAUGAGAUGCUCUAUAUUUUCUUUUUCUUUCUUUUUUUGUAUUUUUUUUCUUUUCUCUCAGGUGGGUAUCUUGUACCCCUAAUUUGUGGGGGUAUAAACCCCUAUACCCUUACGGCUAGAUUUCGGCCAGGAGGCUUGGUCCAUUACGAGACGAGUUCAAGGCUUGAUCCGACAACCUGGAGUUUCGCGCAAGGAAACAAGAUGUGGAGAUCAAGCAGGAUUCUAGUCGGUUAGAAUAGGAAUUGACAUCGAAUUAUCCAUGGCAAUUGUAACCGACUAGGAUUAGUUUCCAGAUCUGUAACCCCGCCCUCCAGACUAUAUAAGGAGGGGCGAGGGACCCCCCUAGGACAUCAUAUUCUCUCAGCACAAAUCAAUACAACCAGACGCAGGACGUAGGUAUUACGCCAACUCGGCGGCCGAACCUGGAUAAAAAGCUUGUCCGUGUCUUGCGUCACCAUCGAGUUCGUAGUUUGCGCACCGUCUACCGAUAAACUACUACCGAGGGUAUACCCCAAGGUAGAUUGCCGACUAGCUUUCGUCGACAGUGGCGCGCCAGGUAGGGGGUGUGCGUGCAACUUUUCCGGCGAACAAGAUGGUCACGAUCCCAGCUUCCGCGACCGUGCCCGAAGGCCUUAUGUUCACCGUCGGCCAGAUCACGUGGACGACGUGCAGCGGCGGCUUCGCGACCACGGUUCCAAAAGAGAUCCAGAUCCAAUCUGAGAUCACGCCGUCUCCGACCACACGCAUGACGGCACCAAGCGCCCGACCACCGUUCCCACUCUACAAGGGAAAGGAGAUCGACUGCUCGGACCUCCUCCAAGCGCUCGAUCGCGCUGACUCCAAGCUACUCGAAGUCUCCCAGCUAAUAGACGGAGUUCUGCGCCGGCCCGACCAAGCUGCUCGAGCGGAUUUUUCGAAAUCCCGCCGGCCAACUCGUGUCGCCACACACGAACGGCUGGGAACGUCCCUGACGAUAACCUCAACCCCCUCAGGACGAUCCGUCGAGCUCAAAGAGGAAGUCUAUCCUUGCGGCCUGAACAACUCGGCCUCUGUUUACUCACAGCAUGUCCAAUCCGUUUUCAGCAAGGCGGGUUGGUCGCCGACAAGGAACAAUCGUCACCAUGUCAACAUGGUGACAAUCCGAGAGCUACGGGACGGCCAGGUUUCCAGCACCAACUCAAGCACCGGCUCCGUCCCCACCGAGGUUAUAAACACCGAAGACGAGGGCUACGACCUGGAUUUUCCUUCACACCCUCCGGGUUUCGACCGAUUCCCGAUAUCCCCCCCCCGGCGAGGGGAUAUUGUGUUCAAUGUCAGCGCCGACGAACCGGCUGUUGACGGAGAAACAGAUGACCAGAGGCAACUCCGCGAACAGCGUAACGCCGAUCGCGCCCGACGGCGUGCGGACGAGCAACAACAGAUGCCACCAAGUAACCUCAACGAUGCCUUUGACAUGGUCGGGGACCAGCCAGUCUACAAAACGCCAAGCGCCAACGUGGCUGUCGCCAUGGCCAAUCUGGAUCGGCUUCCUGACACCCCCGAAUGCCAGGGAGUCCGGACCAGCAUCCGAGCACACUUGAUCGCCGCAAUGGGACAGACAGCCACUCUGCUCAAGAGAGUCCAGGACGUCUCUUAUACGGAAGCCGCCUCCGACCAGACUAAUCGUAGCCAGGUCUCACCCAGCAGGCGUCACCACAGCCGCUCCCCCGACAACCGUCGAGGGGACUCGCGGCGCGACGAUGGUGGUCGGGACGCCGAUGGCCGUCGCAAGCAAAUUCAUGGCGUACGCGGCCAAGAAGAAGAUCAACACAGGGAUCUCCGCCACAACAUCCCUCCCAAAGACGCCCGGGACCGCAUCAACAGGCGCGCCGCAGAGAGAGCAGUCCACGAAAACCUGCGCCGCAUCGAGUACGAUGCGACCCACGGUCCUCCGGGCCUAAGACAGUUCUCCUCACACCUCCGCCAGGUCGUGUGGCCCCGCAAUUUCAAGCUCGAAAAACUUAAAAAAUACGACGGCAAGGAAAAUCCAGAGAACUGGAUCACUCUCUAUGAAAUCGCCGUCCGAUCAGCGCAGGAGAUGAGCACGUCAUGGCUAACUACUUCACCGUAGUCCUCGACCAGGCUGGUCAUCAGUGGCUUCUCGGCUUGCCCGAGGACUCCUUCGACUCUUGGGAAGAGCUACGCCAGGCUUUCAUCGACAACUUCAUCGCCACAUGCGAGUAGCCCGGAAACAAGUAUGACCUUGAAAGGAUAAGAGACAGGAAGAAUGAACCUCUGCGCGAUUACAUCCGACGAUUCUCGGAUAUGCGCCUCAAAAUCCCGAAGAUUUCUCAUGACGAGGCCAUAUCAGCCUUUAUCAAGGGCUUGCGUUUCCAUGAAGCGCUGAGGAACAAGCUGUUGCGUAAGCGCCCAUCAACGGUAGCAGAGCUCCUCGCUACGGCUAAAAAUUACGCCGAUGCUGAUGACGCAGAAAAACUAAUCCGAGACGAUGCGAGAGGCCCCGACCAGCCUUCCCGGCGAGAUUACGGUCGUGGUCGCUACGACAACAGAAAUCACCGCCGCUCCGACAACCGCGAUCACCGAGAGGGUUGGGAUCGGCGGCGCGACAGCCGCGACGACUUCAGAGGAAAGCGCCCUCGCGAAUACGACCACGAAGUAAAUACGGUCAAACGUCCCAAUGGACGACGGGACUACCAAGACGACUACAACAAAACGUUGAAGGGACCGUGCCAGCUACACCCAAAGUCUAACCAUACCAUGGAAGAGUGCCGCGUCCUCAAAAGUAUCUAUACACGGCGGGCCGCCCAAGAGGACUCCGCCAAGAAAAAUAACAAGCGCGACGGGCACGACCACGAAGAUGAGGAUGAGGACCAAGACAGGGACCCCCGACACCAAUACGUCAGCCCCACCGACGUGGUCCACUCCAUUUUCGGGGGCAAGGUCUCCACUGAGUCCAAGCGAGAAAGAAAGCUGUUAAAGAGAGCCUGCCUCAACAUAGACAGCACGGACGGGCUGAUCGCAGAUCCGAAAUUUCCCGCGUGGUCCCACAGGGAGAUCUCGUUCAGCAGGAAGGACCAGUGGGCCGCUAUCCCAGAGCCGGGUCGUUUCCCACUGAUUCUUGAUCCCUGCAUCAACAGCAUCAGAUUCGAGCGCGUGCUCGUGGACGGGGGAAGCUCCAUCGACAUCCUCUUCCGCAACAGCCUGCCCGCCCUCAAGAUAUCACCGGCACAACUAAAACCUUACGACGCCCAAUUCUGGGGGGUUUUGCCAGGUCAAAGUUCGGUGCCCCUCGGACAGAUAACAUUGCCUGUCCAAUUCGGCACACCCGAUCACUUCCGGACGGAGUUCAUCAACUUCGUAGUCGCGGAUUUCGACGGGACCUAUCACGCCAUACUGGGCCGCCCAUCGCUGACAAAGUUCAUGGCAGUCCCGCACUACUCAUACCUAGUCCUUAAGAUGCCCACGGAGAAGGGUGUCCUAACCAUCAGAGGCAACGUUUACACCGCGUACACCUGCGAAGAAGAAAGCUUCAAGAUCACCGAGGCAAUCGACCUCUCAAUCCGCAUGGCGGAAACAGCAAACCAAGCCGCACAGCUGCCUCCCGACCAGCUCCGAUUACCUGAGCAGGAGACAGCCAGAAAGAACUCGAAAUCCAAGGAGUACAAAGAAGUGCAGCUGGUCGAAGGCAACCCCGAGAAGACAGCCCUCAUCGGGGCUAACCUGGAUCCAAAAUAGGAAGACGCGCUCGUCAGGUUUCUAAGGGACAACGUGAGCGUUUUCGCAUGGAAACCCGCAGACAUGCCCGGUGUCCCACGAAACCUGAUCGAGCACUCCUUAAAUGUCUCGAAGACCGCAAGACCAAUCAAGCAAAAACUGCGACGGUUCGCUCGUGACAAAAAGGAGGCUAUUAGGACAGAAAUAACACGGCUUCUAGCAGCCGGAUUCAUAAAAGAAGUGUAUCACCCCGAUUGGCUCGCCAAUCCGGUUCUUGUACGCAAAAAGAAUAAUGAAUGGAGAAUGUGCGUUGAUUACACCGAUCUCAACAAACACUGUCCUAAAGAUCCUUUUGGUCUUCCUCGCAUCGACGAGGUGGUCGACUCAACGGCCGGAUGCGAACUCCUCUCCUUUCUAGAUUGCUACUCUGGUUAUCACCAGAUCUCGCUAAAGGAAGAAGAUCAGAUCAAAACAUCCUUCAUCACACCCUUCGGCGCAUACUGCUACACUACCAUGUCUUUCGGACUUAAAAACGCCGGGGCCACUUAUCAAAGGGCCAUCCAGCAAUGCCUCCACGACGAGAUUCGCGAUGACCUCGUCGAGGCCUAUGUGUUCGACGUGGUCGUAAAAACAAGGGACGCGGGCACCCUAAUCGACAACUUAGACCGAACCUUCAAGGCACUCAAUAGGUACAAGUGGAAGCUCAACCCCAAGAAAUGCAUUUUCGGCGUUCCUUCCGGUCUACUGCUCGGCAACGUCGUCAGUCGCGACGGCAUACGACCAAACCCUUCAAAAGUCAAAGCCGUACUCGACAUGCGACCACCGAAGAACGUCAAGGAUAUUCAGAAGCUAACCGGAUGCAUGGCCGCCCUCAGUCGUUUCAUCUCAAGGCUGGGAGAAAAAGGCCUCCCUUUCUUCAAACUAUUGAAAGCGUCAGAAAAAAUUUCUUGGACAAAGGAAGCUGACGCUGCGUUCACUCAGCUUAAGACCUUCCUCACUUCACCACCUGUCCUCACAGCGCCUCAGCCCAAUGAAGACCUACUCCUUUACAUUGCUGCAACCGACAGGGUUGUUUCCACGGCAAUAGUGGUCGAGCGAGAUGAACCAGGGCACGUCUUCAAGGUCCAGAGACCCGUUUACUUCAUAAGCGAAGUCUUAAACGAGUCCAAGGCCAGGUACCCACAAAUACAGAAGCUUAUAUACGCCAUCCUGAUAACGUCAAGAAAGCUGAAGCACUACUUCGACGGCCAUCGAGUCCUGGUGACAACCAGCUUUCCUCUCGGGGACAUCCUGCGCAAUAAAGACGCCAAUGGCAGAAUCGUGAAAUGGGCAAUGGAAUUAUGUCCAUUUUCCCUGGAGUUCCAGAGUCGCACCACUGUCAAGUCUCAAGCCCUGGUCGAUUUCAUUGCCGAAUGGGCGGAUCUCAACGAGCCUUCCCUUCCCGAUGUCUCAGACCACUGGUCAAUGUUCUUCGACGGGUCCUUGAACAUCAACGGUGCAGGCGCUGGGAUAUUGUUCGUAUCACCCAACAAGGACAAACUCCGUUACGUCCUUCGGAUCCUUUUUCCGGCGUCAAACAACGUCGCCGAAUACGAAGCAUGCUUGCAUGGCAUACGACUAGCCGUUGAACUGGGGGUCAAGCGCCUCUAUGUCUACGGCGACUCCGCUUUGGUCAUCAACCAGCUCAACAAGGAGUGGGACGCAACCCACGAGAAGAUGGAUCUCUACUGCAAAGAAAUUCGCAAAUGGGAAACUAACUUCUAUGGCAUAGAGUACAUCCACGUGGUCCGGGAUAAGAACCAAGCAGCAGAUGCGUUGUCAAAGUUAGGCUCAUCUCGGGCCCAAAUCCCGCGGGGUAUUUUCGUCCAGGACAUCCAUGGGCCGAGCGUAAGCUCCCCCCUGGUCGACAAGCAACCCACCGAGGCAAUGCUCAUAGAUGACGCCACUCCGACAACCGGUGGACGUGACUGGCGUACCCCGUUCAUCAAAUACAUAUCAGACGGGACAGGCUUUCAGGACAAAACAGAGAACGAGCGCCUCAUCCGACGAUCAAAGAACUACAUCCUGGUCGACGGAAAACUCAUGCAGAAAAACGCAAGCUCCGAAGUACUGCUCAAGUGCAUACCCCAAGAUGAUGGUAUCAAGCUCUUGGAGGACAUACACGCUGGAUCCUGCGGCAAUCACGCCGCAUCUAGAACGCUAGUCGGAAAGGCUUUCCGAGCAGGUUUUUAUUGGCCAACCGCAGUCGGCGACGCAGAAAAACUGGUUCGGCAUUGCGAAGGAUGUCAGUUUUUCGCUAAGAGGACCCACGUACCUGCCCAUGAAAUUCAAACCAUCCCGUCGUCUUGGCCCUUUGCUUGCUGGGGGCUUGACAUGAUCGGACCAUUUAAACCAGCCCCGGGCAAUUUCAAGUUUGUCUUCGUGUUAAUCGACAAGUUCUCCAAGUGGAUUGAAUACAUGCCCCUGGUCAAGGCAACCUCCGAGAAGGCUGUGGAGUUCCUCAAUCAAAUCAUACACAGAUUCGGCAUCCCGAACAGCAUAAUCACCGACCUGGGCACUCAGUUUACUGGCACCACUUUUUGGGAUUUCUGCGAUGACAGAGGCAUAGUCAUAAAAUAUGUGUCAGUGGCACAUCCACGUGCCAACGGUCAAGUCGAACGUGCUAAUGGAAUGAUCGUUGACGCCCUAAAGAAAAGGCUGUACACCGAAAACGACAGAGCACCCGGUCGAUGGAUGAAAGAAUUGCCGGCAGUGGUCUGGGGCCUCCGAACUCAGACCAGUCGAAACACAGGGGUGUCUCCCUACUUCAUGGUGUACGGUGCAGAGGCGGUCUUGCCGUCUGACAUACACUUCGGAUCUCCUAGAAUCGAGCAUUUCGACCAGGCGACCGCCGACAACGCCAGAGAACUCGAAAUCAAUUGCAUGGAGGAAAAGCGUUUAGUUUCGUGUCUCCGAACAGCAAAAUAUCUCGCGGCAGUCAGGCGAUACUACAACAGGAACGUCAAGGACCGUUCCUUCGUGGUCGGCGAUCUGGUGCUUCGAUGGAAAACAAGCCAGGAGGGAAUGCACAAGCUAUCCACUCCCUGGGAAGGACCCUUCGUGGUGACCGAGGUCACACGACCUACGUCCUACAGAUUGGCAUACCCAGAUGGAACACGAGUACCUAACUCUUGGCACAUCGACAAACUGCGACGUUUCUAUCCAUAAAGUUUUAAUGACUUUCUUUUGUAAGUAUCUUAUAAUUUUUUAUAAUGAAAUUCUCUAUUUUUUGCCUAUACCUUGUCACACACAGCACUCGACAAAACUCCUGCAAUGGAUGCUCUUAGCGACAACCAAGACAAAUACGGUGACACGUCACUCAGAUAUUCUUACAGCGCUCAAAACAACAGUCAUGACAAAAAGUAAACUUUAUUACAAACUUUACAUACAAAGUUUACAAUAAAUACCCUGACGGGCAGACACUAGUCUAUUCCUACAGACUACUUUAUUGGCCUAGCUGCUCGGGCUGAUCACCCGCCUGGCCCUGCUGCCCGGACGAAGGGGUCGGGGCCACCGGCGCCUGGCUGGUCGAGACCGCAGGCGUCGACCGCCCAUCUCCCGCAACGGACGCGCCCGACAACUCCCUGGCCGACCUAUCUGAACUCGGCUGGUCUGGAGGAGUGGCCGUUCCGCAUAGAUUGAUGUCGCCGAUCACUGUCGACGACAAGUCCAGCAGACUACCCCGAAGCUCGUCCGCGUCCUGCGGGCCGACUUCCUUCGGGUACCCCUUCUCCAGCCUGCUCAAGUCGACCAGGGGGUAGUGGGCGCGCACCAUGCUGAGGACGUGCGCGCCGGCAAACUCCCCGGCGUCCUUCACAAACUGCUGGAGCCAGUCCCACGCCCGUUGCGCCUUCUCGACCGGGGUCAACUGCGGCGCGCGGGGCUGGCUCUCCGGGAGCUCGGGACUAAUCAGGUCUAGGACCGGGGACACUCCUUUCCAGAUCCUGCAACAGUUGACCUUCCAGGAGUCCCGGUCCUUGAUCAGAUCAUCCAGGUGCUUUUUGGCGUUCACCUUGAGCGCUGCAAACGAAACGAAGAGUUAUUUUCGGCAUAACAAAGGGGCAGGCAGCAACCAACAAGGCGGCACCCAUUACCAGAUAGCUCCCGGUCUUUUUGACCCAAUUCCUCUCCUGCUCGCCGCCUGGACUCCAGCGCACCGGCGAGCUGUUGGCUGAGCUGCUCCUUCUCUUGUCGGAGGCUCGCCACCUCCUCCUCCAAGUCUGCGUGAAUCCUAAACUGGUCAGCAAAGCAAACUAUACAAGUACGCGAAGCUGCUUGGAGCGUGUGACUAACCUUCUUGCAGCCGGUACUGGUCGGCCAAACGACGAGCGAGGUCGAGACGACGCUCCUUUUCGGCACUCAUCUCGACCACCUUCUCCCCGACCUCCGACCGCAACCGGUCUACCUCCGCGGCAAGGGCCUUGUUCUCGGCCAUGACGCCUUCUAUCUGGUCAAAGCACCGUUUCCAGUACUUCGCCGUUUUCAUUGCGCCCUACAAAGCAAGCAUAUAACGACCAUGCAAGACAAGGCAUAGAAUGUACAGCAGUACAAAAAGCCGCUUACCUUGACUUCGUCAACGAGGCGCUUGGCCGCGCGCUCCACCCUGGCGGCCUCUUCGGUCUCGGCGAGCUCCUCAUGCCCAAUAAAGUGAUCCCCGCGUUGGCGCCACACAUACACGUGUUGGCGGCCAUCACGGGGACGACCCUCAAUCUCUUCCACCUCAUCAUCGGAGGCCGCCCGGGUUUCCUCCUCCUGUGCUGCGUCACCCCCGGUGGUGGUCCCAGGUAUUACUGGCCCUCGGACCAGACCUGGGGAGCCCGCAGCCAAAGAGGCUCCUGCUCGGGGCGGCGUGGGGACUUCACUCCCCCCGGCAGGAGGAGCAGUCGGAGAUCUUCCCCUCUCUGAGGAGUCAGUUGGGGGAGCCUCUCCAGCCCUGGUCGGGCUGCUUGUCGUAGUCGGUGCCGCGCUCGGGAGCCCCUCGGUGCUCCCAGGCGCGACUGCAGCUGUUGGCUGCUCUGUGGUCUGGGGGGCCGCAUCCCCAGAACCGCGGGCAGGCUCGCCCGUUCCCUGGCUGGCAGCAUGGCCGGGGUCGACAUCCGAUGCCGCACUACAGGAACAAAAGUUAAAUUUCAAAAAAAAAAAAGUCAAAGAGGAGUCCAAAAUACGUAAGUCGAACACUUACAGGUCUGACCGACGGUGGGUCGCGGUGAACCUCCUCCUCGCCCGGCCGGUCGGCACCCGUGCCCCCAUCUCGACAGCUUGCGGGGCAGCGGCGCCGCUGGCCGCUCGAUCAGUGGCGACCGGCGCAUUGUCUGGGCGGCUCCGAGGCCGUCGGACCAAUGACGGCGCAGCCUCCUCCUCGUCGUCGUCGUCGACGAUCCGCACGAGCCGACGACGCUUCGGUGCUUGGCUGCUCUCCGCCGGUAGAUCUGCCGGCAGCCCCGAUGUCGGCAAGGGAUCUGCCGGCAAUGGCCUUUUCCCCGCUACCCUCUCCUCGGAGGUCGGGAUGGGGCGGGCUUGGUCUUCCUCACUACUGGUGUAAUGAGUACACCGAGCAGCGUCCUCCUCUGGCGGGUCUUCUCCCGCAGGAUUUUCCAUCCCCGGUGCCAGUGAUACAUACACUGUGCACCGGUCGACAUCGCCGAUCUGCAAAAGCAACAGAGAUGAGUCAACUGCAGACGAUAUACGAAUGCUAGAACAGAAUCUGCUACAUACCUUUGGUGCUGGUCGUCCUAACUUGAAGGCUUGCACCCGAUCACUGCCACGGAUGAAGCCCCCAUCCGCGAAGUUAAACAGCUCGUUCAACAGCUGUUGUACCUCCGCUUUCUCCAAGAUCUCCGACCGCAUCCUGGUCGGGUCUGCGCUUCCGGUAUACUCGUACGCCGAGUGCACCCUCUUCUGGCAGGGCAUCACCCGGCGGCAAAUGAAGUUGCCGACCACGCCAAGCCCGUCCAGGCGCGACCAGUCGAUUAGCUUCAUGAGAUCCGCCACUGGACCGUCGAACUCCGGGCGGUCGGUCCAGCUCGUCCUCUUCUCAGGAAUGUAUCCCACGUCGCAGAACGUGGAGCUGCCCGGUUCCUCCCUGAUGUAGAACCACUUCCUGUACCAUUCGGUUAAGGAAGUGUUCCAUGGGCAGUGCAGGUAGCGAUUCUUCAUUCCAUCACGAAGGUUGAGGUAUACUCCACCUGCAACCUUGGAGCCUCCAAUUGCUCCCUUCUUCCUCAAGCAGAAAAGAUACCGAAAAAGAUCGAAGUGCGGCUCUAUGCCAACAUAGGCCUCGCACAGGUGGAUAAAGGUGGAAAUGAGGAGAAUUGAGUUCGGGUGCAGAUUGCAAAUCCCGAUCUCAUAAUACAAAAGAAGACCUUGAAGAAAAGGAUGGACAGGAACACCAAAACCCCUCUUAAUGAAAUCUUCAAAUACGACGAUCUCACCGGCGCGAGGGUCGGGGUAGCUCUCCCCCUCCGGUGCCCUCCAGCCGCCGAGCUCCGGGCCGUGCAGAAGCCCCGUAUCGACGAGGUCACCAAGAGAUUUUGUGGUGCUGCGAGACUUCUUCCACUCCUUGGCCAUCAGUUCGGCCCUCUUCCUGGAGUCGCUCUUCGCCAUUAGAGGUGCGAAUGUGGGCUUGAGUUAGGAAGAUGCAGGAGAUUGGAGAAGAUGAGAGCGGAAGGUUUGAAGGCAAUGGCAGGGAAAGCGGUACAGGCAGGACCUAUUAGGCUCUUAUAAGCCCGCAACUCCACCUCUCCCACUUCCUGUAUUCUCGGGAAGUGGGCAGGCCAUGCGGCGGACGCGGCGUUUCGGUUUACAAUGAUUAUAGACAAUUAAUGCGGCGGAGUUUUCGUACCAAUUGAUGGUUUCCUUUUCUCAAACCAUGCAAAGGGCGGCUGUACAGUUGUCAGGUGCAACUUUUCAUGCAUCCGUCUGACACCCCGUCAGGAGGCCUCGUCACGUCAACUUUAACUGGAAAGAUCUUUUCAAAAAUAAGAAGACACAUACGCCAGUGAGUCAACAAUCCGGGGACUGCACCGACCACCGAGCACUCGACGCUCGGGGACUGGUCGCCCAGUCUAUCAGCGCGGAACUUCAAAGACUGCACCGACCACCGAGCACUCGACGCUCGGGGACUGGUCGCCCAGUCUAUCAGCGCGGAACUUCAAAGACUGCACCGACCACCGAGCACUCGACGCUCGGGGACUGGUCGCCCAGUCUAUCAGCGCGGAACUUCAAAGACUGCACCGACCACCGAGCACUCGACGCUCGAGGACUGGUCGCCCAGUCUAUCAGCGCGGAACUUCAAGGACUGCACCGACCACCGAACACUCGACGCUCGGGGACUGGUCGCCCAGUCUAUCAGCUCAAAGCUUUAAAGCAUGCACCGACCACCGAGCACUCGACGCUCGGGGACUGGUCGUACGGUAUAGCAACAUAUAAUUCCAAGGAGCACACUUAGUGCUUGGGGACUGGUCGAUUGGUCUUUUCAUUUGCAGACGAGCAUGACAUGCUCGGGGACUGGUAAAUUCACUUUUGACCUUGCUACAAGGCUCAUACUUCGCCUUCCAGCAAGCUCGGGGACUACAUCGGUACGAUGCAUCUAGCGAUGCAUCUCAGUCUCAAAACUACUUUGGGGAAUUUUCUUUUGACCCUGGCACCACGUGCCUACGUCACCUACUACCAGGCUCGGGGACUAAGUGGGCACACUUCACCUAGCGGUGAAUUUGCUUGCUUUUUUGGUGUUUAUACCUUUCAAAAAGGUAAAGUGGGCACACUUCAUCAGGAAAGAAAUUUUUUUUAAGAGCACCAUGCAUUCUUCGAACAACCCGCUUCUUCGAUGUCAAUGUUGAUCAACUGUCUUUUGAGUUGGUCAAAAUACCGUUGCAACUGUUCGGACGACUUUCCUGCUUAUUGAAGACGUCAAGCCACACUGAUCGAAGAAGCUCAAGACGGCGUGUUACAUCACAAUACAUGGUGCUCGGGGACUAGCUGUGGGGGUAUAAACCCCUAUACCCUUACGGCUAGAUUUCGGCCAGGAGGCUUGGUCCAUUACGAGACGAGUUCAAGGCUUGAUCCGACAACCUGGAGUUUCGCGCAAGGAAACAAGAUGUGGAGAUCAAGCAGGAUUCUAGUCGGUUAGAAUAGGAAUUGACAUCGAAUUAUCCAUGGCAAUUGUAACCGACUAGGAUUAGUUUCCAGAUCUGUAACCCCGCCCUCCAGACUAUAUAAGGAGGGGCGAGGGACCCCCCUAGGACAUCAUAUUCUCUCAGCACAAAUCAAUACAACCAGACGCAGGACGUAGGUAUUAUGCCAACUCGGCGGCCGAACCUGGAUAAAAAGCUUGUCCGUGUCUUGCGUCACCAUCGAGUUCGUAGUUUGCGCACCGUCUACCGAUAAACUACUACCGAGGGUAUACCCCAAGGUAGACUGCCGACUAGCUUUCGUCGACAUAAUUCUACUGUCGGACACUUGUCCAUUUUUACCUCUCGUCUCACUUUUUUCUUUUCUUUCGAGGUUCCGGGCACUUGCCCCUUUUUAUUUCCUCGUAUUCUUUUUUUUUUCUUUCUCUCUUUUUUUAGAGCACUCAUCUCCUGAAAUAAUAUAGCAAGUGGUAGUAACCAAGAUAACUUGAGCAUUUUUUUCACAGGGAAAAAAACAGAAAUAGGAGAAUGUUUUUGGCUAUUCUCUCCCGGAUUAGGAGUAGAAUAUUUUUGGGUGGUUCUGGAGAUGGAAAUGGGUGGAUAUGUGUGGAUGGUACUUCUGGAGUAGAAGUAGCAUGUGUGAGUGAACGUGCAAGUGAAUCUUGAUUUAACCACAUGACAAGCUCCUAAGGGUCUACACAGCUUGGCCACACUCAAUGCUCAUAAGCAGUAAAAAGUAAAUGUGUGGCUCAAAUUCUAGCAAGCAUGUAUAUAUGGCUGUGGUAGGAAUUUAAACUCUCAUCAUACAGGAACUCAUCAUGCAACAUUUUAAAGAUUUUCAAAGAUAAAAUUCUCCAGAAUUGUAGCAUCUCUAGGAACAGAUAAACAGCAGCUCAACCUUCCCAUAUAAUAUCCGUUAACGACUUAGACUUUAGAUCAAGUACUCUUCCCACAAGUUCAGGUUUAGAGCAAAUCUUAAUUAAUAACAGUAAUGCCUAAACUUGAGAGAGAUUUCAAUUUUAAGAACUAGUCAUGGUAGAGCAACUAUUCAUCAUUUUCAUAUGAGAGCUAUCAUGAGGGUUCAUAGCAGACUUUAUUUAUUUAUUUAUUUAGCAAACUAAUCAAAGAUAUAUAUAAGCACAAAAUCUUUAUUUUGGUUUCCAUGAUUAUGCAUCUUUUUAUUAUUAGAGUAAAGUAUAAACGUGAGUAGAAUACUUAGCUGAAUAAAUGGGGGUGCUCUCCCCCAAGCUGGAUUUUAACGUAGUUUCUUCUAAUGUAGCUAGCAAGUGGUGGAGGUGUAUUUGAAUGUCAGCAGCACCCUGACAGCGAUUAGGAUGUCCUCGGUCUGCUAGUCUUUUUUGAUCCUUGAAUUCUGUGGAGCUCAAAUAGACAACAAAGCUUUGUGGAACUAGAUAAGUGUUAGCAUAAAUAUCUAGCCUUUAUCAUGUUGAGCCUCCUCAAUAAAUAUUACUCUCUUUAGUAGGAUCAUAAAAUUAUUUUUAUAAUUUAAUUUUUUAUAGGACAGGAAUAUACUUAUUUCAUUUUUACGCCACCACAGUGGAUGUACUUAUGGGUUUUAUGCCAUGAGCAUACUCACAUGGGGCUUACUAUUUUUAACAUUUUUAUUUUCUUUUCAAGAUGAUAUGAACCUGAUUAACUAAGCAAACUAUUUUAAAUAGUUGAAAGGAAAAAAAUAACUACCAAGUUUACCUCUUGGCAAGACGUUCGAUGUUUUUAAAUCCUCCGAACGGGACUAUCCAUUUUCUCAGUUGUCCUGGGAUUUGCUAGAUGGCAUAGUCGGUGGUUCCGGCAGAGCCUGCUCUUCGUGUAUAACUAUCUUCUCUCUCCACACCUG
Molecule: long non-coding RNA, 144494 nt
Filed under: Sorghum bicolor (sorghum)
Lineage: Eukaryota; Viridiplantae; Streptophyta; Magnoliopsida; Poales; Poaceae
Description: long non-coding RNA (SBIC_LNC000864)
Source: RNAcentral